GAGCACCCAUUUGAAUGGAAAGUUGGAACGACUGAUGAAGUAAAUGAUCUCCAGUGGGAUAGAAAAAUACGCCAAUGCAAUAAAUAAAUCACUGGUUCGUUGGACAAAUAACAUACUAUCGAUGCUCCAAAAUGCCUCAUCAUCAUCGCAAUUACAUUCAGUAGCGCCAUCAACAGCCGAUAAGGAAGCAAUGAACGAUAAAAUCAACAAACAUGAUGCUACUUUCAUCAGCAUUGCAUCCAUUAGACCCUAGUCUUGUUUACACCAAUGCUGCUUAAUGUACAAUCAGAGACCUGUUAAGAUUCAAUUCCUAAUUAAGUACACGAAAACCAACAUUUUUUUAGAGUGAAGAUUGAAGUACACCUAAAGUAUCUCGGUUUUCUGAGUUUUACACCUGAAUUAUCAGACAAAUGUAUGGAUUUCCUGCCUGAACUAUCACGAACCAUUUAUCAAAACCCACUUUAACUAUUAGUUGUUCGCUUUUCCUACCUGAAAGUUCAGGUAUGAAACUUAAACAAUUAACUAUUGAGGUAUAUUUUGAUAAAUAGUUUGUGAUAAUUAGGGUAGGAAACUCGAUACUUUUAAUGUGUUUUCGACAAUUAAAGAAAAAAAAGGAGGCUAACAUCAAUAUAAAAUUUCACAGAUAUACACACAAAUGCAUGCACCAACAUCAACUUGCAAUUAACAUAAUUAAUAUCCAAAAGGAAGGAGAGUAAAAGGUGCCAAAUAACAACUAGCCCCACAAGCCCACAAACUUAAAAAGGCAUCUAUUUAUUUCAAUGUCAAAAUUUGACUUUCACAAUACUAAUAUAACCAUUUCAUAAAUAGAACUUAGUACAAGGAGACUAAGAAAGCUACUAUGCACCUCAACUAUAGUACUUAACAAAAAAAGGAAAACCAGAAAACUUUGAAAUGAAAGUUAACACCUCUCGACAAGAAACUUUAAAUAAAUAAUUUUCAAUUUGUGGUUGUCUAAGAAACUAAAAAGAAAUUUUGAAUUUUAUGGUCCUAAACUAAAAUAUAUUGAAUGUACUAAAAUAUCCUCUAACCAAAAAUUUAGACUUAAAAAGAACUGUUAAAAAUCAUACUAAUAAAAAAAUAAGACAAACAAAUUGACAAGAAGCAACAUGUAGUUUCACUAGUGGAGUCCGAAGAAUCUAGACCUUACCCCUAUCUGAAAAGAGGAGGUAGAGAAAUUGUUUUCGAUAUAUUCUGAGGAAAAAGCAAAACAAAAGAGUCCCAAAAGAGAAAUAACAUAAGUGAAGAAAGAUGAUCAGCUAAACUUACCUAAAAAGAAGAAAAAAAAACACAUCUUUCUUUAUCUAAGAAACAAAAAACCAAAACAAGUCAAUCCAACACACAGAUCUUUAUCUUUAACCAGCAUGCAGACCCAAAUAAACAUUUAUAGAGGUCUUUAAGUCAUCUUUUUAUCCAAAACUCAAUCAAAACCAAUGUAAUUUUUCCAGCAUUGGUAUUAUCAAAAAAGAAAAAUCUAUAGCCCACAGAAAAAGCUCCAAAUAACUACUCAAAAAGAACCAUAACCCAAUGCACCACAAAGAAAACAAAUACAAAGUUUUUCUUCAAGUGAAAAUAAACUGAGUUUUUUCAAUGACCAUCUUGCCUUUACAAGCUAAAAACACUUAAAAAGAGUAAAAAGGAUUAGAUUUUUACACCCAAAAAAAAAGAAGAAAAAGAAUAAGAUCUUUUUACUCAAAAAAAAGAAAGAAAAUAAAAACAAGAAAGACAUAGAGAACUUCACUGAUUUUUCAAGAAUUCAAUGACCCUUUUCAUUUCUGUACCUUUUUCUUAUUCUUGUAUGCUCCAAAUGCAAAUUUGAUAUCAAGAACAGUUGAACUGUUUGAAGAAGUGUUUGUCAUAUAGAGAGAAAAAGAGAGUGACUUUAAAGAGAGUAGAAAAUGUAAGCUAAAAAUGAGGAAGGAAGACAAGAAAAUAUAAGCUUGUUGGGGUGGGGGAUGGGGGUUGGAGGGACCCACAGAUUUUACAUGAAGAGAACUUAGACACACUUUAACUCUUAAUAAAUGUCUUCUUCAGCUAUAAAGUUGUAGAAGUAAACCUUUUAACACCAAUUUUUAUUUUAAGAAAAUUAUCAUUUAGUUUACUAAUUCUAUUUUAUACUCUUUUUUAUGUGUCAUUUUAUAGAGGCUGAAAUAUAUAUUAUGUGGUCCCCUAGAUUUAACCUUUUUAAAAUUGGAUACCUUAACUAAAGGUGUAGUUUAUUCAUCACUUCAUUAAUGUUCAAAGUGUCUAUUGAAUAUCUAAUUGACAAUUUCUUACAAAAUCCAAGUGUAUGAUUGAGUGGGGAUGCAGGAUUUUUCUUCAGGAGUUCCAAAAAAAGUAAGUAUAUUUAUAGUGUUGUCAAAUUAGCGGAUUAAAUUUUAUAUGAACAAGUUAAAUUAUAUAUGAGCGAGUUAAAUUUUAAUAAUUUUUCUUAAGAAGUUUAGUAAAUAAUAUUUAUUUUGAAAUCAAUUUAUUGAUUACUAUAGUAUAUAAAUUUAAUAUUUUAUAGAAAUCGAUAAAUUGGUAGGUGAUAUCAAUAGGGUAACAUUAUGAGGUAACAUUAGUAGACAAUACAACUUAUCUAAAACAAAACUGAUAAAAUAAAUAAAUUCAUCCACCAAGAUUUGAUCUUGGAUCCUUUGGGGAAAUCUAACCCCCCUAAACUGUUGCACUACUCACUACUGUUGUAUCGAGGAGGGGGAGGUCAAUAUUUAAUAUAUAUAUACGUAUACUGCAAAUUCAAUCCUAUAUACACAAUAUAGUUUUUGAGUGAGGGGGUUCAGGUGAAUUCACUUGACUUCAUGUGGGUCCUUCUCUGAUACGACUCUCAAAUAUAAUGACUUGGGCAAAAUUGAAUUAAUAUAUGAUACAUGAAUUUUUUAAGAAAGAAGAAAAUUUUUCUGAUUCUCACAUGUAUUCGCUUGGCAAAAAAAAGCAAAUUAAUGUUUGACUUGGCAAAAGAAGUUAACUAAUGCUCGACAUGUGAAUUUUUUUUACAAUAAGAAAAAUUCCUUGACUCCCCAACGUAGUGGUUUGACCAAAAACGAAUCAACAUUCAAGUUUUGCACGUGAAUUUUUUUACAAGAAAAGCUUUAUCUGACUUUUCAACAUAGUGUCUGAGUAAAUAUGUGAAUUAUCAUUUGAUACGUGAAGUGACUUGAUAAAAUAUGUGAAUUAACAUCCGAUACAUAAAAUGGCUUCACAAAAGAUACGAAUCAACGCUUGAUAUGUGAAGUGGUCUGACAAAAAACGUGAAUCAACACUCGACAUGUGAAAUAGCUUAGCAAAAGAUGUGAAUAAACAUCCACAUAUGAAGCGGCUUAGAAGAAAAUGCGAACAAACACUCGACAAGUGAAAGGCUUAGCAAAAGACGUGUAUCGAUAUUUGACACAUGAAAUAGUUAGAAUAUAAAAAGAAACAUAUUUAAAGCACAUAUAGGAAAUCUUGAACGUAAAAAGAAACAUAUUUAAAGAACAUGUAGAAAAUCUUUUCCGAGAGUGAUUGCUUUCUCUUAGACUAGCUUGUCUUCUACUUCUAGAUGACUUUAAAGCACAUGUAAGAAAUCUUUCUCAAGAGUGGCCACCUUCUGUUAGAUCAGCUGUAACUUCUAUUUCUAGACGACUGCUCUAUAACAGAUUUUCUGCUUUCUUGAUUUUGCUUGUCUCUUAUCAGAGAGUCUGACAUCAUUUUUCACUUUUAACACACACUUAUUUGAUGAGCUAAGACUUAAGUUUCAUAUAAUUCAAAAGCUAGCUCGAGACCUAAAAAGAUAAGGUCGAAAUUUGAGCCAAAAAUAUGAUUCAUAUGCCCAUUUCUUAAUUUAAGGAGAUUCUAUAAUUAUUAGUCCUAAUGCAGACAUCUUUAUCUAUUUGAGAUGAAAUAAAAGAAAAGUUCUUAUUUGAAAGAUUGCAAUUUAUUAACUGUCGUGCUAUCACUAUGCUAAUAGUUUAGCAAUUUCGCUGUUGUUGGCCUUGUUUCAUAGUGAAUUUAUGGAAGAUCUAAAUACUUCUAAUAUCGAAUUCGACGAUAUUUCUUUAAGAAGAAUUUUCACUUUGAUUUAAAACCCACUACACUAGAUUUAGCCAACUCAGAUAAGGAUUUUAUUUUUCAAAUUUAUUCUACAUGAUGAAAACGAGGCCAUCCAUGGGGUAAAGAGUCCUUAGCAUUCCUAAUCCAAAUUGCAUAUAUCAUCUCAUUCGUAUGUAUACGAUCUUACUAUCUACAAUUGAUAUUGUUCUUUCUGAAUACCUUUUCAUGCAUCAACAAUCCAGAUAUGACAUCUUGAUCUUUCCUAAUAAGAAAGUAGCUUUAAUUUGGAAAUAAAUUUUCUUGUCACUUCACUUAGUUCUAAAAUUUUGAUGUCAUUGAAAUGGACAAAGGAAAAGAAUAAGUAGUCUGAGAGCAACAAUAAGAGAACGCUCUAGUAUAAUUUAUUUUUUGCUUAGAAUCUCUUUCAGUAACAGGCUUAAAAUAAAGUACUAAUAAUGUGAGUGACUACAUGAGAAAGUUUUCGAGUACUACAAUGUGAAAAGUGACAAGACUCACUUUUCCUACUUGUUUCUCGCAUAUAUAAGAAAAAUCAAGAGGGUCAGAUGAGGAAUUGCUUCCCCCAUUUCACAUGGCAACAACAUCAACACAUUAAAAGAAAAAGAUUGAGGAACAGGAUGAUGCAAGAAUUAUGGAAUCCUAACUAAUAAAGGAAAAAUAUAAUCUCUGGCUACAAUUCUAACUACACUCAAAGCUUUUUCUCUCGAUAGAAAUUUUAGUUUCUCUUUGUCUUCAUUUUUUCAAAUAAAAAAUUUUAGAAAUCGAUAAAAUAUCUUGGGAGUCAUCAAUAUGUUAUCCCUGAUGAGGGAGCAAACAAAGAAUAUUGAAUCUUACUACUUACGAGAAAGAAUUCAUUUUGACUUGAUCACGUAUAUUAAUUUUUUAAUGUCUUAUCCUAGGCCCAUUUAGUUGAUCGAUGAAUAGAUGUGUAUAAAGAAUAUUGGAUCCAUUAAUCUCAUAGUCAUGCUCCACUUCAAUCCACCACUCCAUCGUUACCAUUGAAAAAUACUUUGGUAAACACCUUCAUCAACGCCUUGAAGAAAACUUCAGAGAAAGUGCCUCUUUAUGAUAGUAGACAUGAUGUCAGGGUUUUAUUAUUGUUACUGUUAAGAACUCUUAGGCAAAGAAAUCACAUUUGUUAUAAUAGAGAUCGAGUUGGGGCAUGGUAGUUUUGAACUACACAAAUUCUGCAUAAAGUUAGUAAUAAUAGUGUCUCUUAUCGAUUUUACGCACUGCCAUUUGAUCUGAGAAUCAUAGGUGGCUUAAUAUUUAUUACUAUGUGAUUUCUGUUCCUUUUACAAUGGGUCGUUUGAAUCUUGGGAAUCAUUAUUUAGAUGUUGUAUUCAAUAUUUCUAAUGUCAUAGUAUAUGUUUAGUGGAAAGUUUUAAAGUGGCUAAUGAAACUUUCAAUAAUGAUUAUAGUAGUGUAAUUGUGAGAUUUCAUUGUGAUUAAAGAGUAGAGGUAAAAAAUAUCAAGGUUGAGAUAAGACUUGACCUAAUGAAUUUAAAUAUUUAUUGACUUGAGGUAGUGAAAAUGGUGGUUGUUGAAGAAGGAAAUAAAGUCUUAUGUUGGAAGUUAAUAAGAUGGGUGGUCUCCUUAUAAGGUUUGGACAAUCCUCUUUCUUUUGAGCUAACUUUUAUUGUGUGUGUUGGGCUCAAGAACUAAUUUUACAUGGUAUCAGAGCAUGAUUCAUCUCAAUCAAUAUUGGGCCUCCAAAUUAAAAAUUGACCAUGCACCAGAUGUUCAAUGCUGAACAUGAUGUCGGGUAUUAAAAAAUAAUUUUUUUUUUACAUCAGUUGCUAAUGAUAUGGGUGGUCUCUAUCUAAGAUCCAGAUAGUUUUCCUUUGAGCUAGCUUUUGAAGUGUGAGUUAGGCUUAAGACCUAAUUUUACAUAUUCAAAAAUAAAAAAAAGUCUCAAUUGGUGGUUAAUGAGAUGGGUGGUCUCGUUAUAAGACUUGCGCAUCCUCUUAUCUUUUUUUUUUUUAUAUAUAAAUAAAGUGUUUUAUUACCAAAUGUAGCGUUACAAAGCAUCAAGUUUGGACAACCCCAAUAGUUUAGGACGGAUCUCAGGGUCACCCAUUGGUUUAGGACUGACUCCACAAUAGUUGUCUUUACUCGUGGUACGGUAGUGACACCCUUCCAAUGGGAUUACAGAUUGGACCCCUAUUAGUUUAGAUUGGGGCAUGUCGGUUAGAUGAUUACCUCCCACAGUUUUAAUUUUAGUCUCAGUUUUUAGAAUAGAACUCAGUUCAAUUCUACAAAAUCAGGACUGUCAGAUACAAUCACUCAGUUAUCAGUAAUUUAGGUUAUCAGUGAUCUCAGAUUAUCAAUAUAUUUAGUUAUCAGUUAUCAGAUCCAGUUUCAGUAUACUUAGUUAUAGUAUGCACAGUAUGUUCAGUAGAGUCAUAUCCUCUAUGUAUGCUAAUCCAGCUCUUGCAUGUCAUUCAGUUAGUUAUUUCAUGCAUAUAAACCAUACAUUCAGCCUUACCUCAUUGAGCAUACCAGUAUAUUCUCACGUACUGAUCGCAUACCCGUGUCUUGCGCUAUGAUGUUUCAUAUCAUAGGUUCGGACGCUCAGGUUCUUGACCGCACUUAGCCAGAUUCAACCAGCAGUAGCAGAUUUAGCAGUGAGUCUUCAUCUAUCGAGGAUAUGCUUUUAUUUCAGUACUUUAGCUAAGUAGUAUUUUAGUAGAUGGAGUUAGGUGGGGGAUUAUCCCAUCAACUCCACUUUCAGACAGAUUCAGUUAGAGGCUUUUCAGACUAGAUUUCCAGACAGUGUUUCAGAUUCAGAUGUUAUUAUUCAUUAUCAGUAUUUUAGAUGUUUUGAACCUUAUGGCAUUUCAGCCUAUUAUUCCGCAAUUAUUUCAGUAUUAUUGUUCAGUGCUCUCAGAAGAUAUCAUUCAUGGAUUAGCUUGUGGUUCUUUGGGGUCACAAGCACCGUGUGACGACUAGGGGUAGUCCCGGGUCAUUACAAGUGGCUAGAAAUUUUUCCACGAGAAUUGAAAGAACAACAAUAAACUUAAAAUUAAUGACAAUCAACAAAUCCAACAAGGUAUAAAGGUUCUUUUUACUAAAUCUAAUUAUAAAAAUUAUUAUAUAUUUGACAAAAAUACAAUAAUUAUUUUUGACAAACUUAAAGGAUAAAAAUGCUCAUAAUUAAUACCUAACGGACUACUUUGAACUUUAUCGAAACAUAAGAGACUUUUUGUUAAUUUUAAAAGAAAAAGAUUGAGGUAAUAAUACCACGAAUGAAAUGCUUUAUGGCAUCACAAAAUUUAAGAUUUAUUUAUGCCACGAAUUUUAAAAGCAUUUCUUUUUUCUACUUCAUGGUUAAUCAAAUGAUGUCCCAUAAAUUGAAAUGAAAAAUAGUUAAAAAAAGCUAAAACUUGAUUCCCUUAUUUACGUAUUUUAUGUUCCAUUUAUUUGUACCUAAUAAAAAUUAAAAUUUUGAUCAUUCAGAUCUUAACUCAUAAUUAUAUACUUAAUAUUUUGUUUGAAUCUAAUCAUUUAGAUCUCAAUAAGUGUAUUAUCCCAUACACCUCGACACAAUAUUACUAUUACAAAGUACUUCAUCCAAUCAUUUUUAGUUUAUCAUUCUGUAUCUAUUUUAUUACUCUUAUUAAAUAUUAUUUAUUUUCAAACACGUAAAUGACUUAUAAUAACUAAUUAGAAGUGAUACAGUAAAAUUACUUGUGAAAAAAUUUAAGUGAGCCCCAUGUAAGUUGUCAAGUUAAUUUUAAAACAUCAAGAGUUAACUUUUCAUUUUGUAUCUAUUUUACCUUCUCUAUGAGUUAUUAUUAGUUUUCAAUACUUCAAUGACUUAUAAUAAUUAAUUAGGAGCGAUAUAUAUAAUAAAAUCACGAUUGAAGCAGCGAAACAAACAUAUCUUUAAUGACUUAUAAUAACUAAUUAGAAAUAAUAUAAUAAAAUUAAUAUAAAAAAUACUCGUGAAAAAAUUCAAGUGAAUCUAUAUAAGACAUCAAAAAUGAAUUUAUCAAUUUAUCUUUUUCUAACUUUCUUUAUUAAAUCUUAUUAAUUUUCUAAUACUUAGAUGACUUAUAGUAAUUAAUUAGGAAUAAUAUAAUAAAAUUAUGACUGAAGCAGAUGUCACACCCCUAUUUUUACCACAUCCAACCCCACUAGGGAGUUGGUUUUAGAGAAAAUGGGUUUUUCCAAUUAAAGUGACGUUUCGAAAAGGGAUUAUUUAUUUUACAGAGUCGCCACUUGAAAUUGAGUUUGAGUGUUUCAAGUCACCUUAUUGAAUCUCUAUUCAAAAGGAAAUGAUUCUUUAUUUUUGGUCUGUAAAAUAGAAAUUUGGAUAAGAAAUUCUAUUGACCGAGGGGAAGGUGUGAGACACCCCUCGAGUCCCGUGGUUCUAGCACGGUCGCUUUAAUGACUUAUGUCUGGCUUAAAUUAAUCUUUUGGAUAUAGAAUAUUUGUUUGCCUAAAGUGACUUCUAUCCUGCUUUUAUUUAUUUUGAAUUUAUUUAAAACUGUAUUGAUGUGUGGCUUAUCGAUAAUAGUACUUUUUGGCCUUACCACGAGUUUUGGUAUAUUUUUCGCGCCUUUGAGGCAUUUAUAAAUAGACCCCAUUUUUCUAAGUCUAGAUAAGCGCCUAAUAGGUUUAGAAUCUACCCAACCUGACUCAAAAGCGCCUAACAGGUUUAGAAUCUACCCAACCCGGCUCAAACGACUUCAAAUGGUAUGUUAAAUUUUAUUAUAACGAUUGGUCGAUAGUAGGACUUUCCAACUUCAUCGUUAAAUUUUCUCUUGUAUGUUUAACUUAAACAAACAUUACUUAAAUGCCACAUUAAUGUAAUUCUUCGCAACACAGUUAAUUACCAUUACGAAGUUAACCCCAAAAUUAAAAGAUCACAUAUUCCAUUUAACCAAUUUAUUACAACGAAAUUAACAUAUAGAAAAAAAAUAAAAUUUUGUAAUCACGCCAUUUCUUUUAAAUGAAUGAAACAACUAUUUAUUAUUUUUCUUUUACUACUUUUGAAACAACUAUAACUUUUUAAAACUUGUUUAUCAUUUACAUACUUAUAUAAUACAUGGGCCUAUUAUUGCUACGACUAUUUAUGAUCACAGACUACAGAGAACAUAAAAUACCACAAAUUAAAGGUAACAUUACUCAUGUAUUGUGUAGGCUUGAUGAUUUGAGAAUCUCUUAAUUAACAGUAGGCUUAGAUAUCAAGGUCAUGCAUGCAUGAGUCACGUAUUAGCUAGGGUAUAUCAUAAAUACUUUCUACGUAACCUUUUCAAUCUUUCAACGUUAUUAACUUUAAUAACUAUCUCAUUUAAAAUCCAAAAGUAGUUCAUUUAACAUUAUUUCAGAAAAAUAACACACGAGUUAUGAAUAAGGACGUAGACAUGAACUACAUAUAAAUAAUAAAUUACACAUAAUAAAUAAUAUAACAAGCCAUGAGAAUAACGUUAUUCAUUCUUCAAUCAACAACAAAACAUAUAAAAUGGUACAGAUGGAUAAGAACCUGGAAGAUGAACUGAUUAAAGAAAGUACGAAUGACGUCCGAAAACUCUAACGGAAACCCUCACGAAUUUGUUCCGCUACUUCUUUUCCUUUCUUUUUCCUUUAAAUCUUUACUUUCUUUAUGCGUUUCUCCUCUCUAUUUUCUUCUGAUUUCUUUCUCUUUUCAAUGUUUCUGCCUUUUGUUUCUUGUUUUCUCUAAAUUCUCUUUCUUUAUUUUUUUCUCUCCUUUUCCUCUCCUUUGAUUCUUCUAAGUCUUUUUUUUCGUCUGUUUUCUCCUUUUUCUUCUUUGUCCGUGUCUCUUCUAAUCCCAAUUUGUUCUCCCCUUUUGUUGUGUGCAUGUUCAUGUAUAUAUAUUAGUACAUGUGUGUGUCGUUUGUUGUGUAGUGGAGGUAAUGGGGAAAUUUAGGGAAGUAUUUUAAGGAGGAAAAGGUAGACGUGAGGAGGAGGAGCUGGAGAGGUAGUUUUAGGCUAGGAUUUUUUUUUUAAAUAAAUAAAUAAAUAAUAAUAAUAAUAAUAAUAAUAAUAUAAACAAAAGUUUAUUUAAAAUGUGACUCUAUUUUUUGUAGUUUUCAAAAUUUUUUAACAAACCUUGUAAAAUAAAAUAAACUUACAAUAUUUAAUUUAGAUCUAAAAAUAAAAUAAAAUAAAUAAAUAAAUUGAACACUAAAUUGACAUAAAAACGUUAGAUUUGAUAAAAAAUUAGGUGUUUACAGCAGAUAAAGCAGACAUGUUGAGCAUGAGUUACAUGCUUCAGCAGCUUCAUUCACACUUAUAAUAAUAAUAAUAAUAAUAAUAAUAAUAAUAAUAAUAAUAAUAAUAAUAAAAUUUUCUUAUUUAUACUGAAGGACUCAAAUUUUAACCCACGUGGUGAUAAGAGAAACAAUAUGGUUUAGAGAAGUUGCGUACAUAAAUUUAGCAUAAGAAAACGUCAAGUGUGUUGCGGUGGUCGGUGUUUUGAAGUAGUAUAGUAAUCUUUUCUUUUUUCAAUUUGGCUUUUAUGAAAAAAAAAAACAACAGAAAAGAUGAACAAAGACUUUGACCAUAAAAAUCAGAUAUAUUUUUUAAGAAAAUAUAAAUAAAGAUAAUAUUUUGAUUGUAUAUUUUACCUCCUAAAAUAUUUCACCAUAUUAUGUAUGCAUGUUUGUCAACUCCAUCAAUGAUACCCUUUUAACUGUUUUAAUAAAUACAAUGUGUAGAAUGAAAAAAGAAAUACUUAAUUAUAAACACUAGUGUAAUUAUUAUCACGCCAGUACGCGUUAAUCAAUUUUAAUAUACUCCAUUCGUUUAUUUUUACUUAUCAAUAAUUUUUUAAUUGAAUUUCUAUUUUUACUUAUCAUUUUUGAUAUAUCAAGAGAAGAUAACUUUUUUUUCCCUAUUUUAUUCUUAGCAUUAAUUAUUUUUUCUCUAAAUUAAUUUUAAGAUACAAUGUAAAUAUUAUUUAAUUGGGGUACUAUAGUAAAAUAAUUAUGUUAUUAAUUAUAUUUCUUAAUAGUUGUGUCUAAUCAGAAUGUGACAAAUAAAAACGAUGAGGAGAAGAAGAAGUUAUUAAAUUCAUCUUAUCACAAAUGAUCCUCUAAACUUGUCAACCAAAAUUAAUUUAGAAAUCUGUCUAUUUAUUUAAUAGAAUAAAAAUAGACAAAUGACAUCAUUAGAAUUUACUUUUAAAUUACUCUAUGCCGUUUCUAAAAGAAAAUAACUUUCUUCCAAUAAAAUGGAAGUCAAUAAUAUCCAUUUUCCUCAAUUAGGACAACUUAUUUUUUACGUUUGAUUCAUUUUCAUAAUUACAGUUUUUGGAUUUAAAAAUUCCACUGAAAGAAACUUUACAACACUUAUUAGGAACCAAAAGUGUUUUAAGUAAUGCUUAAUCAGUAGAUGAAUUAAAACGUGAUACACAUAAUAAGAUACAUAUAAAUUUUAGAAAAAGACGUGCGUGGCAACCACUAGCCUAUUUGGAUAUGAAGAGUUAUGAUAAGAUGGGUGAGAUUCAUAUACCUUUAAUUAGAGGUUUUGAGUUUCAACUUUUGAUAACGGAAAAGUUUAUCUAGGAGCGACGCGUCCAAAAAUGAGUCAUGCAAUGCGUGCAUUUAAAUUUAGUCCAGUUUCAAUAUGAAUAUCAAACACAAAAUAAUAAAAAAAAAUCUAGCUCGAUGUCUUAAUUUAAUAUAAAUAUUUCAUAAAAAAAGAUGAAAAAUGGAUAGAACACUUCUAUUUUAAGAAAAACUAUUUUGGCACUAUCCUUUUAUUUUUAUUUUUGUUCCUUAUAUGAUUUUGUGGAACAUAGAUUUGUCAAUUUCUCCUAAAGUUAUAUUCCAUCUUAACCCUCUAAAUUUUCACAUUGAUAUCAUUUGUAUUGGUUAGUUUUAGCUGUGAAAAUUCAUUUGGUUGGAGAAACAAAUGAAGAAUUUUUAAUUUAUUUUUAUAUUUUUUAUAAAAUAUUUAAAAUGUAGAAAAAAAUUAAACUUUUAUCACGGGGGUAAGGAAAGAGAAAACAGAAGAGGAGAUUAUAAUAGUUUUUUUUUUUUAUAAGGUGGAUAAUCAGAACUUUAUAAAAUAGAUGAAAGUCCAUGCAGCCAAUCAAUUAAAUUACUACUAAUUAUGCUCCCACAUAGGAUCAAUUGGUUUUGUAGUUCUUUUCAAAUUAGUUUUUAGUUUUAUGUUCUUUUUAUCAGAAAUUUUUAUUUUUAUAAGAAAUUAAAAAGUAAAACCAUUUAAGUGACCAUUUUUCCAUUUGACACGAUUUAUAGGCAUGCCCCAUGCUACCUAUGAACAUAUUUUUGAGACAAUUAAGAACAAGUGUUGGGGUAUUGCUAUAUGAAUUGUUGUUUUCACGAGAAAAAGAUAUUUAUCAAUUACUUUUGUAAAUAUGAUACCUAUGGUUAAUCUAAGUGCUUAAGAACAUAAGAAAGACAAUAAUCUAGUUUUAAUCUCCUUUAUAUUUGAUACAAUAACAAUACUUAUUUACAUACCCGUGGCCAACUCGAAGGGGCUAAAGUCCGACUUUCAAAUUUGGUUCCUGACAGUGGCGGAGUCAGGAUUUUCAUUGAGGGAGUUCAGAAGUAAACAUACGGACUAGUGAAAGGGGUUCAACAUCUACUAUAUAUACAUAAAAAUAUUUUUGAUCAUAUAAAAAUAAUAUAAUUUUCCGUUGAAUGAAGUUCGAAUGAACCCCCUGAUUACAAGGUGGAUCCGCCACUGGUUCCUGACAUAAAAUUAUCUUGUACCAUAUUUUUGAAAAUCUUUUAGUUUCUAGCGUAUAAUAAAUUGUUGCACCCUAAACUGCAAAAUUAUCUCUCGAAAACUUUUUUUUUUUUUUGUUAAAUAGGGCCUCAUAUAAGAAACACUAAUGUAUGGUUGGUUAGAAAAAAUAGGUUUAAAAUGUUCAUUAAUAUAAUCAUGGAUGGGAUGUUUAGGAAUGUAUUUUUAUUAUAAGACUUAAGUCAAAAUUUAGGUAGAUACAUUGCAUGGGAAUAUACUAUCAACUCAGUUAGAAAAAAAAAGGCAGGAUUAGUACCCAAAAUUGACAUUUUCCAUAAUCUUAUCAUAUCAUCAUUUAUUAAAUGAAGUUGAUUAAUUAAAAGUAUAGUGACACAACAUAGAAUUAUGUUGGGCAUGGAAUAACACUAUCCCUAAAGGUAAGCCAUGUGUCAAGAAGUGAAAAAGCCUAGAUUAUAUUUUCUUAUAAUCAUUCUCUACUCAAAAUUAACUGAUUCGAUUAAUUAAAAUUUGUAUCACAUAUAACUCAUUAAAACGAAAGUAUUUGUCACUAAAAAUUCUUCAGUUCCAAAUUUCAAAACCUGAGAUUUUUAAUUGAAAAUAAAAGAUAUUUCAUAUACCCCAUCACUAUUUUUGAUGGCAACCUAAAGUGCCUGAUUUCUAAUUAGUAAUCAUAAGUUAAAUCAAUUUCCAGGGUAGACAGAUUCUUAAAUCAACUUGUCAAUAUGUGGUCUGAAAUUUAGAUUUGUUGGUUAAUAUAGUUUAAUUGGAUGACUUCAUGUCAUUUCAUCUUGAAUAAAUUAAGACUUUGUCAAUAUUCAAGAUUUAAGGCUUUUUUUUCUUUUUUUCUUUUUUGGGUUCAUUUACCUAAAGAGAAGUAUGGUUGUGGAAUUGACUAUUGCCCGUACACCAUUAAUAUUUCACUAUAAUACAAUAUUUCAGUGUAAUUUCACAAAUAAUGUGUAGAGAAAAUAGUUUAAACUAGUAUGUAAACAUGAUUUAAUUGCAACUUUAGAGAUAGAAAAACUAUUUGUGAUAGACUCUCGAUUUAACUGGUACUUGUCAACAAUAUGAAAAAAACUAAUACAAAUAUGGUACAAUUACAAUAUAAACUAAUCGAACUGGAAAGCGCUACACAAUACACAAUAAAAAAAUAAAAUAAUACAAUAAUUGCCACAUAAAAUAUCAAUGAAAGGCUGAAAGCUAAAAUCAAAGAUCAAGGAAUAAUAAACGUAGUGCUAACGAUAUUAAAAAAGAUGAAAAGAAUGACCACCAAAUCUAUCUCAAAGGAAAGUCAAAUAAAACACUCAACUAUCAACUAAACUUCUAUCCUGAUACGUAACCUCCAAACUCUCCUAUCUAAUACUAAUAUAUAAUUGAUCUUUCAUGAUAUGUAUGGAAUAUUAUUUGGUUUUCACAAUAACAUUUUGAUAGAAAGUUAAAAAAUAAUAUCAUAUUCAUGUAGAUAUAAUUUAGCCUUCAGAUUUCCAUGAUCUUUUUAUGGAAUCACUAUAUUUAGGUGUAUCUAUACAAAUAUAAUUUUUUUUUUGCACGUUGGUAUGUAGGUAGUUAGGGGAGUAGGUAUACAGAUGGAUUAGGAUAAUUCAACACAUGUAAGCAUAAAACGGAUUAUAUAAACUUAAACAAUCUUAUACAUAAACAAUCCUAUUCAUAAUCCUUUGUAUUAUUCAGGAACGUUGAAUUUAAUGAUUUUCACAUACACAUAAUAACAGUAAUUCAAUAAAGAAUUACUUACUUAAAUUCUCCAUGAUUUUAGCGGAAGCAAAAGCGUAAUAGCAGAAGUACUGAAUUGUUUCUCUCUCUUUACCUUACUUUCAAAAUAAUUGUGAUGGAGCUUAUUCUUCUUUUGGCAGAGAGAGGACCCCUUUUAUAAUGAGAAUAGUCAGUUAUGUUUUCAAAUUCCAUCAACGUGAUUGGUGGAUACAAUCAUUAUCCUACUAGGAGUCGGUAAUUGUGGAUACAAUCCUACUAGGAGUCGGUAAUUAUCCUACUAGGUAACUUUCCAUAUAGAUUAAGGAUUUAACUUAUUCAAUUAUUAUUAAACCAAUAAAUAAAUUAAUUAUGUGGGCCAUAGAAAUUUACAUUCUCCCACUAUUAACGUUAAAUUCAACAUCAUUUGUCAUCGUUAAAUAAAUCAACUAAAAUGAGUUAUGGCGGUUGUACGUCCCUUUACUUGACAUAGUUCCUUCCAUGUACUACAAUAUUAGUCUAUUACCUAACAUAACCUUUCAAGUGCAUAAUGGGUCCAAUGAUAAUACUUAGAAUCCUUUAUCUAAGUCAGAACCUGUCAUCAUUAUUCACAAUAUUAUGUAUACAAGAGAAAACAGGUAACAACAGAAACAUAUAUAAUUUGAGCUCAAAGUGUCAAUUUCAUAAACAUAACAAAGUCUUUAUAUAAAAUCAUUCAUUGCUAUCAAUAAGACUCAUCCUUUCAACAUGUUCAAUAAAUAUUUUGGGCGGUAAUCCUUUCGUCAAAGGAUCAGCAAUCAUAAGCUUAGUGCUAAUAUGUUCAAUUGACANNNNNNNNNNNNNNNNNNNNNNNNNNNNNNNNNNNNNNNNNNNNNNNNNNNNNNNNNNNNNNNNNNNNNNNNNNNNNNNNNNNNNNNNNNNNNNNNNNNNNNNNNNNNNNNNNNNNNNNNNNNNNNNNNNNNNNNNNNNNNNNNNNNNNNNNNNNNNNNNNNNNNNNNNNNNNNNNNNNNGCUUCCAUAGUGGAUGCAGCUAUAACAGACUGCUUCGCACUCUUCCAUGAUAUUUCUCCUCCAGCUAAUAGAAACAAAUAUUCAAAUGUGGAUUUUCUUGUAUCCACACAACCAGCAUAAUCUGAAUCUUGAUAUCCAACCACAUGUAAAUGAUCAGAUCUUUUAUAAGUGAGCAUAUGAUCUUUUGUUCCUUGUAAGUAUCGCAACACUUUCUUUGCAGCCUUCCAGUGCUCCAUUCUAGGAUUACUUUGAUAUCGGCCCAACAUCCCAACAACAAAGCUGAUGUCUGGUCUUGUACAUGUUUGGGCAUACAUAAGACUCCCAACAAUUGAUGUAUAAUAAAUAUCUUUCAUUUGUUUUCGUUCUAAGUCAUUCUUUGGACAUUGAUUGAGACUAAACUUAUCUCCUUUCUGAAUUGGAACGGGACCUGAUGAGCAUUUUUCCAUUCUAAAUCUCUCUAAUACUUUAUUAAUAUAGGUUUUCUGAGAUAAUCCCAACAAUCCUUGUGAUCUAUCUCGAAAUAUUUCUAUUCCAAUCACAUAGGAUGCCUCACCCAUAUAUUUCAUUUCAAAGUUGUUAGAGAGAUAUUUCUUGAUACCAUGUAACAAACUAAGAUCAUUAGUAGCCAGCAAGAUGUCAUCAACAUACAAGACUAACAUAAUAAACUUAUUCCCACUGACCUUCAGAUAUAUACACCGANNNNNNNNNNNNNNNNNNNNNNNNNNNNNNNNNNNNNNNNNNNNNNNNNNNNNNNNNNNNNNNNNNNNNNNNNNNNNNNNNNNNNNNNNNNNNNNNNNNNNNNNNNNNNNNNNNNNNNNNNNNNNNNNNNNNNNNNNNNNNNNNNNNNNNNNNNNNNNNNNNNNNNNNNNNNNNNNNNNNNNNNNNNNNNNNNNNNNNNNNNNNNNNNNNNNNNNNNNNNNNNNNNNNNNNNNNNNNNNNNNNNNNNNNNNNNNNNNNNNNNNNNNNNNNNNNNNNNNNNNNNNNCGUAUAUUGACUUCUUAAGUUUACACACCAUGUGUUCCUUUCCUUUAAUAGAAAACCCCUCAGGUUGAUUCAUAUAAACUUCUUCCUCUAAAUUUCCAUUCAGAAAGGCUGUUUUCACAUCCAUUUGAUGUAGCUCUAAGUCAUUAUGAGCUACCAAGGCCAUUAUAAUUCUGAGUGAAUCUUUUCUAGAGACAGGUGAAAACGUCUCUUUAUAGUUAAUGGCAUCUUUUUGAGUAAAACCUUUAGCAACAAGUCUGGCCUUGUGACGUUCGAUGUUGCCAAUUGAGUCGCGUUUGGUCUUAAAGACCCAUUUACACCCAACUCUUUUGCAACUUUCGGGUAAUUCAACAAGGUCCCAAACUUCAUUCUGUUCCAUAGAUUUUAACUCAUCUUUCAUAGCAUUUAUCCAUUUAUCAUGCUUUCAAUGGCUUGUGAAAAUGAAACUGGAUCAUCAUCAAUUCCCAAGUCAGUUUCUGACUCAUGUAGAUAUACCAAAUAAUCAUCAGAAAUAACAGAUCUCCUUUGUAUUUGAGAUCUUCUUGAUGCUACUUCUUGUGGUUCAUCUACUACAGGUUCAUCAAUUAUGGCUUCAUUAUAGGAAUAUUAAUUUGUUGUUCUUGUUGAUUACUUUGUUGUACAACAUCUUCAGGAACAACAAAUUUAAAAGAAGUACAUGGUAGAGGAAUUUUCAUCCUAACUUCUUUAAUUUCCACGUUACGUGGUUCUUCACUCCCACUAACUUCGCCAUUCUCAAUGAAUCUAGCGUUUUCAGUUUCAACUAUUCUCGUACUAUGAUUAGGACAGUAAAAUCUAUACCUCUUUGAUUUUUCUAGAUAACCAAUGAAGAAACCACUGAUUGUUCUUGAAUCCAAUUUCUUUUCUUGUGGAUUAUAAACUCUAACUUCUGCCGGGUAACCCAAAAGAUGCAGGUGCCUCAAACUAGGUUUCCUACCAGUCUACAGUUCAAAAGGUGUCUUUGGGACUGCUUUACUGGGAACCCUAUUUAAAUGUAUAUUGAUGUUAUCCUUUGGGAGAAACAUCAAAAUACAACUUUAAACAUAAUGAUGCUUAAAAUAUAUUUAACACAAAACGAUAAUAUUUAAUGCAUCAAUUAAUAAUAUUUAUCAUCUUUGGAUAAAUAAAUAAAACUAACGAUACAUCAAAAUUAUCUCUUUAAUAUUUAUUGGUCAUACGAACAAACAAUCAACCUUUGGGUGAUCCACAAAUGUCUUAUAACCAAAAAUUUAAUUUACCCAUAAUUAUUAGAUCAAUUAUAAGCAUCAAGAUUAAUGGGUAAUUAAUUUAAACUUUAACCUUUAUUUUGUAAUUAAUUUCAUAAAGAUUCGACCACUUUGGUGAUUAACGAAUCUUACAUAUAUGAUUCUAAGUUAUAUUAAGAAACAAUAAAUUUUAUUAUUGCACACUACAACGUUCUAACAACAAAGAGUUGUUUCUUUAAUAUUUAAAAUAACAAAGAUUAAAUUCAUGUUAUUUUAAAUAGAAUCAAUUAUAAUACUAUCAAUAUUUCAAAUUUCGUUAUUCAAUAAUUGUGAAAUUUAUAACAAACAUAAUUAAAAUUCACAAAAUCUGGAGAAACAUUAAUUUUAAUGAAAAAUCACUUGUUCCGAAAAUCAGGCUCUGAUACCACAUGUAAGCAUAAAACGGAUUAUAUAAAUUUAAACAAGCUUAUACAUAAACAAUUCUAUCCAUAAUCCUUUGUAUUAUUCAGAAACGUUGAACUUAAUGAUUUUCACAUACACAUAAUAACAAUAAUUCAAUAAAGAAUUACUUACCUAAAUUCUCCAUGAUUUUAGCGGAAGCAAAAGCGUAAUAGCAGAAGCACUGAAUUGUUUCUUUCUCUUUACCUUACUUUCAAAAUAAUUGUGAUGGAGCUUAUUCUUCUUUUGGCAGAGAGAGGACCCAUUUUAUAAUGGGAAUAGUCAGUUAUGUUUUCACGUUCCAUCAACGUGAUUGGUGGAUACAAUCAUUAUCCUACUAGAAGUCAGUACUUGUGGAUACAAUCCUACUAGGAGUCAGUAAUUAUCCUACUAGGUAACUUUCCAUAUAGAUUAAGGAUUUAACUUAUUCAAUUAUUAUUAAACCAAUAAAUAAAUUAAUUAUAUGGGCCAUAGAAAUUUACAACACAAUCAUUAACUAUUGAUUUCUCUGAGAAGUGUAGAAUAACAUGUGAAUCUUUCUUAUUGUAGUACUGUAGUAUUAGAUUAUGUUACAAUAAUAGAUCAAUUAAUAAAUUAUAAAGAUUAUAUAAAUCAAUAAGUACUAAAUUCUUAGUUACUCAAAGUGAUUUACCUUCUAUAUUGUCACGACCCAAAUGGCUAUGAGUGGCACCCACACUAACCUUCAUGUGAGAGAAUAAUCUAAAUCAAACCAUUACCCAAUUACUUAGUCAAUAUUAAAAUGAUAUUUUCAUAAAAUCAUCUUAACAAUAAUAAUUUGAAGUUAAUCAUCAGUAAUGCGGAAACCAAACAAUCUACUUACUGAAAUUCUCAAGACCCGAAAGUCAAUCUACAAGAACUAUUAACAAAGAUCAUAUCUAAAGUAAAUCUGUCAACGGGGCCGGGCCGGGUCAACCCAAAAUCGGCCCGUGCUUUUUAAUCGGUUCGUGGGCCGGUCCGAUUUCGGACCAAUCUGGUACCAGACCCAACUGUAUUUUUUUAAGAAACAACCCGGGACUAGCCUAUUACACGUAGACCAGUCCAACCCAGGUCAACCCGGUCAAAACCUAAAAAAAAAUAAUUAAAAUUUAAAAGUUUUUCUCCAAUAUACACUAUAUAUACCCACCUAUAUACAUUUUAAAUACGUUAAACAAUAUACACACAAUAUAUAUAUACACUAUAUAUAUAGUUUAUACUACAUUAAAAUUUAAAAAAUAUAUACACAUAUAUACACAAUUACACAUGUAAUCAAUCAUGUAUACGACUAUACGUUAAAUAUAUAUACUACUUUAGACUUUAGAGUCUAUAGAAAAUAUAUACACAUAUAUACGUACCAUGCAAUAUAUGUAUUACUUUAAAUAAAACAUAUACUACAAUAUAUACACAUACUAUAUAUAUAGUUAUAUGCUACUUUAUAAAACAUAUACACAUGUAUAUGUUAAAUAUAUACUACUUUAGAGUGUAUACAAAAUAUGUACACAUAUAUACGUACGAUUACGAUAUAAUGUAUGUACUACUUUAAAUAAUAUACAUACAACAUAUACACAUUACACACUAUAUAUAUACUACUUUAUAAAAUAUAUACACAUUUAUACGUUAAAUAUAUACUACUUUAGAGUCUAUAGAAAAUAAUACACAUAUAUACGUACCAUACAAUAUAUGUACUACUUUAAAUAAUAUACAUACAACAUAUAAACACUAAAUGUAUACUACUUUAUAAAACAUAUUCUCAUGUAUACGUUAAAUAUAUACUACUUUAGAGUUCAUAGAAAAUGUAUACACAUAUAUACGUACCAUACAAUAUAUGUACUACUUUAAAUAAUAUACAUACAACAUAUAAACACUAUAUAUAUAUACUACUUUAUAAAAUAUAUACACAUGCAUACAUUAAAUAUAUACUACUUUAGAGUUCAUAGAAAAUGUAUACACAUAUAUACGUACCAUACAAUAUAUGUACUACUUUAAAUAAUAUACAUACAACAUAUAGACACUAUAUAUAUACUACUUUAUAAGACAUAUACACAUGUAUACCUUAAACAUAUAUUACUUUAGAAUCUAUAGAAAAUACAUACACAUAUAUACAUACCAUACAAUAUAUGUACUACUUUAAAAAAUAUGCUACUUAAUAUAAUAAAUUAAUAAUACUUGAGGUUUUGAACUUAAAAGAAAUUUAUUUUUUCAUUAUGUGUAUAUAUGAUUAUACGUUUGUUAUGUUUAAUUGUCUAUUACUUAGUGUAAAGUUUGAUAGUAAAUUAGUAAUAUAUUAAAACUAAGUAUUUAAUUUAAACUAGAAAUUCAAUUUAAAUGAAAAAAAUUACAAAGUAAGGAGUGAGUGAAUGUUAUAUUUUAUUGAUUGUAAAAUGAUCCAAAAUUUAUAAUGUACAUGAAUGAAAAAUCUACAAAUUUUGUAUCACUUUUUUCAACUCAUCUAUGUUAAUAUUAACGGAAACUGGCAUAGGAUAGUCAAAAUCAAUGGGGGCAAAACCAUGCAUUGGACUUGAUUGUGUUGAGUUCUCCCUUGAAGUUAUAAUUUCUUCAAGAUUCUGUUCGUCUUUCGGUUCCACCUCUCUGUUCUGCUCUAAUGCAAUAUCAAAGGCAAACCAGAACAUUCAUAGAAUUGCUUCCCAUUGAGUAUAGUUGUCUCUAAGCUGUUGUCGUCCCUGACUAAAAGUGUUCUCUGAUGCAACGGUUGACAUUGAAACAUUCAAUAUAUCUCUAGCUAAUCUUGAAAGCACAGGAUAUUUUCUUUCAUUAUUCUUCCACCAAUCUAACGUGUUGAUCCGUCAUCUACGAUCCUCUAUCGGCGUUCGAAGAUAAUACUUAAGCUCUUCCCGAGAAGUUGUUAUGUAAGUUUCCGCCUCAACAUUGUUCCAAACAUUUAACUCAUAAAAGUAAUCAGAAAAACCACUAUUUGCCAGCCUUUUAGAAGAAGAUGGAUCCUCGGGAGGAUGAGGGGCGAUAACUUGAGUGAUAUUUAUGUACAACUAUAUCAAGUAAAUCAACAUAAUGGUUAUAGAAUAUUUGUAUAUAAAUGUUCACAUCACUCAUAGCCGUAAACAAAUCUGGUUGUUCUUCAUCUUCAGAUUCAGAUUCAGCAUUUAUCUCUAAGUUAGAAUAAAUAAGAGAACUAAAGUGCCACAUAGUAUUAUAUUUCAUACAUGGAUUUAGUAUAGCACCAAUCAAGUAAAUAGGGGAGAAUCGAAAAAAAAUAUUUCUUAAAUUUAGAAAACAUAGCACUAACAGCUUCUUUGUAACCUUCUUUAUUCUUAUAUUCUUUGAGUAAAACAGAAAUAUCGGCUAUAUAUGUUAAACUAUUACAAAUAGUAGGAUAACAAGCACCGAAAAAUUCAACCGUAGCUAUAUAAAUUUGUUUCAAAAACUUAACAAGAUCAUCAAUUACAACUCAAUCAGAAUCAUGUAGCAUACAUUCAGCCGAAUCAGCAAAUGAACUAAAAUAUUGGUUAAAAGUUAGUGUAAUCGAAACUCUAUAAGCAUGACAAGUUUUUAAAUAAGCAUGUGUACCAUUUCAUCUAGUAUCACAUUUUUUAGGCAUUAAUAUCGGUCUAAGUCCAUUUUGUUCACAUUUAACUUUAAAUUUUCUAAUUCUUUUUUUUUUCCGAUUAUUUUCUUGAAUAAAGUCAACAACAAGUCGGAUUUUUUCAAUCUAAAGCUCAAAAAGUUCAAGACCAUCUCUUACAAUUAAAUUAUAUAUAUGACAAACACACUUAACAUAAAAUAUUUCAGGUAACGGCGGAGAGAGAUUAACUUUUAACUUUUUAAUAGCAGUUUUGUUGUUAGAAGCAUUAUCAAAAGCAAUACAUAAGACUUUUCUUUCAAUACCAUAAAAUUCUGUAACUUUACUAAUCGAUUCAGCAAUAAAUUUUCCAGUAUGUCUACGAUCUUCAUCAUACAAAAAAGUUAGAAUACGUUUUUGCAUAACAAAAUUAUUAUCUAUUCAGUGACAAGUAAUAGUUAAAUAAUCAUUUUUAUUAACAACACGACCAAUAUCAGAAGUUAGAGUCAUUCUACAUUAAAUAUUUUUUAACAAUGUAGAUAAAUAUAAACAUAUUGUAAAUGAAAUCUAAAAAUAUUGGCCCGACAAGUACUUCUAGGAAUACCAUUAAACAUAGGAUUAUAAAUUGCUUGAAUAUAAUGAAUAAAAGCAUCCGAAAAAGGAAAAAUGAAAGGCAAACAACCCACAACUACCAUUUUUGCUAUUUCUUUCCGGUCCCUCAAUUAUUAUAAUUCUUAGUUAAUUGACCGAUUGUUGGGUUUAUUCUAAUUUGUGUUGGCGCACCAACAACCUCACCACCUUUUGCAAUAAGAAACUCUCUAACGUGAUUAUCUCUUAAAUGUCUCAUUAACGAACCCGUGCUCCCUUGAUUUCCUCCUCUUUUAUGCUCAUAUACCUGUUGACAAAUAUUGCAUUGUAUCUUAGUUUUUCUUUCUAUAGAUGUAAAAAAUUCCCAUGCAAUACUAGUUUUUCUACGACUUUUAGGGACAACAGGAGGACGGGGAGGAAGAUUAACCGAUUUAGAUCUAACGUUAGCAUUUCCUACUGCGGGUGUCUCACCAAUAUUUUUAUCUAAAUUAGCCGCAUUUACUUCAUUUUCUUCUUCUUUACCAUAAUUUUCCCGAGCUCCUAAAUAAUCCAUAUUGUGAGCACCUACACCUAUUUCUUCCUCAAAAGGUUGAUUAAGUGGUACCUGAGGCACACGGGUAUAUCUACUACUUGAACUGCCUCUACUGCCACUAAUUCACUUUUUACUACUACUACUACUACUACUACUACUACUACCACUUUUGGGAUAAAUUUUUUUGACACUUUUAUCGAAGUUUCUUAAUUUAUCCAUAAUAUAAAUCAUACUAAAAAAAAUUCAAAAUACACAAAAAUAAUAAAAAUAAAUAUUCAAUAAUUAAUACACUAAUUAAAAAUUAAAAGUACGAGAUGGAACGACAAUACUAAAUUUUAAAAGUAUCCGAAAGUUGCGACUUUAGAAAACUUCCACUCGUAUUUGUAAUCGCAAAAUUAAAAAAUAAAAUUGACCAUUUUAAGAGAUAUAUAGAAUAUUUGAGAGAAUGAAAAUUGUAGAAAAUGAUUUGACAGUGUAGGGUAUUUAUAAUAAUUUUUUUGGAGUUAAAAAAAUAUUUUAAAUUAAUAUAUAUUUUUUUAAAUGGGCCAAAAUAGCCGUUUGAGGCUCCAAAAGGCUAUAUAGACAUUGGGCCCAACUACUAUUUUGGCCUAAACGGCUAAUUUCCCACAAUUUCAAAAAAAGAAUAUAACCGAACCAGGCAACCGGUGGGUCUGGUCCGGGUCAACUAGGCCCAAAAUAAAAAAUGGACCAGCCCAGGACCGCUAGCCCGUUAGACCAUGGGCUCACCGGGUCGGGCGAGCUUACCGGGCCGGAUCAACCCAGCCCAUUUGACAGACUCAGUCUAAAGAGAUAACCAAAAUAAAGUAUAUAAGGAAUGCCACAUUGCCCGAAAGAUGGAAAAUAACAAUAAGAUGACCCGUGUCAGAUAGAAAAUGGAGUGCUCACCCUUGGAUCAAAAUCUGCUAUCAAACUCUAGAGGCGAGGUCGUGCUUGAGCCUCUGGAACACUUUCUGUACCCAACAAAAUAAGAGUACAGGGUAGUAUCAGUACAAACCUCCACUAUGUACUGGUAGGUAUCAUAGGCCAACUUAACUUAAUAACAUACACACAACAUAAAUCAAAUAACAAGUAGACAAACAUCAUCAUAUAACAAAUUCUCAAUGAAUCAACAAUACAGCAGUAACAGGUCAAAUAGUGCUCACAAAUAAGCCAUAUAACCAUCAAGAGUAUCAACCAUACUGUAAACAUCCACAAAAUCAACACAAAUAUGUACACACAUGCUAUGAGACUUAUUUUUGCCCAAAUAGUCAUGACCUGCAGGGAACAGUCUAUGUUCAUGUACCAUACCAGUGUAGUACUAGAUCCAACAUAUACAUAUUUGUACCGGCGUGGUACCCAAUCCAACAUAUACAUGUCUAUACCGGCUUGGUACCCAAUUCAAUAUAUACAUAUCCAUACCGGCGUGAUACCCAAUCUAACAUAUACAUAUCCGUACCGGCGUGGUAUCGAUCCAACAUAUACAUAUCCAUAUCGGCGUGGUACCCGAUACACUAUAAACAAGUAUUAUAAAUAUCAAAUUUACUCUACCUCAAAGCAUACAACAUGAUGUACCAAGUUUACAAGUACACUUAAAAUCAUAAGACAAUUCCAUCAAGUAAAUUUCACUAAUCAUUUAUACACGCAUCAAUAAUUCAAACAUCAAUAAUUUUAAGCAUGUCCAAAUACCAAUCAACAAGUAUCCAAUUUAGGAGCAUAAAUGCAAUUAAACUGAGUCUAAACUCCAAUUAAACCGUAACCUACCUCAAUCAAGGAACCCGAAUAUCACUAGUCCACAAGUGUCUUGCCCUUCCUCAAAUUUUUGAAACGUUCAAAAAUCUGUUCAAAUAUAUAAUCCUCAUGAGAGUUCGAAUUUAAUAACGCCCUCUUUAUAAAUUCUUACUUUAAAAAUUCUAGAUCGAAAGCCAAAUUUUCUAUAAUAAAAGAAACUAAACUGUAAUUAGUGGCUAUAAGGUCGUAACUACUGAAAUUAGCAAAUCCUAAUUAUCAAAUCUUCGCAUUAUUCAUAAUUCUAAGGCACUGAUUAUGCCAUUAUGUACAAUAAACAGAAAAGGACAAAAUUCUUAUAUUGUAACCCAUUAAUCCUAAGGAAAAGUAAUUACAAUCUGACAGAAAUUUAUAUGUUCAUAACAUCUGUUACCGCCACUUUCAAUUCAUUGAGUUUUGUCUUUCUGCCAACCAUUGGCAUUCUAAUUGCCAUAACUACGUCCAACCAUUAUCGAUUGGCGUAGCUUCUAGCCCAACAUUGACCACUUACUCGUUAUUAUUCAAUCUAUUCAACUUUCUCAACCACUAACAAUUAUUAACAUUACCAACAUAUAUGUAUUUCAUUUAUAGAAAGGGGAAUUCUCACAUGAAAUUCGUUCCUCACCUCUUUACAUUGCAACAGUUUUCCACCCCCUAUUUAUUUUUGGCUAUCAUUCAAAAGGGUUAAAUCCUAUUAACUGAAAGUCAUGUAAUAUCUGAUAGUAAGAAGAUUGUAGUUUUGACCUACUAAACCAUUAAUUAAAUUAAUUAUCUAAAAUACCUUAAACUUUUUAAUAAAUUCUCAAAAUUUGUUCGGAAUCUCAUAAAAUAAAUUAAAUAUGUAAGUUAACUAUAAAUUACAUUCCGAAUCUAUUGAAAACACUAAUUCGGGGUCAUCUUGAUCAAAGAUUGAUCGCAGUCGAAUUUUAUUUUCUUAAAUUCAGUAACCUGACUAAUGACUUAAGUCACUUCCGAACAACUCAAGAACCGAUACUGCUCAUUCACCGUAAGUUAUAAUUCAUCUACAUAAACUACGAGGAGAGCUAAAAUAGGAAAAAUGAGAAAAUUUCACAAACGAUUGGGUGAGUCAUUACAUCAAAUACCAAUUAAACAACCGUUUAUUCCCGAACGACAACAAGUAACAAGGAGGGAAAACAGGAAUUACCUGAAUCAACAAAAAGUUGUGGAUAUUUGCUACCAUGUCUUCUUCGUUAUCCCAAGUGUCCUCCUCAAUAGGACGGUUCUUCCACUGGACCUUUACAGACGCAAUCUCCUUAGUCCUUAACUUACGGAUAUCUCUAUCAAUAAUAGCAACAGGUUCGUCUUCAUAAGAGAGGUUUUCAUCUAACAAGACCGAAUCCCAAUGAAUUAUGUAGUUACCUUCACCAUGAAACUUCUUUAACAUAGAAACAUAAAAUACAAGGUGAACUCCCGAUAAGCUUGGAGGCAAUGCCAACCUGUAGGCCACCAGACCAAUGUGAUGAAUAAUUUCAAAUGGUCCAAUAUAUCUAGGACUGGGCUUACCUCGCUUUCCAAAAUACAUGACACCCUUCAUGGGUGAAUGAUACAAGUCAAAUGGCCGCCUUAGCUUUUGAUGACAUCUUUGGAGGCCAACACUUAAAGGCUCAAGACUUGAUCUCCCUGAGAGCACAAAGAUAUGCAAGGAAGGUUCGUUUUGAGCAUGAAUUGAAGCAAUCCCGUGUAUGGAAGGUUGCUUGGAAGCUUACAUUGAUGUUAACCCGAGAACCACAAGCCUUGAAGACUUAAAACUCUCGGGUUUGGACCACCUUUGUUGGUUCACGAUUUUGGUUCCCUUUACUAAGGGCAUUUUGGUCACUUAGCCUUAAGGGCAUUUUUGACAAUUCAUAUUGUCUUCCAACACAUCAAGGCCACCCUUGGUCAUUAAGGGUAGUGUGGUCUUUCUGUCUCCCUUUGUAAUAUACUAUAAGUAGUACAUUUUAGGUCUUUUCUCUUUAGUUUAUGAAUUAUGAAAUAUUGAAACAUUCAAAGUCCUCUAUUUGAGAGUAGAACACCGUAGUUUAGUCUUAGUUAGGGCUUGGAAUAGCCAUUGUAGUUUAGGGCUUGGAAAAGCUAGUAUUGAUCUUUGCUUGAAAACGGUGGAUCUUGAGGUGCGUUGAUUUCCUUGGCGGUCACCGUAAGAGUGUGGUGUUGAUUAUUAUAUUCAUUAGGGGUUAGUGUUGAAAUACUCUUGGUUAUUAAUCUUGUAAUAAUAUUUGUCUCACUAUCUAUCCUUUUCAUUCUUGCAAACUUGUUGUGUUGUUCUUGUUCUCUACUCUUGUUUUGUGUUUGUUCUUGUUGGCUGAAAUUGUUGCCUUCUUGUUCUUUAUUUUAUGUAUUGUUAAGCUAGUUUGGGUUGGCUGAAAUAGGUGUCAAACACCUUGUUAUCUUCUCAUUCUAGUGUUGUGUUGUGAAUUCGAGAGAGGUCUCUAAUCGGUCCAAGGAUCUUAGUGAUUUGUGUACUGUUUUGGAGUAUGUUUGUAGACUGUUUUGAGUCAUUUCGUGAGUUUCUUAUUUUUCUUGUAUCAUUUAAUAUUAAAGCAUGGCUUGAUCUUGUUCCCACAAGAUCAAUCUUGGGCUUUUUAGUGAAAAAAUAAAAAAAAGUGUUCUAAACUAAAAAUUUCAGAAAAAAAUAGCAAUCUGUCCGUGUUGUGUUCUUGGCCAAAAAGUGUGUUCUUGUUGUGUCUUGGCCGAGAUUUUUACUUGUAUUUGUUGUCUCUAAGUGUUAGUUUUGUUCCUCACUAACAUAUUGAGUCUAUCUAGAUUUGAGCUUUAAAAAUUGAUGUUGUUGUUGUGAACAAGAAGUGACUGUGAGUUGAAGUUGUUGUUCUAACUUGGCCAUGUGGUGACCUUGUUGUUGGGCGUUGGUUGGUGUUUUUGUUGAUCGUGGUUGUUGUUGUUGCAUUCUUGUUGUUCAUCACAACCUUCAUUUAGUGUUAAAAUAGAAAAUACAACACCAAAAAAACUUGGCCGUUUGUUGGUGGUUUUAUUAUUGGUCUUCUUGUUGUGGAAUUGGGCAUUGGAACUUGUUGUUGUUCUUGGGAGAUUGUUGUUGGUUGUUCUUGUUGUGGUGGUUGUGUUCUUGAAGUUCUUCACCAUAUUCAUCACCUUGUUAACAUAAAGUGAAUGAUAGAUCCUAAAAGGUGAAGGAAGGAUGUGUAAGUAAUUGUUAGUCUUGAAAGACCCCCAACCAUCAAAAGACUUUACAUCACUUCUCAACCACUUUUCCAUGAAACAAGGGUCCAUGUUUUAAGGAAAAGUACUACAAAAGUCAAGUCUUGAAAUUUGAAACUUGAAAAACGGCUCCAAGACUUAUUCUUCCCUCCUUAAAAUAAAUUUCACCAAUCCAAAUUCAAACUGGUUAUGACUUGGACUUUGGAAAAUAAAAAUUGUAGAAACCGCAACUAAUACGUGGCUGCCAUGUCAUCAAGUUACUAUUCACACUUCAAAUUUUGGCUCAAAUUUUGGAUUUCAUAGUUUUCUUUUGUUGUUCCUUAGUUUCAAUUUCCUUGGUUCCAAUACUAAUUGGCAAACUAGUACUCAUCUACUAGAUUGUUAGUUAGUCUUUGUGUUCGUUCAUUCGUGUUUGGCAUUUGUUAUGUGCUUUUCUCGUCUUUAACUCGUCGUAACUUCUUUGUUUCAAGUUCAUAAGUAAAUUUUAUUUUGUGUCUUAAGUCAAUCAAACAAGAAUCUAUUCCGGUCGCCAAGUAGAAUUGACAUCUUAUUGACUAUCGGAGUAUAAGCAACUUUUAAUAUUCGCCGCUCCAAUUGUGAGAAUCACAAAGGUGAGUGUAUAUGAGUAUUGGUAAGGAGCUUUUACUACUAAUCUUGUUUGUUGUGUUGUUGUUUAUUGUCGUCUUUUGCUUUAGGUACCAUGGAUGCCACUAAUCUCGAUGCCACAUUUGAUCGCAUCAAUGACGAUCUUGAAGAUAUGAAAUGACACGUUAAAAGGCUACGCCAAUUGUUGCCUAAACUUUUCCCACAAAAUCCAAUUCCUAUUAUCCAAACAACUUGCGAUGAGAGCUUUCCGAAGGAAGUCGCUACCCAAGUUUGUGAAGGACCUUCACACCGAGGUAAAGACAAACAUACUCAUGAACUUCAAGGUAAAAUAGCUAACUCUUACACUUUUGUGCAUGUGAAUGAUGAUCGUGUGACUAAUAAGCUGUUGAGUGUGAGUAGUAGCUUACCUACAUGUGAGUAUAUUGAUUAUUUGCCAUUUGUGGAUGAUGUACAUGGUGUGUGAGUGGAUACACUAGUUGAUCCUAUAGAUGACCGAAUUGACUCUUCUUGCAAGAUCAAUUUGUGUCCACCUAGUGUUGAAGCUAUUGUGUUGAAUGAAAGUACAUCGUCGUGUGAAAAAUAUAUUGACCAACUUGUGUGUAAAACUUACCCACCACUUGAGGUUAUGUGUGAUAUGAUUAAUGAAUCUUAAGUGAGUGAAAAAUUUGAAAAUGUUGGUCAAAGAAAUAGGAGUGAACCCGAGAGCUCUUCUUGGGGUAAUUUUGUGCUUGAAACCUCCUUGAAACUCGAUAUUGAUCUUUUAGAGAGUGAAGAACUUGUUCCAAAUUUUCUAGUGGAUUGGAUAAUGCUCUCUUUAGGUAUAAUGUUUGGUUUGAAGAUGAUAUAAACACUCCUAAUGAACCUAGUGGUGAACAUGAUGGUAUAGCUUGCCUUGGAAGCUAUAGCCGAUAUGCUAACCCACUAUGGUGUGACAACAUUCCCCCUAAAGAUGAAAAUCUCUUUUUGAAAGAUGAGAGUACUAUUACGGGUAAGGAAUAUGUAGUCCUUCUUGAAAACCUGAGGGCAAAGGUGUCAUUGACUCCUUGGGAUAAUGUUUCUAAAUUUGUAUCCUUGCUCGACACACUUGUGCUUACAUUACAUGAAUACCAACUUGAGGAUGCCAAGUUGCCUACUUGCUUGAAGGAAAGAAUGUGUAUGUGUUCAAAUGUCUUAUCUUCACCCGUGUAUACCUUUACACUUGGUUCUUUCCUGUACUACCUCUUUUCCUAUGAUGACAUCCAUGCUAGUUAUGGAUUUGUAUUAUGUAGAGGUAGAAAACUUGUUGGUUGGUUCACUUGUUCUAAUGACUAUGUUAUGUGUGUUGGGUGGACUUUAAAACCAAUAGUGGCACAACGAUUGAUGAGGUCACUUGAAGAGGUAAUGAAACAAUUAUGCUUUAUGGUCCCUAAGUUACGGGUGGCCUUACCCUUGGGACUUCGGGAUACCAUUGAGUCCUUUGUAGUUUCUUUAUCUCUUGAUACUUGUCAUAACCAUGCCCUUUGUGAUGUUUUUGCUAAGAUUUUCAUGACUAACACCACGGAUUCAUGGUUAUAUUUUAAGUAUGUCCCACCUUUGCAUGAUGAUGGUUUUUAUUAUACUAACCCUAACCCUCAUGCCUUGAGGAAGUUGUGCUUGUUUUUCCUUUCUCUUAUUUUGCAAGGUAUGGAUUCGAGGUUGAAUCCUUUUUAAGGAGGGGAGGAUGAUACAAGUCAAAUGGCCGCCUUAACUUUUGAUGACAUUUUUGGAGGCCAACACCUAAAGGCUCAAGACUUGAUCGCCCUGAGAGCACAAAGAUAUGCAAGGAAGGCCCGUUUUGAGCAUGAAUUGAAGCAAUCCCGUGUAUGGAAGGUUGCUUGGAAGCUUACAUUGAUGUUAACCCGAAAACCACAAGCCUUGAAGACUUAAAACUCUCGGGUUUGGACCACCUUUGUUGGUUCACGAUUUUGGUUCCCUUUACUAAGGGCAUUUUGGUCACUUAGCCUUAAGGGCAUUUUUGACAAUUCAUAUUGUCUUCCAACACAUCAAGGCCACCCUUGGUCAUUAAGGGUAGUGUGGUCUUUCUGUCUCCUUUUGUAAUAUACUAUAAGUAGUACAUUUUAGGUCUUUUCUCUUUAGUUUAUGAAUGAUGAAAUAUUGAAACAUUCAAAGUCCUCUAUUUGAGAGUAGAACACCUUAGUUUAGUCUUAGUUAGGGCUUGGAAUAGCCAUUGUAGUUUAGGGCUUGGAAAAGCUAGUAUUGAUCUUUGCUUGAAAACGGUGGAUCUUGAGGUGCGUUGAUUCCCUUGGCGGUCACCGUAAGAGUUUGGUGUUGAUUAUUAUAUUCAUUAGGGGUUAGUGUUGAAAUACUCUUGGUUCUUAAUCUUGUAAUAAUCUUUGUCUCACUAUCUAUCAUUUUUCAUUCUUGCAAACUUGUUGUGUUGUUCUUGUUCUCUACUCUUGGUUUGUGUUUGUUCUUGUUGGCUGAAAUUGUUGCCUUCUUGUUCUUCAUUUUAUGUAUUGUUAAGCUAGUUUGGGUUGGCUGAAAUAGGUGUCAAACACCUUGUUAUCUUCUCAUUCUAGUGUUGUGUUGUGAAUCCGAAAGAGGUCUCCAAUCGGUCCAAGGAUCUUAGUGAUUUGUGGACUGUUUUGGAGCGUGUUUGUGGACUGUUUUGAGCCACUUCGUGAGUUCCUUGUUUUUCUUGUAUCAGUGAAACUUUGAGCAACACUUGCUCACCCUCCAUAAAGUGCAUAUCUCUAACUUUCCGAUCCGCAUACUCUUUUUAUCUACUUUGAGCCGCUAUUAGUUCUUCCUGAAUGAACCUGACAUUCUUUAACGAUUCUCUUAGUAGAUCAGUACCCCAUAGUCUCACCUCAAAAGCAUCAAACCAUCCAAUGGGAGAUCUAUACCUUCUCCCAUACAAGGCCUCAAACGGUACCAUAUCGAUACUCAAAUGAUAACUGUUAUUAUAUGCAAACUCGGCCAAAGGUAGAAACUGAUCCCAAUGACCUCCAAAAUCCAUCACAUACGCAUAAAACAUAUCCUCCAACACCUGAAUCAUUCACUCGGACUGCCCAUUAGUCUAAGGGUGAAAAGCUAUACUAAGUUCCAACCUUGUACCUAACUCCUAAUGCAAUUUCUUCCAAAAGGUAGAGGUAAAUUUAGUAACCCUAUCCGAGAUAAUAGAAACUGGGACCCCAUGCAACCGAACAAUCUCCUUAAGAUAAAUCUUGGCCAACUUUUCUGCAUUAUAAGUCACCUGAACUUGAAUGAAAUGUGCAGACUUCGUCAACCUAUCGACAAUAACCCAUAUAGAAUCAUACUUUCCCAAAGUCUUGGGAAGACCAACAACAAAAUCCAUAGCUAUCCUCUUUCAUUUCCAUUCAGGAAUGAGCAUCCUCUGAAGAGUACCACCAGGCUUCUGGUGCUCGUAUUUUAUCUAUUGGCAAUUCUGGCAUUUAGCAAUAAAAUCAACUAUGUCAUGCUUCAUCCGACUCCACCAGUAAUGUUGCCUCAAAUCACCAUACAUCUUAGUCGCUCCAGGAUGUAUAAAAUACUUUGAACAAUGAGCUUCAGCUAGAAUAAUAGGAAUCAAAUCAUCAAUACGAGGUACACAAACUCGCCCCUUAAUCCGCAACACACCGUCAGCAUCAAGAAUGGCCUCCUUGGCCUCACCCUGCAAAACCUUAACAUGAAUCUUGCUCAACUUAGUAUCCUCAAAUUGUUUAGCCUUGAUUUGAUCAAUAAAUGUGGACCUUGCCUCAAUGCUGGCUAGAAUUCCUCCUUUCCCAUUCACUUCAAGUCGAACAAACUUUUUGCUAGAGUCUGAAUCUCUCCAGCCAACGAACACCUGCUAGCAUUCAGAUAAGCCAAACUACCUAUACUUGCUAACUUCCUUCUCAAUGUAUUAGGGACCACAUUAGCCUUCCUCGGAUAGUAGAGAAUGGUGAUAUCAUAAUCUUUAUGCAACUCUAUCCAUCUACGCUAUCUCAAAUUCAAAUCCCUCUGCGUGAAUACAUACUCUAAAUUGCGGUGAUCAAUGAACACUUCAAAACGAGCCCCAUACAAGUAAUGCCUCCAUAUCUUAAGAGUAAAAACUACAACAACUAACUCCAAAUCAUGAGUGGGAUAAUUCUUCUCAUAGGGCUUUAAUUGCCUCGAAGCAUAAGCAAUAAAAUUCUUUUCCUGCAUCAACACAACACCUAAACCAAAAUGUAAGGUGUCACAAUAAAUAAUAAAAUCCUUACCUUUUAUCGGCAAGGCAAGAAUAAGAGUGGUAGUCAACAAGGUCUUGAGCUUUUGAAAGCUCUUCUCACACCCAUUCGACCAAAUAAAAGGUACAUCCUUUUGGGUCAAACCGCGUCAUAUGAGUAGGAAUAGAAGAGGGGGUCAAACCGCGUCAUAUGAGUAGGAAUAGAAGCAAACCUCUUCACGAACCUAUGAUCAUAACUCGCUAAGCCAACAAAGCUACGAACCUCCGUGACUGAAGUAGGCCUAGCCCAAUUCUUAACCACUUCAAUUUUUUGAGGGUCUACCAUCACCCCAUCCUUCGAAACCACAUGCCCCAAAAAGGAUACAGUACAGAAGACAACCAGAACUCACACUUAGAAAACUUUGCAUAAAGUUUCUUAUCUAUUAACAAACCCAAAACAAUCAUUAAGUGAUUCUCAUGCUCCUCUUUACUCUUAGAUUAAACCAGAAUAUCAUCAAUAACUACAAUCAUGAAAGAAUUCAAGUAGGGUUUAAAUAUUCCAUUCAUCAAACUCAUAAAAGCAGCUGGGGCAUUAGUCAACCCAAAAGACAUCACAAGAAACUUAUAGUGCCCAUACCUGGUUCGGAAUACAUUCUUAGAAAUAUCGUCAGGCUGAAUCUUAAGCUAAUAAUACCCAGACCUCAAAUCAAUCUUAGAAAAUACAGAUGCACCCUGCUACUGGUCAAAUAAAUCAUCGAUACGGGGCAAAGGAUAUUUGUUACGGAUCGUAACUUUGUUCAACUGCCUUUAGUAUAUACACAUCUGAAGACUACCAUUCUUCUUCUUUGCAAAGAGGAUAGGAGCACCCCAUGGAGAGACACUCGGAUGGAUAAAGCCCUUACUAAACAAAUCCUGCAACUAAGCCUUUAGCUCCCUCAACUCAGCCGGAGCCAUCCUAUAGGGAGGAAUAGAAAAAGGACGAGUACCUGUCUCUAGAUCAAUACAAAAAUUAAUGUCAUAGUCUGGUGGCAUACUAGGCAAAUAUGCAAGAAAAACCUCUUGGAAUUCACACACCAUAGAAACUGACUUAAUAGAUUGGAUCUCUGCGGAAGUGUCCCGAAGAUGUGCUAGAAAGGCCAAACGACCUCUCCCAAUUAACCUUUUUACACGCAGAAAGAAAAUAUGUUUCAUUAGAGCAGGACUAUAAUCCACCCCCCACUCAAGUCUAUCCAUUCCCAUCAUAGCCACCAUCACUGUCUUAGCAUGAUAAGGAGACAACCAACUCAUACCCAAAAUUAUGUCAAAAUCUAUCAUGUCUAGAAUCACUAAAUCUGCCCAAGUUUGAUACCCCAUAAACAUAACAAAAUAAGAACAAUAAACCCUAUCAGCAACAAUAGAACCACCAACAAGAGACACGUGAAUCGAAAAGUCAAGCAAAUCACACACCAUGUCCAAUCCCACAACAAAAUUAGAAGAUACGUAUCAAAAAGUAGAGCCAGGAUCAAAUAAUACAAUGACCAUCUGGUCACGGAUAAGAAUAGUACCUAUAAUAACAAUGUCUGAUGCCUCUACCCCAGGCCUUCCUGGAAAGGCAUAGAUAUGGGCCCUACCACCAUUCUGAGCAUCACCCUUGCCAAGCUGAGAACCACCUUGAUGGGGUAGAUUACGACCCCUACCUGCUUGAUAACCACCGCAACCACUCUGUGGACCACCUCUACCAUUACCACCACCUCUCCUACCUGCUAGAACUAGAGCUCUAGGAGUCUGCUAUUGGCUAGACUGAUCAAAAUGCCUCACAUUAGGACAAAACCUCCUAACGUGACCCACUCUUCCACACUCGUAACAUAUACGGUCCAAGGUAGGCCACUAAGAUUAUGAAGAUGAAGUGAGGUAACCACCAAAGUUUAAAAAUGCUGGCUAGCUCUUGACGGACUACCCACAGACACCAACAUCGCUUACUGAAUGGGGCGGGUAGAGUAUCCAUAUGCACUCUAACCCCUGGAAUAAAAACCACUGAAACUUCCCCCUCUACGAGCCUUCUUUUCUAAUGCCUUGGCAUAGCCCUCUUGUCUUACGCCCUCCACCUUCUUGACAAAAUAAACCAUCUUCUGGAAAGACCUACCUGAAGAUGUCAUCUGAAGAGCAAAAAUCUAGAGACCUGUAUUCAACCCCUUCAUAAAUAGACGGAUCCUCUCCUUUUCAAUUUUAAGAAAGUGAGAUGCAUACCGAGACAAUAAAUGAAAUUUGGCCUUAUAAGCCACAACUGAGAUAUUUCUCCGCUUAAGAUUAGCAAACUCAUCCCUUUUUCUAUCUCUCAAAGUACGAGGCACGUACUCUUUUUAGGAAAAUUAAGUAAAACUGUGUCCAAGUCAAGAGAGGCAAAGCUGCAUCCCUACACUCAACAUAGGCCCUCCACCACAUCUUAGCAUCCCCUGAAAUUGAAGAGUAACCAAUUCUACACCAUACCUUUCAUCUACCCCCAUCAUGCACAGCCCUGAUGACAGUUAAUAAUAAACUCGUAGGCAUCCUCCGACUCAGUUUUCAUGAAAAAUAGGAGGCUUCAUUUUGAUAAUCUUACAGAACAACUCUUGCUCUUCUCCGGUCAUAAUCGGGACUACUAUUUGUCUUGGAAAAAUAUCUGAUUAUGAUGUUUCUUUCAUCUGAGAGGCUACAACAGCAACAUGUUGCAUCCCAUGCUGAACUGUGGGUGAUGCAUGCAUAGUCCCUGAUCCUGCCAAACCACUCAAAAAAUGCAAAACCUGCUGAAUCAUAGCGGAAGACAUUUGAAUCGGAGCUGCACCUCCCUGACUUGGUGAACCCCCAUCAUGAAACGAUACUUGUUCAUUCUACACUAGUAUAGCUCCAUCCUCUGCUACUUCACGAAAAUACUCAUGUGGGGGAGGAGAUACUAGCCUCUCUCUAGCUGGCCUCGCAGCCUGAGCUCUGCCCCUGGUGGGCACUGCUCUCUUUCCUCUGCCACGUCCUCCUCUUGCCUAGCCUCUAUCGUGACUGCUGCCUCAGCAACCACUACAGGCACCUCAACUCUUGCCUCAUUUGUUCGUAUUCUUACCAUUUGCGAGAAAAGAGUGAAAGAAGUUAAAUACCAAUUGGAAUCGCUAGAUAUCAAUUGAAAUCAAGCAAUAGCACAUAAUAAAGAAGAAUUUGAAUUUUCGUCUUGUAUUGUACCCUUUCGAAGAAAAGUACAGAUGUCUCCAUAUCAUUUUGCAAGACUCUACUAGACAUGUUCUUAUACAAUGAGAUUGACGAACCUAGGAUUCUGAUUCCAACUUUGUCAUGACCCAAAUAGCCAUGUGUGGUACCCACACUAACCUUCCUGUGGGAGAACCAUCUAAAUCAAACCGUUACCCAAUCACUUAGUCAAUAUUAAAAUGAUAUUUUCAUAAAAUCAUCUUAACAAUACUGAAAUUCCCAAGACCCGAAAGUCAUCGUACAAGAUCUACUAACAAAGAUCACGUCUAAAGAGAUAACCAAAAGAAAGUAAAUAACGAAUGUGACAUUGCCCAAAAGAUGAACAAUAAUAAUAAGAUGACCUGUGGCAGUCUGGAGACGGAGUGCUCACCCUUGGAUCAAGAUCUGUUAUCAAAAUCUAGAGGUGAGGUCGUGUUUGAGCCUUUGGAAUACUUUCUGCACUCAACAAAAGAAGAGUACAGGGUAGUAUCAGUACAAACCAUUAUGUACUGGUAGGUAUUAUAGGACAACUCAACUUAAUAACAUGUACACAACAUAAAUCAAAUAACAAGUGGACAAGCAUCAUCACAUAACAAAUUCUUAAUGAAUCAACAAUACAACAAUAACAGGUUAAACAGUGCUCACAAAUAAGCCACAUAACCAUCAAGAGUAUCAACCAUACUAUAAACAUCCACAAAAUCAACACAAAUAUGUAAACAUAUGCUAUGAGACUUAUUUUUGUCCAAAUAUUCAUGACCUGCAGGGAACAGUCUAUUUUCAUGUACUGUACCAACGUGGUACACGAUCCAACAUAAACUAGUAUUAUCAAUAUCAAAUUUACUCUACCUCACAGCAUACAACACGAUGUACCAAGUUUACAAGUACACUUAAAGUCAUAAGACAAUUCCAUCAAGUAAAUUUCAAUAAUCAUUUAUACACGCAUCUGUUAUACCCCAUUUUAAGAUGGGUCAAACCGAGGUACAAUAUAUUGGAAAAUUUUUGAGUUAAAUAAGAAAGUCGCCACCAAAUUAGUUCUACGGUGAAUUAGGACACCUAUUAUAAACUAUGUGAUUAAAGUAAUUAAAGACUUCAUUUUAAGGUUUACACAACCUGAAAUUCUAGGUAAGGAUUCUAAUUAUCCUAAAGGGAAGGGAUUAGGCACCCUAAAGGAUCCAUUAACUACGGUUAACCGGCCAAACUUAAGUUAGAUAAGGAAAUCAAAGCUAUGUUAAGAGGGAUAUGAAAAAAAAUAUAUUAUAUACAUUUUAUUAAAAUAAAACACGCCAAUUAUUUAUAAAACAAAAAUUAAAAACUAAAAAUUUUUCCACUUUUGAAAGAUUAUCAAAGAUAACUCCUAAAAAUAAUGUAGCCUUAUUGUUUUCAAAAGAAGAUUAUUUAAAAUUAUUUUCUUUAAAAAAGCUUUCAAUUAAAAGUUAAUUAUAUGAAGAACUCCUUAUUUUAUUCUAACAAAAUGAGCUCUUUUGCUUUUUUAAAUCAAUUUUUCAUAAAAAUAAGUUAAUUAUCAUACACUAAGUGAAUAGAUAAAAUAUAUAAUUGUUUAGAUAUAAAAUAACUUGAGAAUUUAUUAUUAUUAUGAUGAAGCUAAAAAUGAAUAAAUAUUUUCGUCAUUAGAAAUCCUAAAAGAGGGGCUUGCGAAGUGCCAUCUUUUACUUGAGAUUAAUGAAUAAUAAUAAUCAUGAUAAUAAAUAAAUAAAUAAAUAAAAAAUAGAGUAAAAUUUCAUUUACCAUAUCCAAAUUAGUGAAGCCGAUUUUCCGCAAAAAACUUAUGUUUUAUUAAUCCAAAGUUACUAAUUAGUGAAGAACUAACUGGAUUCUAAAGAUGGGUUAUUAUGUCAUAUUAAAGGAGUAUUAAAGGAUUCUAACAAACUUGACCAUUUAUUCUAAAGGGCAUGGCUUUACCUACCAAAUUUUAACCUUUUAAUGAUAUAAAAUAAAUACCUAAGUCUAUUAUUUGUGCUAAGUUUAGAAUCUAAAGGGGAAAAGGUAACACUUAAACUUAUUAAAAUUAUUUAAAGAAUCACGCUAAUUCAAUUGAGAGACAUACAAAAAAUGCAAAUUUGAAAUAAUAAUGUACAACGUAUUAAACAAAAUAAUAAUAAUGUCUANNNNNNNNNNNNNNNNNNNNGGGAAAGAGGCACUAGACUGCUAGAUGAAAAGGUGUGAUGCAUCUAUUAUCGUUUCUCCGAUUUGGACAGAGACAGAGUCAAGCCAUGAGACUUCAAAUGUGCUCCUGAAUUCACAUGACGCAAAGAAAAAAAUAAUGAUUAGUGACCGAUUGACUAACUAAAAAUAGCAUGAUAAAAUCGAAUAAUGUUAACAAAACAUUUUAAUAACAAAAAGUUUAUAGGAACAAAAUUUUUACGGCUAACAAAAAUAAGUCCAUACAAGAUGCAAGGACGUAAGAAGAGCGUAUGAGCACUUCCACGCACAAAGAGAAGCUUCAACACACACUAAACAUUAUAUCUACAUUGUUUUGGUUAAAUAGGAGAAACAUAUCUAGUGAUACAACCACUAAGGCAACUACUAGAAUGGACAUAAUAUGCCUUGUUACUUUAAUCUUUUCUGAGAAGGGUAACAUUAGGUUAAUACUAAGCCAGUGAUCCAAAUACACAAAUACCAAAAUUCUUACAUCACUUUCAAGUAUUCAAUAGCUAUACUCCUAACAUGUUCACCUGCACGCAACCUAUUAAUCAAAUCUAACAUCUCAAGUAUCAAGACAUGAAAGCAUGAGUUAAGAAUCUUAAACACAAAAUAAGCAGGGAUUUGAGAAAACAGAAGGUGCAAACAAACAGAGAGAUGAAAUUGAAUUGCUGAUUUAAGAGCCAAAUAAUAUGUGACCAAGCCAAUUUUUUAUGCUCAACUUAGAUAAAAUAGACAACCAAGGUUAUGGUUUGUACACAAUUGAUAGCAUUACAAACCAUGUCAAUCCCACAGUGCAAGGAAUAACGCAAAAGCAGAAAAAAGAGGAAAAGAAAAAGGGAAAUCAUCACAUGUUACAUAUGCUUAGAAGACACGAGGCUGCCAUAUAUAUAUAUAUAUAUAUAUAUACUAGGACACAAUCUUCCAAACUUGUUCUUUUCUUAUAAAAAAUGCACAGUAGCACCUAGGCAAGGAAAACUCAUGUAUACAUGUAUUCACAUGACUUCUCGAACUCAGAAUCGUACAUAUCAGGGUAAAGAAAGCGACAACAACACCGGAUAGAUAAGCACCACAUAUUCACGGGAUCAAACUAAGAUGAAAGGAAAGAAUAUUAACAACAAAAUUAAAAGGGGGAAAGGGGCAUUUAGAACAGACUUCGAGUUAAACCAUAUUCCUGACCGAAUUCAAAAUCUAAAUACAUCAUAUAUAUUCACACACAUACAAAACAACAUCACAAGAGUCUGAAUUUUAUUUCUUAUCCGCAAAGUUGAUGAAAAAUCAAUCAAAAAAUUUAAGAAUAUAACAAAAACCGCAUACUCAUCAACCAAACAGGGAAAAAACUGGAGAAAGGAAUAGAGGAAGUUGAUUCGCACCACCAUAAACAACGGAUAACAACACCUCCAUAACCAAGGCCAAAAUUACGUAUUCACCAACAAAUCCACUUCCCAAAACCAAUAACAACGACAUAUAUUUCAUUUAUCCAGAAUCGACAAUAACGAAAACGACACAAGUUUAGCAAAUCGUAUAUUCUCAUAAUCAAGGCAAACAAAAGAGGUGGAUUCGUACCUUUUCUGGGGCAGCAAACUAGGACGACAGGUCGAAGAGCGAUUUCGCCACUAUCUUUGAUUACGAACUCGUCCGAUGAAAGAGAGUCAACGAGAGUGAUGGAAGUAAAUGAAAACAAAGGAAAAUAGAGCCAAGAAAGUAGAGAAAUCAGUGACUAAAGAGUGUGAUCCCCCCAAAAAGAACCCUUUUCUCUUCUACUGAACCCCGUUUUAUAGGGGUUCUUGGAUUGUAGUGGCUUCUUAAGGCUUUCAACAAUUCCCAAAAAAUAUAUUUAAAUUUUGAAUUCAUAACUGGGAAUACUAAUUCAGCAGUGAAUUCAUUGGGAAGGCCAAUUCAGUAGGAUUAAUGGAUGAAAAGAAAUAAAGGUCAGAAAAGGGUUCACUUCUUUCAAUCAAAUUAAAGAAAAAGUGGAGGCAAUGGGGGCUUGAGAUCAUUAGAUUAAGCUCUAUAGUCAUCCAAUCAAGGGUGAAAUACCUCAAAUACGAUGGAUUUUUGGAGUUUCCCAUCUCUUUCCUGAAUUCACAGAGCCUCGGGCUUGCUUUGUUGGAACAAAGAGAGAAAAAGAGAUGAGAGGUGAUGACCCAACGGAUUUGUAUCCAUCCAUCGGUCCGAAGAUUGUCGUUGGUGUUGUUCGACUAUUGCUGGCAUCGUUGUUACUAUCAGUAUUACUGUUGUCAUGUGUAUGUACGCUAUUGUCGGUGAUUUUUUGUAUGCUGUUUGCUGAUACAACUGUUGUUGUCGUCGUUUUGCCGCGUUAUUGAUAGAGAUAAUAGAGUGGGUCGGGUCGGGUCAGGUUCAAAGUGGGCUGCUGAUAUGGGCUGGUUUGGGGUUGGUUUUAAAGCUAUUGAGUUGUUGUUGUUGUUGUAUUGGGUUGAGGGAAAAAGGGAAGUGAGGUGGGCCCUUUAUGAUCUUUAUUGUUGGGCCCAAGUUGGUUAAAGGGGUAGGGGCGUUGGGCUGGUGUGGGUUUGGGCCUGGGGCUGCUGGGUUUUGUUGGGUCAGGUAUAUUAGGUAAAAGGAAUUUUGGGCUGGGAAUUACAAAUACUUAUUAUCCAAAAGUAUCUGUUUUAUAAUAAGCAUAUUUUUGAAGCUUGAAUAUCAAAGAAUUUCUAAAUUGUCUAAUUGGUUAAUGGCAAUCAUAAGAACUUAAGAAGUAUUACUUCUUUCUUCCAAUUUAUGUGAACUUUUCUAUUGUUGAGAUUCAAACCGUGUAAACUUUGAUAAUAAUAUGUAAUGUAUUUUUUUAAUUAUAUUAAUAUAAGAAAAAUUGUAACAUAUAAUACUUUUCAUAUAUAUUUUUAAAUAUUUAAAAAUAUUAAAUUAAUUUAAUUCGAUUUAGUAUAAAUGCCACAAAAUUGAGACAUAUGAAGUAAUUGUUAGGUGACAUUUGACUUUAACAAAAGAAAGUACAUAUAUAAGGACUAGAAAACCCAAGGUUUUGAAGAGAAUAUAUCUAUUUAGAGCUUGGAAUGAUUUUAUGCUAAUUAUUUUUAUUGACGACCCAAAAUGUACCUUCAAUUAAUUAACCAAUAUUUUCCAAAAGUCUCUAUUCAAUGAAUUUGCCCAAGUUUUCAUAGAAAUCCAGAUUUUUAGCCGUCUACUAAUUACACUAUUAGUUGAUCUUGUUGAUUUCGUUUACAAUAAAGGCUAAAUAAAACUAGCUAAGAAAAAUAGAAUUUAACUUACAUACGAUACUGAUAAUAUAGAAAUUUUAUAGUUUAUCAUAAAAUUUUAUUUUAACUUACAUACGAUACUGAUCUUGUUGAUUUCGUUUAUUAUUGUAAUUUAAUUUAAUUGUCUAUAACAAAUUUUAUUUUAUAGUUUAUCAUAUUAGACUUGAGGUAGGUCACAUGAAUUUUCUAUUGUUAUUGGGGGCUAAUUUUUUCUGAUUAAUUAAAAUAUUGACACGUUAACAACGCACAAAAUUAUAUAAAUCCAAAAGAAGUCACUAUCCCUAUGUGAGUUUGGUGUAGAGGAAAAUAUCUGUGGAAAUUUUUUCUUCAAGGACUCUAGGUCAAGUCAAGUGAAAAUAUUCAAAAGGAUUAAUAACACAUUUUACACCAUAGCUAGGUUAUUGAAAAAAUCUAUUUGAGGCUUUGUUACGACUUAAAAUAUUUAAAAUUAAAUUAAAGAAAAUAUGUGCAUUUGAUUCUUUCAAAGUAUAAAAUAUGUUGUAAAGUCGUUGAACAUGAAGUAGCCCACUAUAAAUUUAAAAUAACACAUGAAUAAUUAAGUGAUAAAAUAGUAAAUAAUUAUAGUUGAUUUGUGAAUAUAUGUACAAGCAAAUAAAUCAAUAGCUCACAAUUCAGCUAAUUGAAGAUUUAAUGUAAUCAGUCAUAUACUCCAUAAAAAUUAAAAUCAAAAUAACAAUAAUCGAGGGACCAAAUUGUUAAUCAAAUCCAAAAUAUUAGUGCUUAGAGUUAAUGAUAAAAUGACGGAAGGACACCAAUAAGGGUCGUGAUGGAGUAGUAAGGACUCCUUUAUUCUUAAUUAGAGUUUUUGGAUUCGAGCGCACUUGGGUUUGGAGUCGUUCUUGUCAGGGAGCGUUUUACCCUCCAAUAUAGGAUUUUUUGACGCGAAUCUGGAUUUGGUCGGACUCCAAUGCAAGUAUCGAUCCAAUGUAGCAUUUUUCCGACGUGAAUCCGGAUUCGAUCCAAUGUAGAUUUUUCGAUGCGAAUUCAAAUUUGGUUGAAUGACAAUACAGAUAUCGAAUAGAGUGGGUGAAACCAAACAAUAAAAAGAAUUGCUGAGUGAGAGCCAAGCUGGAAGAUUCAUGCAUUUGUAGAAAGAAAAAAACAUGAAAAAACACCUCUUUCAAAAGUCAAUUAUGUUACGCAAUUUGCAAAAAAACAAGGACAACGUUGUUUUUUACGUUGCUAAACAUCUUGACACACAAAAUAUCAAAUGACGUUGGUGUUCUAUGGUUUUUUCUUAUAAUCCAACCAGCUGGUUUUCAUACAUAUACCCAAAAAAAAAAAAAAAAACUAUGAGCAAUCGGCUAGCUUAUGUAGUACGCCAAGGGAGGAUAUAAGUAGGAGUUUGGAAGUGUCACACCACUUGAAUGUAGUUUGGAGGUGUCACGCUACUCAAACGUUGAGACAAAAUUAUAUUUGUAGGUAUUUUACAUUAUAAACAUGUAUAACUCACGAUUGACAACUGUGGGCUAUCGGCUAACUUAUGUAGUAUGCAAUGGCGGAUCUACGUAGAAGUUUGGAGGUGUCAUGCCACUCGAAUGUAGUUUGGAGGUAUCACGCCACUCAAAUGUUGAGACAAAAUUAUAUUUGUAGGCAUUUUACAUUAUAAACAUAUAUAACUCACGAUUGACAACUGUGGGCUAUCGGCUAACUUAUGUAGUAUGCAAGGGCGAAUUUACUUAAGAGUUUGGAGUUGUCACGCCGCUUGAAUGUUGUUUGGAGGUAUCAUGUCACUCAAACGUUGAGACAAAAUUAUAUUUGUAGGCAUUUUACAUUAUAAAAUAUACGGAAAAGGCUCAAAAAUUCCCCUGAACUAUCUGAAAUAGCUCAAAAAUGCCUCUCGUUAGAUUUUUGGCUCAAAAUACCCCUUCGUUAAAUAUUUGGCUCAAAAAUACCCCUCCCUCUAACAAAAUUCGAAAAAGGAUAAAAAAUAUCCCUGAACUAUCUGAAAUGGCUCAAAAAUACCCCUCUGUUAAAUAUUUGGCUCAAAAAUACCCCUCCCCUUAACGAAAUUUCACCAAGCAUGCCACCUGGAUAAAAAAAAAACUACGUGACUAUGCCACAUUAACAUCCACAUGUAAAAUAUUAGUAUUUUUUAAUUAUAUGACAUUCCUUUCUUGAUGAUGAUGCUAAAAUAAAAUUAAAUAGUUUUAAAACAUACCUAAGCCAUGGUUUCAUAAGAUCAAAUUCCUUCAUAAACAAUUUAAGUUCCUCAUCAGGAUCGUUUAAAUCAGCUAAGACCUCUUUCUCCUCUCGAGGAUCCAUCUGUUUUAUCUGUGGACAGAGAGGGCACAAAUCCUAUAGCUGUAGGCACAAGCCUGAAAGUAUGUGGAUUUGAAAGCCCAAAGGAAGCAUAUCUAACCCGCAAGGACCUAAGACCACUUUGGUACCUAAGCAGAGUUAAUCUUUUCGUUUUGACGAAACAUGUCCGCAAAAAUAAAAAAAGGGAAAUAUGAGCUCCUGAUCGCGGAUGUUCCAAAUACAUGACUGGAAAGAAAGAAAUCUCCUAUGCUUUAAAUAAUGCAGGUGAAGGGUCAAUCAAAAUUCAGUAACAGUGCCAGAGGCAAUGUCAUCAGAUCCGACUCAAUAAAUAAUUUACAAUUUGGAGAUAAUGCUCGCACAAUCUCUAAGCUAUCACAAGACAAGUCAACUAUACCCCCCUCGGAGUCGCCUCUUGCAUCUGAAAUGAUGAAAUGAAAAUGAAGACAGGUUCCCUCUAAGAGGGUACUAACCUCAAUAAAAUCUCUCACAAGGUCAAAAUCAAUACGAAGAGGAGAUUAUAAUAUAUUUUUUAAACAAAGUACGAAAUCAAAACUUAUAAAAAAGGUGAAAAUUCAUUUAGCAAACCAACAACUAAGCUACUACUAAUUAUUCUCCAUUAUAGGCUUAUGUUCUUUUUAUCAGAUAUUUUUAUUUUCAUAAGAAAUUAAAAAGUAACACAUAAGUAAUUUGUUAGAAAUCACGAUGGUUCAUCUUCAUCAUCUCACCCUCACCCUCACUCUUAAUGACGAAAUAAACAUUUGGGCUAACAUUUGGGACACAUAGGCAACCCAACAACUGAAUAAUUUCUUUUAUUGAUUAGCUUAGAAUAGAAGGUUCUUUUAUUCUUAUUGUUUAGCUUACAAGAGAAGCUUAUUCUUUUAUUUUUAUUGUUUAGCUUAGAAGAGAAGGUUUCUUUCAUUCCAUUAGCUUAUAUAAAUAAAUGUGAUUAGCAAGGAAUAUAUAGAGAAGAAAAUUCUCAAAUAUUGUCUCUUAUUUGUACAUGGUAUCAUAGCAGUAGGUUGUUGCAUACAAAUCAUCUUCUUGAUUAUCAAUUUCCUUCAUGUUACCUAUCUCUACAAUGGCGAAUAGAGUCACUACUUCUUCAUCUUCUUCUGGUUCUAUCACUAGAAUUCCACUUGCUAUGAAUCCCACUCACGUUUAUUAUCUUUAUUCUUCAAAUUCACCUAAAAUGGCUUGGUUAAUACUCCAUUUGAUGGAAAAAGUUAUCAAGGAUGGAAGAAAUCAGUGCUUAUAGCACUGUCAGUCAAGAACAAGCUUGGGUUUAUCACUGGUAUUGAUGCUUCACCAGAAUCUCCAAAUAUGCAAUCUUGGAGCAGAUGCAAUGACAUGAUAACAUCUUGGCUUCUUAACUCUCGUUUUAAAGAUAUUGCUGAUAGUGUGAUAUAUACUCUAGGACUGCUAAAGAUUUAUAAAUGAGUCUAUAGCAUAUAUUUGGACAAUCUAAUGGAGCUAAAUUGCUUCAACUAUAAAAAAAACUAAACAGGUUAGUUAAAAAAAAUAAUGACAUUGCUCGAUAUUUCACUAAACUUAAAAGACUCUAGAAUGAGUUGGAAUCUCUCAAGUCUGUUAAGUGCACCUGUGUGUGUAACUGUGAAGGUAAAUUGAAACUUGAAAAGUCUUUUGAAGGUGAGGAACUUAUACAAUUUUUAUAGGUCUAAAUAAUGUGUAUGCUCAAGCAAAAGGAAACAUCUUAAUGAUGAAUCCUUUACACAACAUAAAUGUUGCUUACUCUCUGAUUUUGGAAGAUGAAAAUUAGAGAGAAACCUAUAUGAGUGGCUUGAUCCCAAACGAUUCUUUUUCUUUUAUGGUAAGCAACUUGAAUCAAAACAAAUUUGACAAGAAAGUCCAGAAAACCCCUGGUGCUAUGCCUAAUUUUGGAACUAGAUCAUUCAAUUAUCUAAAGACGAACAAUCAUCAGUAAUUACCCAAAUACACAAGGACAAACCAGCCACAACAGAAAUUUAGGAUUAAGAAGAAGUAUAAUCCUAAUGUAUCUUGUGAUUUUUGUGGUAAGACUGGACAUGUCGAUGAUGAUUGCUUCAGGUUACAUGGUUUUUCUAAAAAUUUUCAAUUUACAAAUAAUAAAGAUGGACAGGUUCAGAUUAUAGAAACUAUAGUUAUGUCUGGAGAAGAAGGUGACAAUGAGCAUAUGAUUGACAUUGAUUUAACUAAUCAACAUUUCACCAAAGAACAGUUCAAGCAUUUCAUUCAAAUGGAAAAACAAAAAUCAACAGAGGGAUCAUCUAUGAACAAAGGAUCUGAGAUAAAUGCUAACGCCGUUGCUGGUACUGUGCUUAGAUAUAUUAAAACUUGCAUUUCAAUCUUUAAUUUUGGAACAUGAAUAAUAGACUCAUGUUCUUCUAAGCACAUGUGUUGCAACUCUAGUUUUUUUCUUUUCAUGAUAGCUCUUAAAAUUUCCAUUAACAUUAAUUUGCCCAACUCUCAGUCCAUCUUUGUGACUCACAUAAGAAGUGUUCUAAUUCCUAAUAACCUUAUAUUGUAUAAUGUUGUUUAUAUUCCAAGUUUCAGAUAUAGUCUGUUGUCAGUUCAUAAGUUUAAUGUCCAAUACAGUUACACUAUAUCUUUCACUUUUAACAGUUGUGUCUUGCAGGGCUCUUUAAUAAAGAAGCCUCAAGCUUUUGGUGAAGUGAAGGAAGUUCUAUACUUGAUUCAAAUUAUUCCUAAGGAGUCUCGUGGGAACCAAGAGAUUUACAAGGAUUCUAAAAUCUUUUCUAACUUUAACAGUACUGGUUCUAGUCCCAGUUCAGUUUCACAUUAUUUUUUAGUCUGUUUUAAUGUGAAUUCUGAUAUAAGGUUAUGGCAUCUAAGACUUGGUCAUUUGCCUUAUUCAUCAAUGAAAAAUGUUCAUUUCCUCAUAAUUUUCUCUAAUUAUGAUUGUCAUUGUGAAAUCUGUUCUUUAGUGACGCAAACUAGAUUGCCUUUUUCUAUCAGUCAAGUUACUUCUCAAUCCAUUUUUGAUCUGUUUCAUAUAGACACUUAGGGUCCUUAUAAGUCACUUACUCAUAAUAAUUAUUGUCAUUUCUUGACUAUAGUAGAUGACUAUAGUAGCGGAACCUUUUUAUACUUGCUAGCAACUAAAAAUAAUGCAUUUUUUGUUAUUCGAUGUUUCUUGAAAAUGGCUGAAAGACAGUUUCACAAGAAAGUAAAAAUUAUUAGAUCUGAUAAUGCAAUGAAGUUGGGUAGGAGUACAGAUACAUUAAAUUUUUUAACAUCUCAAGGAAUCAUACACUAGACAUCUCGUGUUGUUAAUCCACAGCAAAAUGGGUAGCUGAAAGAAAGCACAGACACUUGCUUGAAAUUGCUAAGUCUUUGAUGUUUUAAUCUAGAGUUCCUAUAAUCUAUUGGGGUGAGUGCAUACUCACUGCCGCAUUUCUAAUCAACAUGUUGCCUUUCAAAGUUCUUAAAGGUAAAACACCUUAUGAAAUUCUAUUGGCAAAGCACCUUCUUAUCAAUUAUUAAGAUGUUUUGGUUUCCUAUGUUUUGCUAACACUUUAUCUCAUAGGAGGAGUAAAUUUGAUCCUAGAGCUACUAGGUGUGUCUUCUUAGGAUACCCAAGUGAUCAAAAAGGAUUAAAAUUUCUUGACCUAUCUUCUAAGAAAUUUUUUAUGUCAAGAGAUGUUCAAUUUAUAAAACAUGUGUUUCCUUUUGCUUCUAACCAUUCACAUAUCCCUACUCCUACUUUUACUAUCCACACAGAAGAAGACCAUUAUUUCACUCCAGGAUAUCUUAUUCCUUCUAACCCUAUUGAACCAGAUUCUAACUUACCACCUUCUAACAUUUUUGAACCAACUCUUGAUCAUUCUAAUUCUUCUACUCCAGUCGUUAUACUAUAUUUUCCUUUAGAACAAGAUGUUUCACAACCCCUGCCUUUUCCUAGAAGAUCUCAAAGAAGAAACAUUGAUGAACUACCUUCACAUCUCAAAGAUUAUAUCUGGAAUACUAUUUAUCUUAGUGAUGUGACUAAAUCUUAUUUUGGUACUCCUAUUAAACGCACAUGUCUAUCAGUUUAUACUCUUUCCAUACCCAACCAAGCUAUACUACAUUUUGUUCCCUUCAUCAUUGAACACAAUAGUUACUCUCAAGCAUGUACUUAUCCAGGUUAGGUGAAGGCAAUGCAAGAUAUGAUUGGUGUUUUAAUACUCAAUCAGACUUGGGACGUUAUCUAUUUUCCACAAGGUAGAAAGGCAUUUCUUUGUAAGUGGGUCUAUAAAGUGAAACAACAUGUGGAUGGAUCUCUUGAAAGGCUAAAGACACGCUUAGUAAUUAAAGGUGAUAUUCAGCAAGAGGGAAUUAAUUUCAAUGAGACUUUUUCCCUAGUGGUCAAAAUGACCACCAUCAAAUGUUUAUUGGCAAUUGCAUCCAAAAAGAAAUGAAAAAUCUCACAAUUUGAUGUGAAUAAUGUCUUCUUGCAAGGAACUUUGCAAGAAAAAGUCUAUAUGAAAUUCCCUGCGGGAAAGGAACCUUCCCAACCGAAUAUGUUUUGUCGAAUUAAAAAGUUACUUUAUGGCUUAAAGCUAGUCUCAAGGCAAUAGUAUGCCAGGCUUACCGAAGCCUUAAAAUUUUAAAGGUUAUACAACCUUCCUCAAUGAUUAUCCCUUAUUCUUUAAACAAUCAGAAGAGCUUGUCUCUAUCGUAUCUGUCUAUGUCAAUGAUAUUUUUGUUAUAGGGGAUGCUAUUGAUGAGAUACAUAACCAUAAGGAGUUUCUUCAUACUGAGUUUAAAAUUAAGGAUCUCGGCUCACUACAUUAUUUUUUUGGGAAUGAAAAUUCUGCGGGAAUAACAGGGAAUCAUAAUGAGUCAACGAAAAUAUACCUUAGAUUUAAUCAAUGAAUUUGAUGUUUCACAUCUUCUUCCAGCUUCUUCUCCGUUAGAUCCUUUAGUCAAGUUCUCUGCAAAUUCAAAAAGUCACAUGUCAGAUCCUACACUUUACAGGCAUCUCAUUGGUAAACUCAACUAUUUGACUCACACUAGACUGGAUCUGUGUUUUGUUAUUUUGAUUCUCAGUCAAUUUAUGCAACAUCCUAGCAUCGAUUAUUUUAAAGCAGGAUAGUGAGUCAUAAGUUACCUGAAAGCAUAUUUGAAUCAGGGCAUCUUUCUCAAUGCUUCACCCUCCUUCUCUCUCGCUGCUUAUUUCGAUGCUACUCAGCCUCUUGCCGCACUACACGAAGGUCAGUCAGUGAAUUUUUUAUAAGCUUGGGAGGUUCAUUGGUCUCCUAGAAAUCAAAGAAACAAUCUUCCAUCUCCCUUUCAUCUUCAGAGGCUGAAUAUCAAUCAAUGAGGAGAUUAAUUGCGGAAUUGACCUGGAUGACAAGAUUGCUUACCGAUUUAUCCGUUCCUCCCCCUCUUCCUGUUUCAGUUCACUCCGAGCAGCGUUACAUAUAGCUCAAAAUUUGGUAUUCCAUGAGCGAACGAAGAACGUCGAGCUUGACUGCUACUUCGUUCGUCAAUAAUAUCUCUCAGGCUUGAUAUCUCUUUCUUUUGUUCCAUCUAAGGACCAACUCGUCGACAUCUUCACCAAAUCUUUUGCCGGACCUCCUCACCAUCAGAAUUUGUGCAAGUUAGGUAUCACUUCUUUCCCCUCCAACUUGAGGGGAUGUUAGAAAUCAUCAUGGUUCAUCUUCAUCAUCUUACCCUCACUCUCAAAGACGAAAUAAACAUUUGGGCUAACAUUUGGGACACAUAGGCGGCCCAACAAUUGAAUAAUUUCUUUUAUUGAUUAGCUUAGAAUAGAAGGUUCUUUUAUUUUUAUUAUUUAGCUUACAAGUGAUGCUUCUUCUUUUUAUUUUCAUUGUUUAGCUUAGAAGAGAAAGUUUCUUUCAUUUCAUUAGCUUGUAUAAAUAAAUAUGAUUAGUAAGGAAUAUACAGAGAAGAAAAUUCUUAAAUACUAAUUUAAAAUAAGAGACAAUUUUACGAUCCUCCAUAUUAAGUGACACCAUUUUUCCAUUUGAAACUUGUAGGCAUGCCCCAUGCUACGCCUAUGAACAUAUUUUUUAUUUGAGAUAAAUAAGAACAAGUUUUUGGGAAUUGCUAUGUGAAUUGUUUUUUUUUCAAGUGAAAAAGAUAUUUAUCAAUUACUUUUGUAAAUAUGAUACCUAUGGUUAAUCUAAGCGCUUAAGAACAUACGAUUGGCCAUAAUCUAAUUUUUAAUGUCCUUUUAUAUUUGUACAAUAACAAUAAUAGUAUUUAUAUACCCCGUGGCCAACUCAAAGGGGCUAAAAUUUGACUUUUAAAUAUGAUUUCUGAUACGAUAUUUUUGAAAAUCUUUCAAUUUCUAGCCAUAAUAGAUUGUUGCACCCUACACUACACUGCAAAGAUUAUCUCCUCAAAUUUUGAUUUUUUAUGUUAAAUAGGGCUUCAUAUAAAAUAUGCCACUUCCACAUUUAAAUCAACUAGCAAAUCACUAAUGUGAGGUUAGUUUGAAAAAUAGGUUUAAAAUGCUCAUUAAUAUAACCAUGGAUGGGAUGUUUAGAACUGUAUUUAUAUUAUAAGACAGAGUCAAAAUUUAGUUAGAUACAUUGCAUGGGAAUAUACUAUCAAUUCAGUUAGAAAAAAAGGCAGGAUUUAUACCCCAAAUUGACAUUUUCCAUAAUCUUAUCAUGUCAUCAUCAUUUAUUAUAUGAAGUUGAUUAAUUAAAAAGUAUAGUGACACAACAUAGAAUUCUGUUGGGCUUGAAAUAACACUAUCAUUAAAGGUAAGCCAUGUGUCAAGAGGUGAGUAAGCCUAGGUUAUACUUUUUUUAUAACCAUUUUCUCUUCAGAAUUUACUGAUUCGAUUAAUUAGAAUUUGUAUCACUUAUUAUAACUCAUUAAAAGGAAAGUAUUUGUCACUAAAAUUUCUUCAUUUUCAAGUCUCGAAAUUUGAGAUUUUUUAUUAAAAAUAAAAGAUAUGUCAUACAUGGAUCAUUUCCCUUCUCUCCGAUUUCUCCAAGUUCUUGCUUGAAUUAAAGAUAUAUGUCAUAGUUUAAAAUUAAUAAUUGAAAUUUAAUUAGUUAAAUCAAAGAUUUAAUCAUAGUUAUCUACUUCCAUAUAUUUGUCGCUUAAAUAUUUUUAACAAUCCAUUAUAUCUUUCUUAAAUAUAUUAAAUUAUUUUCUUUCUAUCGUUGAACAAUUUUCUGCUAGGUUUUCACUUUUUUUUUUUGCUAAUGUUUGCCAUUUUUCUUAAGUAAUGUUUUUCAAAUAAAAAAAAAUAAAGAUUUUGUAUUGAAGUUUUUAUAAUUUUAUUUUCUUUAUGUGCCAAAUAAAUUCAUUAUAUGUGUGCCAAAUAAAAUAUAAAGAUUAUGCCAAAUAAAUCUAUUAUAUUUUCUUUAUACUUUUCUUUUUGCUAAUGUUUUCCAUUUUUUAUUAAGUAAUAUUUUUUAAAUAAAAAAGAUAAAUAUUGUGGAUUGAAGUUUUUCUAAUUUUAUUUUCUUUAUGUGCCAAAUAAAUUCAUUAUACAUGUGUCAAAACAAAUAGAAAGAUUGUGCCAAAUAAAUUCAUUAUAUUUUCUUUAUGUAGCUCUUUUGAAUUCUCAACUAGAAAAAUUAAAAUUUUAAGUAUAUUAUGAAUUUUAACAAAAUAAAAAUAUUUAUGAAAAGUUUUUAAUAUAUAUUUUGUGGCAGUAAAGAUUUUUUUUGAAAAAAUAUUGAGUAAAAGAUAUAAUGAAUAUUUAGAAAACAAAUAUAACUAAAUAUAUGAAAGUAGAUAACUAUGAUUAAAAAUUUAAUUAACUAAUUAAAUCUCAAUCAUUAAUUUUAAAUUAUUCAAUUCAAGAAAGAAUUUAGAGAAAUUGGAGAGAGGAAAAUUGGAGAGAAGCCGGAUCUCUAAUUAUUUUUGAUGGUAAGCUGAAGUCAUGAAUGUUCUCUAAUUACUAAUCUUAUGUUAAAGCAAUAUGAUAGACAGAUUCUCAAAUCAACUUGUCAAUAUGUGGUCUGAAAUUUAGAUUUGUUGCUUAGUAUAGCUUAAUUGGAUGACUUCAUGUCAUUUCAUCUUGACUAAAUUAAGACUUUGUCAGUAUUCAAGAUUCAAUGUUCAUUUUUGGGUUCAUGUACCUAAAGAGAAGUAUGGUUGUUGAAUAGACUACUGCCCGUACAGUAUUAAUAUUUCACAAUAAUACAGUAGCAUUUUGAUGAAAUUUUAUAAGUGAGAUUUGAAGAAAAUAGUAUGUAAACAAACUUUAUUACAACCUUAUGGAGGUAUAGAGGCUAUUUUAGAUAGAUAACUUAACUAGUACUUGCCAACGAUAUAAAAAAAGAAAACGGAUAUAAAUAUGGAGCGAUUAUAAUACAAGCUAAUCGAACUGGAAAGCAACAUACAAUAAGAAAAUAAAAUAAUGUAAUAAUCAGCACAUAAAAUAUCAGUAAAAUAUGAAAUCAAAUAUCAAGGAACAAGUAUAGUACUAACGAUAUUAAAAAAGAUGGGACAUCCAAGAAUGAUCAUCAAACCUAACUCAAAGGAAAGUUAAAAAAGACGAUCAACUAUCAACUAAUCUUCUACUCUGAUAGUAUGCGACGUUAAAACUCUCUUGUCUAACACUGUAUAUAUAUAUUACAAUUCAUUUUUCAUGUUAUGUUAUGAAUAUCAUAUGAUUUUCAUAAUAAUAUUUUAAUAUAACAGUUAAAAUAAUAAUAUUAUAUUCAAUAUGAAUACAAUUUUUCCUUCAGAUUUCCAUUAUCUUUUUGUGGAAUCACUAUCUUUGGGUUUAUCUCUGCAAAUAUAAUUGUUUUUUUUUGCACGUUGUCUUGUAGGUAGUUAGGGGAGUAGGUAUACAGAUGGAUUAGGAUAAUCCAACAAAAUCAUUAAUUAUUGAUUUCUCUAAGAAGUGUAAAGUAACACGUGACUCUUUCUUACUGUAGUACUGUAGUAUUAGAUUAUGUUACAAAAUAGACCAAUAAAUAAAUAAUAAAUGUUAUAUAAAUCAAUAAGUCCAAAAUUCUUAGAUACUCAGUGAUUUACCUUCUAUAUGUUUUGACAACUAGAACGUGGAAAAGAGAUUCAAUUUUGGAGAAGAUUAUUUUCUAUUUAUUUUAAUUAUUUAGUAUAUGAGUAAAAUAAAAGAAAUGUAAUAUAAUGAAUCGAUGUUAACAUAAUAUAUACAUUUGAUAUAGUCAUUUAAUAAGAAACAAAAAGAUAUUUAUAAAAAAAUACUACCAUGUAUAAUUUAAUUACAAAUGUCUAAAUAAAAAUAUUAUCAAAAUAAUACAUGAGGACAAAAAUUACCGCCAUAAAAAUGAGGAUAAAACUAAUAAAUAUAAAGAAAAAAUCAUAUGCAUGUGUAACCAUUUUAUUUACUACUAUAUAUAAGUGAAGGUUGAGGUGACUAAAAUUAUCGAAAUAACCUUGGUAAUCACCCCAACCUUCACUUAUAUAUAGUAGUAAAGUAAAGUAAAAAGCAAUAUGCAUGCAACCAUUUUAUUGCACCAUAAAAAUGAGGACUAAACUAAUAAAUAUAAAGGAAAAAUCAUAUGCAUGUGCAACCAUUUUAUUUACUACUAUAUGUAAGUGAAGGUUGAGGUGACUAAAAUUACCGAAAUACCUUAGGUAGUCACCCCAACUGUAACGCCCUGGAAAAUGGGUCCCGGAGCAUCACACGGUGCUUGAGGCUAUGAGUAGCCCCAAGCUAACCCUUUGAGCCAUUUUCAUUCAGUUCAACACAAAUCAACGGGGUUUCCAUAAAUAACCCUCAAAUAUCAACAGAGUAAUCAUCAUCCAAGAAUAAAAGAAUUUCAGAAAGAUAACAAAAUACGACUUAUUAGUCAACUCCCAACAUCUAUACUAGUCUGACAAGCCUCUAAGAAAAUCAAUAAAACCAGAGAGCCAUUGAGACAUGCCCCAACUGACUCAUACUCAGUUAUCAAAUGUAAACAAUUCCGUGAAACCAACAUCAGACAUCACGUCCUUGGAAUAUGAGGACUCACCACAACAGAGGAUGUAGAACAGCGUGCCCGAAGAAUUACUGUCGAACCUAGAACUGAGCACCUGAACCUACAUUUCGAGAAAAUGCAGCCCACAUCCGAAGAUGUGGGUCAGUACCAUGGAAAGAAACCGAGUAUAUGGGGGUAUAUGCAGUUGUAUAAACAUCAUCAUCAUAAAUAUUUAUAAGAAAUAUGUAGGAUGUAUGAAAGACUCACAUAGCCCGAAGAAAAUCAUAAUAAUCAUGAGAUGAUGAAAUAAGUACAAUAACACAUGUGAGUNNNNNNNNNNNNNNNNNNNNNNNNNNNNNNNNNNNNNNNNNNNNNNNNNNNNNNNNNNNNNNNNNNNNNNNNNNNNNNNNNNNNNNNNNNNNNNNNNNNNNNNNNNNNNNNNNNNNNNNNNNNNNNNNNNNNNNNNNNNNNNNNNNNNNNNNNNNNNNNNNNNNNNNNNNNNNNNNNNNNNNNNNNNNNNNNNNNNNNNNNNNNNNNNNNNNNNNNNNNNNNNNNNNNNNNNNNNNNNNNNNNNNNNNNNNNNNNNNNNNNNNNNNNNNNNNNNNNNNNNNNNNNNNNNNNNNNNNNNNNNNNNNNNNNNNNNNNNNNNNNNNNNNNNNNNNNNNNNNNNNNNNNNNNNNNNNNNNNNNNNNNNNNNNNNNNNNNNNNNNNNNNNNNNNNNNNNNNNNNNNNNNNNNNNNNNNNNNNNNNNNNNNNNNNNNNNNNNNNNNNNNNNNNNNNNNNNNNNNNNNNNNNNNNNNNNNNNNNNNNNNNNNNNNNNNNNNNNNNNNNNNNNNNNNNNNNNNNNNNNNNNNNNNNNNNNNNNNNNNNNNNNNNNNNNNNNNNNNNNNNNNNNNNNNNNNNNNNNNNNNNNNNNNNNNNNNNNNNNNNNNNNNNNNNNNNNNNNNNNNNNNNNNNNNNNNNNNNNNNNNNNNNNNNNNNNNNNNNNNNNNNNNNNNNNNNNNNNNNNNNNNNNNNNNNNNNNNNNNNNNNNNNNNNNNNNNNNNNNNNNNNNNNNNNNNNNNNNNNNNNNNNNNNNNNNNNNNNNNNNNNNNNNNNNNNNNNNNNNNNNNNNNNNNNNNNNNNNNNNNNNNNNNNNNNNNNNNNNNNNNNNNNNNNNNNNNNNNNNNNNNNNNNNNNNNNNNNNNNNNNNNNNNNNNNNNNNNNNNNNNNNNNNNNNNNNNNNNNNNNNNNNNNNNNNNNNNNNNNNNNNNNNNNNNNNNNNNNNNNNNNNNNNNNNNNNNNNNNNNNNNNNNNNNNNNNNNNNNNNNNNNNNNNNNNNNNNNNNNNNNNNNNNNNNNNNNNNNNNNNNNNNNNUGAAGUAGAUCAACCAUAACAUUUUACUUGGAUAUCCAAAUUCGAUAAAACCAAUUUUAUUAGAAAGAGGACUCUCAUAUAUUUCCAUUGAUAUAUAGUAUCUUAUCCAGAUCAUUGUGUAUGAGGAGUUAUGAUUGUUUGAAGUUGACCCAAAAAUUUGUAUUUGGAAGGCUGACGUAGAUCGACCAUAACUUUUUGCUCCGAUAGACAAAUUGGAUGAAACCAAUUUCAUUGGAAAGAGGACUCGUAGAGCUUUCUGUUGAUAUAUAGUAGAUUACCCAGAUUAUUAUGUACAAAGAGCUAUGAUUGUUUAAAGUUGGAGAAAAAAUAUGCUAGGCCUCAGUAUUUUUUUCUGCACGUUUUACUAUUCACUACUAUUCACGGUUCAAUCGGAAUGUUCAUAACUCGUCGCUCGGGUGUCCAUUUUGGAUGAUCCACAUAUCGUUAGAAUGAUUAUUCGAUACUCUAUGUAAUGGUGGGUCAUAAUCUAAGACAUUUCGCAUGGAAAAUUUAUAAUUCAUUCUAGAAGAUAGAACCCAACACGUUUAUGCACAAAAUUUCAAUGAAAAAUUUCCCGGGGUAUUACAUUAUCCCCCUUUGGAAACAUUCAUCCUCGAAUGAUGCUAGACAUGCCAAGAUUAGAUAGGGAAACGAGCAUACAGCUAAAACCAUUCGUUAGACUCAUCACUACAUCGUUUCUCACUCCGAAUGCAACAUAGAAUGCAUAAAUUCAAGAAACUACAGCUGACACAUAAUAAAUGACAGCUGAACUGCUGCAACUUUUAUCAAAAGUGCAUGAUUUAGGAAAGAAUGGUACCUUCGGCUUGAUCGGAGUUCGCGGAAAAUAGGUGCGGUUAGUUGGAUCGCAUAUCCGCCUCAGCUUCCCAAGUUGCACCCUCAACAGAUUGGUUUUGCCACAACACCUUAAUCAAGGGAACUUCUUUGUUCCUUAGUCUUCGGACACUGAAAUCAAAAAUCUCAACAGGAAUCUCAUCAAAAGAAAGAUUUUCUUGAACGUCAGCACUCGCGAAGGAAUCCACUACCACAGCAUCACUAAUAUGCUUUCUAAGCAUGGAGACAUGGAAUAUUGGAUGAAUAGAGGACAACUCGGAAGGCAACUCGACUUCAUAAGCUACCUUACCAACACGACUAAGAAUUUUGUAAGUACCAACAUAACGGGGACUAAGCUUCCCCUUCUUUCCNNNNNNNNNNNNNNNNNNNNNNNNNNNNNNNNNNNNNNNNNNNNNNNNNNNNNNNNNNNNNNNNNNNNNNNNNNNNNNNNNNNNNNNNNNNNNNNNNNNNNNNNNNNNNNNNNNNNNNNNNNNNNNNNNNNNNNNNNNNNNNNNNNNNNNNNNNNNNNNNNNNNNNNNNNNNNNNNNNNNNNNNNNNNNNNNNNNNNNNNNNNNNNNNNNNNNNNNNNNNNNNNNNNNNNNNNNNNNNNNNNNNNNNNNNNNNNNNNNNNNNNNNNNNNNNNNNNNNNNNNNNNNNNNNNNNNNNNNNNNNNNNNNNNNNNNNNNNNNNNNNNNNNNNNNNNNNNNNNNNNNNNNNNNNNNNNNNNNNNNNNNNNNNNNNNNNNNNNNNNNNNNNNNNNNNNNNNNNNNNNNNNNNNNNNNNNNNNNNNNNNNNNNNNNNNNNNNNNNNNNNNNNNNNNNNNNNNNNNNNNNNNNNNNNNNNNNNNNNNNNNNNNNNNNNNNNNNNNNNNNNNNNNNNNNNNNNNNNNNNNNNNNNNNNNNNNNNNNNNNNNNNNNNNNNNNNNNNNNNNNNNNNNNNNNNNNNNNNNNNNNNNNNNNNNNNNNNNNNNNNNNNNNNNNNNNNNNNNNNNNNNNNNNNNNNNNNNNNNNNNNNNNNNNNNNNNNNNNNNNNNNNNNNNNNNNNNNNNNNNNNNNNNNNNNNNNNNNNNNNNNNNNNNNNNNNNNNNNNNNNNNNNNNNNNNNNNNNNNNNNNNNNNNNNNNNNNNNNNNNNNNNNNNNNNNNNNNNNNNNNNNNNNNNNNNNNNNNNNNNNNNNNNNNNNNNNNNNNNNNNNNNNNNNNNNNNNNNNNNNNNNNNNNNNNNNNNNNNNNNNNNNNNNNNNNNNNNNNNNNNNNNNNNNNNNNNNNNNNNNNNNNNNNNNNNNNNNNNNNNNNNNNNNNNNNNNNNNNNNNNNNNNNNNNNNNNNNNNNNNNNNNNNNNNNNNNNNNNNNNNNNNNNNNNNNNNNNNNNNNNNNNNNNNNNNNNNNNNNNNNNNNNNNNNNNNNNNNNNNNNNNNNNNNNNNNNNNNNNNNNNNNNNNNNNNNNNNNNNNNNNNNNNNNNNNNNNNNNNNNNNNNNNNNNNNNNNNNNNNNNNNNNNNNNNNNNNNNNNNNNNNNNNNNNNNNNNNNNNNNNNNNNNNNNNNNNNNNNNNNNNNNNNNNNNNNNNNNNNNNNNNNNNNNNNNNNNNNNNNNNNNNNNNNNNNNNNNNNNNNNNNNNNNNNNNNNNNNNNNNNNNNNNNNNNNNNNNNNNNNNNNNNNNNNNNNNNNNNNNNNNNNNNNNNNNNNNNNNNNNNNNNNNNNNNNNNNNNNNNNNNNNNNNNNNNNNNNNNNNNNNNNNNNNNNNNNNNNNNNNNNNNNNNNNNNNNNNNNNNNNNNNNNNNNNNNNNNNNNNNNNNNNNNNNNNNNNNNNNNNNNNNNNNNNNNNNNNNNNNNNNNNNNNNNNNNNNNNNNNNNNNNNNNNNNNNNNNNNNNNNNNNNNNNNNNNNNNNNNNNNNNNNNNNNNNNNNNNNNNNNNNNNNNNNNNNNNNNNNNNNNNNNNNNNNNNNNNNNNNNNNNNNNNNNNNNNNNNNNNNNNNNNNNNNNNNNNNNNNNNNNNNNNNNNNNNNNNNNNNNNNNNNNNNNNNNNNNNNNNNNNNNNNNNNNNNNNNNNNNNNNNNNNNNNNNNNNNNNNNNNNNNNNNNNNNNNNNNNNNNNNNNNNNNNNNNNNNNNNNNNNNNNNNNNNNNNNNNNNNNNNNNNNNNNNNNNNNNNNNNNNNNNNNNNNNNNNNNNNNNNNNNNNNNNNNNNNNNNNNNNNNNNNNNNNNNNNNNNNNNNNNNNNNNNNNNNNNNNNNNNNNNNNNNNNNNNNNNNNNNNNNNNNNNNNNNNNNNNNNNNNNNNNNNNNNNNNNNNNNNNNNNNNNNNNNNNNNNNNNNNNNNNNNNNNNNNNNNNNNNNNNNNNNNNNNNNNNNNNNNNNNNNNNNNNNNNNNNNNNNNNNNNNNNNNNNNNNNNNNNNNNNNNNNNNNNNNNNNNNNNNNNNNNNNNNNNNNNNNNNNNNNNNNNNNNNNNNNNNNNNNNNNNNNNNNNNNNNNNNNNNNNNNNNNNNNNNNNNNNNNNNNNNNNNNNNNNNNNNNNNNNNNNNNNNNNNNNNNNNNNNNNNNNNNNNNNNNNNNNNNNNNNNNNNNNNNNNNNNNNNNNNNNNNNNNNNNNNNNNNNNNNNNNNNNNNNNNNNNNNNNNNNNNNNNNNGAGGCAUAAGAAGAAUACAGCCAGUCCAUACCCAGAAUCAUAUCAAAAUCUACCAUGUCUAACUCAAUCAGAUCAGCCAACAAGACUCUAUGAAGAACGGUAACAGGACACUUUUUAUACACUUUCUGGGCAUGUUUUCAUUCAAUGGGUCAGUGGGUUAAGGUUACUGACCAUCAUUAUUUCUUCUCGCUCGACGUGGAGGCAUAUUUCUGAAAGAAGAGGGCACAAAUUAAUAGCAGAGAGAGACAUUUUAAGCAUGAUAGACUUCUGAAAGAAAGAAUCACAUUUUUUCCUGAACCGUCUUGUAGCCUCUUGCUCAUAGAUGUGGCGCGCUAUAUACUGAUGAUCAAGACUCUACUUAACGCAGCUUGUCAGACUCCCUAGGAUACCUUAAAACUUUAGGCUCUGAUACCAAGUUUGUAAUGCCCCAAAAAACGGGUCUCGGAGCGUCACACGAUGCUUGAGGCUACGAGUAGCCCCACGCUAACCCUUUGAUCCAUUUUCAUUCGGUUCAACACAAAUCAAUGGGGUUUCCAUAAAUAACCCUCAAAUAUCAACAGAGUAAUCAUCAUCCAAGAAUAAAAGAAUUUCAGAAAGAUAACAAAAUACGACAUAUUAGUCAACUCCCAACAUCUAUACUAGUCUGACAAGCCNNNNNNNNNNNNNNNNNNNNNNNNNNNNNNNNNNNNNNNNNNNNNNNNNNNNNNNNNNNNNNNNNNNNNNNNNNNNNNNNNNNNNNNNNNNNNNNNNNNNNNNNNNNNNNNNNNNNNNNNNNNNNNNNNNNNNNNNNNNNNNNNNNNNNNNNNNNNNNNNNNNNNNNNNNNNNNNNNNNNNNNNNNNNNNNNNNNNNNNNNNNNNNNNNNNNNNNNNNNNNNNNNNNNNNNNNNNNNNNNNNNNNNNNNNNNNNNNNNNNNNNNNNNNNNNNNNNNNNNNNNNNNNNNNNNNNNNNNNNNNNNNNNNNNNNNNNNNNNNNNNNNNNNNNNNNNNNNNNNNNNNNNNNNNNNNNNNNNNNNNNNNNNNNNNNNNNNNNNNNNNNNNNNNNNNNNNNNNNNNNNNNNNNNNNNNNNNNNNNNNNNNNNNNNNNNNNNNNNNNNNNNNNNNNNNNNNNNNNNNNNNNNNNNNNNNNNNNNNNNNNNNNNNNNNNNNNNNNNNNNNNNNNNNNNNNNNNNNNNNNNNNNNNNNNNNNNNNNNNNNNNNNNNNNNNNNNNNNNNNNNNNNNNNNNNNNNNNNNNNNNNNNNNNNNNNNNNNNNNNNNNNNNNNNNNNNNNNNNNNNNNNNNNNNNNNNNNNNNNNNNNNNNNNNNNNNNNNNNNNNNNNNNNNNNNNNNNNNNNNNNNNNNNNNNNNNNNNNNNNNNNNNNNNNNNNNNNNNNNNNNNNNNNNNNNNNNNNNNNNNNNNNNNNNNNNNNNNNNNNNNNNNNNNNNNNNNNNNNNNNNNNNNNNNNNNNNNNNNNNNNNNNNNNNNNNNNNNNNNNNNNNNNNNNNNNNNNNNNNNNNNNNNNNNNNNNNNNNNNNNNNNNNNNNNNNNNNNNNNNNNNNNNNNNNNNNNNNNNNNNNNNNNNNNNNNNNNNNNNNNNNNNNNNNNNNNNNNNNNNNNNNNNNNNNNNNNNNNNNNNNNNNNNNNNNNNNNNNNNNNNNNNNNNNNNNNNNNNNNNNNNNNNNNNNNNNNNNNNNNNNNNNNNNNNNNNNNNNNNNNNNNNNNNNNNNAACACACACUUUCUAAAAAAACACAAUUUCCAAUGGGGAUUCACGACCCAAAUAUCAAAAUCAUGAUAAAUAUCAUUCAAGACUCAUGCUUUAUAUCACCACACAUGCAAAUUCAUCUUUCAAAAUUAUAAACAUCAAGUUUUCAUAAUAAUCAUCAUAAGAUAUGGGUUCAUGCUUCAAAUUCAUAAAAAUUAAAUAAAAAUUAUGCCUUUGUAAAGAAAAUUACUUUUGGGCACAAGAACGAAAGAGAGUUCUUAUUGAAAAACCCCACAUACCUUGAAUGAUGAACUUUAGAUCGAUACUCAUUUUUGAGAUGUUAAUCGUGCNNNNNNNNNNNNNNNNNNNNNNNNNNNNNNNNNNNNNNNNNNNNNNNNNNNNNNNNNNNNNNNNNNNNNNNNNNNNNNNNNNNNNNNNNNNNNNNNNNNNNNNNUUGCAGAAUUUAUGGUGAACUUUGGAGGUUCUUGAAGUUGGAUGUAGGAGCUUAGGGUUUUCUUUUGGAGGGAUUUUGAUGAAAUAUAACAUAUAAUGCUUCUAAUAGGCUUUAAUAUAGGGUUUGGACGGAUUUUGGGUGAGGAGAAAUAACCAAAAUGCCCCUAAAAAUAAAAAAAAAUUCUCUAAUCUGUCCUUUGGUGGACUAUUUUGAUAGUCUGAAGUAGAUCAACCAUAACGUUUUGCUCCAAUAGACGAAUUGGAUGAAACCAAUUUCAUUAAAAAGAGGACUCUCAUAUCUUUCCGUUGAUAUAUAGUAUCUCACCGAGAUCAUUGUGUACGAGGAGUUAUGGUCUUUUGAAGUUGACCCCAAAAUUUACUUUUGAUAGGUUGAAGUAGAUCAACCAUAACGUUUUGCUCCAAUAGACGAAUUGGAUGAAACCAAUUUCAUUGGAAAGAGGACUCACAGAGCUUUUCGUUGAUAUAUAGUAAAUCACCCAGAUCAUUAUGUACAAGGAGUUAUGAUCAUUUAUAGUUGGAGGAAAAAUACGCCAGCCCUUAGUUAUUUUACCUGCACGUUUUACUGUUCACUACUAUUCACGGUUCGAUUGGAAUGUUCAUAACUCGUCGCUCGGGUGUCCGUUUUGGAUGAUCCACAUAUCGUUGGAAAUAUUAUUCGAUACUCUACGCAAUUGUGGGUCAUAAUCUAAGAUAUUUCGCACGAAAAAUUUAUAAUUCAUUCUAGAAGAUUGAACCCAACACGUUUACGCACAAAAUUUCAACGAAAAAUUUCUCGGGGUAUUACACCAACCUUCACUUAUAUAUAGUAAUUGUCACACCUCUUUUUUAACCUGAAAACAUUCAUUUUUUAAGUUUGAAAGGGUUUUUAUUAUUAAGUGACAAAAAGAUGAAAAUUUAUUUCGUAAAGGUCUUUUUAUAUUCAAAACUCAGAGUCGCCACUUGGCAUAAAUUGGGUGUGCCAAGUCACCUGUAGAUAUUCUUUUCAAAAUGGUUUUGAAUCUGUAAAACUUAUCCGCGAACAGAGAUUCCAGCUAAGGAAUUCUGUUGACCAAAGAGAAGGUGUUAGGCACCCCUCGGUCCCGUGGUUUGACAAAGUCGCUUGAUGGAGAGUAUCGGCUAAUUAGACACCACGAAUGUAUAAACCACACAAAUCACAUAAACAAUCAUCAAACAACAAUUCAAAACUAAAAUAAUAAUGUCCAAUCCAAUUAUACAGUCCAAAACAGAAAAAUCGCAAAAAAUAUAUAUCCUAUUCUAUACUAAUGCUAGAAUAAACUCCAACCCGAUGCCUCCGGCCUUCGUCGCGAACGUCCUUCGGGUACAAAUACUUCGGUUCAUUCCCCGACCAAUAAACACAAUUACCUCGGGGCAUUCCCUAGCCAAAUGAAUACAAUUGAGUCGAAUACGAUAAAACAAAAUCAUUUCAACACAUAUCUCAAACAUUCAAUCAAUGCACAAUCUCUAGAUUUGCCUACCCGACCUAUGUCUAGCCUAUUCCUUCUUGACCUAAAACAUGGCACUAUCGGGUUCAACCAUAUUCAUGUUUAAAUCGAAUUACACCAACAUCAAUAAAUCUAAAUUAAUUUGUAUUCAUUUUUUUCAUUAAGAUCGAUUCAUCUCUAAACCAUUCUCAAAAUAAUUAAUUACUUCUUCGACUACUAAUCCAAGUUUUCAACAUUUGAAUUCAAUAUCAACCAAUACACAAUCAAGAUUCAAACAUACCAAACACACAAAUCCUCCACUCUUAUGUAAAAAUUAAAUGGAGAAAGGAUAAAAUUGGACCUUAAUGAUGAUUUUAAUCUAAAUAUCAGUCAAUCGAGAAGUCAGAGUUCGUGUGUCGAAGAACCCCGAAUCAGCCUCGACAACGAAUCAAAUUCAAACUCGGUAUCAGAAAUCGAAGCCCGUCAAACCAAACCCGCAACUCGAAGCAAAGAUUUCAAAGUCCGAAAACCCAUACCUGAUCAACCCGCUCAGUUACUAUUUUUGGUUUUUUUGGUAGAUCUCACCGAAAUCAAUACUGGUUGAGCCAAUUUUGAUUACUCGCCAGCGGGUUUUGGCACCUUUCGAUGAAUGAUCGCCAGAAAUGACCCUGGGGGUCGGUUCGGUGGUUUCCCAGCAUUCUCCUAUCAAUGUGGUAGCGUCGCCAAAGCUCCGGCAAGCUUAACAGCGGCGUCACUGUCUUCCUCCUCCCAAAUUCUCUCUCUCGUUCGACCUCUCCUCUCUCUCCAGAUCAAUAUCUCUUACUUAUGUAUCGGUGUAUGAAUCUUAAGAAUAUUCAUGAGUGAGUGACCUAUAUGAUCUAUGUGUAUGCUGCCCAUUUUUUGGUUAAUAGUGCAUGUGUACGUGACUAGUGAAGAAGAAGAAACCCCUUUGUGCCUAUAUUUUCCUGUAUCUAUAUUGCCCACCCCCCCAAUGUGCUGAUAUGAAUUAGAAAAUCCCCUCAAUCUUCUCCGUGGCCCCCCCUCUUUUUUGUUGCUCUCUCCGUAUGUAUAUAUAUGGAAAUUUCUUUUAAAGGUGAUGAAUUGUGUGAUGUCAAAAGCAAGUGCCUCCCCCCCCGGUGAGAGUUUUUUUUUUCAAUUGGAAAAGAUGAAAUCUUCUUGGUGGGCUCUUAUUAUCUGAUAUGUUUGUUAUCAAAAGAAGCCAAAAAGAAAUACAAGGGGUACGUAGGGUAUGGGUUUAGGGUAGGGUAGUGGUGAGGUGGCCUAAUUUAAUAGGGAGGGUUGUUAAUUUGUUAUCAAUUGAGAUGAGGUGGGAACUUUGGGAUAAAAUUUGUUUAGAGUUGGUCAUUGUUUUGUCAUUUUAUGGAGGGGUUAUCAUGUAGAUGAUGGUACGCGGUAGGAUAAAGUAAAAAUGGAUAAAGGUGAUGUCGGGGAGGGACGAAAUUAGAUGUCUACAUCAUGCCCCCUUUGAAUGUAAACACGCAGUGUUUUCAGACAAAGAAGUAGAUAACAAGACAGAAUUUUGUCCCGGCCAUUAUUCAGAGGAAGAAACAGAAGGAAAAAGGAUGACCAAGUCCUGACUUCGGACAUUCUAGUUACCCAAGUUAUGGAGGAAUCAGGUGACGGGUAUUUCAAAGGAUUUGAAAGAGAAGGACUAUACCGAGUUGGAGAGUCGAGUGAGGUCCCAUCGAGGUUCCGAUCUGCGGCUCUGUCAUUACAUCAAAAUGAAAAUUACAAGUUAAAACAUAAAUGAAAUUACAAAAUCCUAUCUAUACAGCUUCUGUUGGACUCCUAACUUAAGUUUUAUCACCCUAUUCUUCAGGCGGGCUCCUGACUUGCAAUUUCUUCACCCUGUUCUUUAGGCAGGCUCCUGAGUUGCAAUUUCAUCACUUGUUGCUUGGUUUUAAAUUUCUUCACCCUGUUCUUCAGGCGGUUUCCUGACUUGCUAUUUUAUCAACUUGUUGCUAUGCUUUUAAUUUCUUCACCCUGUUCUGCAGGAAGGCUCCUGACUUGUUAUUUUUCAAUCUGUUUAACUUUUAAUUUCUUCACCUUGUUGCUUGGUUUUCCAUUUAUUCGCCCUGUGCUUUGGGCAGGCUCCUGAAAUCAUAUCAAAACUGGAAAGAAAAUUAUUCCAAAUAAAAAUUAUUAUAAAGAGAAAUUUUGUUUGCCAGAAAAGUAAGUUCCAAAAAAAAGAAUUAAAUUUUUCCCCAGUUUAUCAUCAAAAGACUUUUGUGAAAGUCACAUAAUUAUAGAAAUUAAAGAGAAUAACUCGACUAUAAGGUACGUCUUAUAGGAAUCAAAAGAAUUGACUCGACUAAAAGGUAAAUCUUAUAGGAAUCAAGGGAGAUGACUCGACUAAAAGGUACGUCUUAUAGAAAUCAAUAGGGAUGACUCGACUAAAAGGUACGUCUUACAGGAAUCAAGGGGGAUGACUCGACUAAAAGGUACGUCUUAUAGGAAUCAAAGGGAAUAACUCGACUAAAAGGUACGUCUUCUAGGGGUCAAAGGGGAGAUGACUCGACUAAAAGGUACGUCUUCUAGGGAUCAAGAGAAAUGACUCGACUAAAAGGUACAUCUUAUAGGAAUCAAAGGGAAUGACUCGACUAAAAGGUAAGUCUCAUAGGAAUCAAAGGGGAUGACUCGACUAAAAGGUACGUCUUAUAGGAAUCAAAGGGAAUGACUCGACUAAAAGGUACGUCUUCUAGAGGUCAAAGGAAAUGACCCGACUAAAAGGUACGUCUUAUAGGAAUCAAAGGGAAUGACUCAACUAAAAGGUAUGUCUUAUAGGAAUCAAAGGGGAUGACUCGACUAAAAGGUAUGUCUUAUAAGAAUCAAAGGGAAAUGACUCGACUAAAAGGUAUGUCUUAUAGGAAUCAAAGGGGAGGACUCAACUAAAAGGUACAUCUUCUAGGGGUCAAAGAAAAUGAAUCGACUAAAAGGUACGUCUUAUAAGAAUCAAAGGGGAUGACUCGACUAAAAGGUACGUCUUCUAGGGGUCAAAGGGAAUGACUCGACUAAAAGGUAUCUCUUCUAGGGAUCAAAGGGAAUGACUCGACUAAAAGGUAAGUCUUAUAGGAAUCAAAGAGAAUGACUCGACUAAAAGGUACGUCUUCUAGGAAUCAAAGGGGAUGAAUCCACUAAAAGGUACGUCUUAUAGGAAUCAAAGGGAAUGACUCAACUAAAAGGUAUGUCUUAUAGGAAUCAAAAGGGAUGAGUCGACUAAAAGGUACGUCUUCUCGAAAUCCAGGAAAAUUACUCGACUAAAAGGUACGUCUUCUAAGAGUCAAAGUAAAUGACUCAACAAGAAGGUACGUCUUCUAGGAGUGCAGGUUCAAUUUAAGAAGUGUAUCACCCAACAAAUGAAAACUAAAAUCCCUGGACAGGAAAGUGUGUCUCCGAGGGAUAUAAGAUGGUGAAUUUUUACCAUGAUUUAAUUAUCAAACCUGUGCAGCAACAUUGCUUCCUGCAUUUGUAAAAGCGAGAAAUUAGGGGCCUUGAUGUUUAGGCUUUGAAAUCCUUGAUUUGAAGGUGACAUGUAUUCCUGUUUCAUCCAAAGAAAAGUUGUGAUUUUAAAAACAUGGACACAGGUUUGUGGCUUUGGAUUUCGUGGCAAACGCUCUUGCUGUCAUCACAUUUAACCUUGCUUCCAACCAUUACAUAUAUCAAUGACUUGAUGCAUCAUUGACCCAAACUCAGAUUAUUAAGAGUGACUUUGAAAUAAAUACAGUAUCUUUGCUUUGCCAUGCUCCUUAGAUAAACCCUUUGAACUUUGGUAUUUCCAUGAGGUCUCAGACUUUUUUGUUGAUAGAACUUUCUAUAUGCCUUAUUUCGGCUCAUAAUCAUAUCUCUUUCAUGUGUUGGCCUUUUGUCUCGCUUUUUGCAAUUGAAGAAUCUGGUAGCCAGUUUUGAAAUCUUUUCUCACUUGUUUUGACACAGACUUGACUCAAAGACAAGAAACGAAAAAAGAAUGACAAUUUUUGUUUGGAUAACUUACUCAAGAAAGAUAAAAUAAAAAUAAAGAGAAGAAAGAUUAUGCCAUGCAUUUUGGAUUAAGCAGCUUGAUCUUUUCAUCUAAACUUUCUACCCAUUGUUGUUGUGUUAAUGGCCUUGAAACUGAGUUGCUUCCUUAGGUCAAUUGUAUUUAAGACCCCAUUCGUCUAGUGGUGCCUUGAAGGGUUUUCGCCAACAAGCUUCUCUCAUUUUCUUUUCCUCAGCUCACCAUUGCCUUAUAGUGUCUUUAAGGGUUUUCCACUAAUGAGACUCUCUUAUCUUCGUUUCCCUUAACUCACAGUCGUCUUAUGGUGCCCAUGAGAGUUUUCACCGAUAAGACUCUCUUAUUUUUAUCUCUCUCAACUUUCCAUCGUCCUACGGUGCUCAUAAGAGUUUUCACCAAUAAGACUCUCUCAUUUUUAUUUCUCUCCAACUUUUUAUGCUGAGGAAGACAAAUAGUUCCCAAAUGCAUCAUCAUAUCCCUUGCAUGCUCAGCCUUAACAUCCUUAAAUAUUGAUCUGAAGGUCUUUCUUUGGUUGUAACUUGGUUUUUGGAUAAAGUUAGAAAGAAGGGAUGACAUGAGGCCCAAACAAUACUUGAUGUGGUGUAGGACUUACAACUUUUGGAAUCUACUCAAACAAUGAGGAUUAACUCAUGCCCCAGUUUCUUUUGACUGCGCAAUUCUAAACUAUUUAUUUGGUUGGACCGAGCCCAGGGUAGGGCUGCCUACGUAUCUCACCCCCGAGAGAGGAGAAUCAGGUUACACGUAGUUCUGACAGCUUGUUCUUUCACUUGAUUUUAAGUUUUUUGUUUUCUUUUGUUGACUCUUUUUCUCUUUGGGACAUUUCUAACUUUAUUUUUCUCGACGCUAUUCUUUUUCUCUUUUUGGACACAUUUUUUUCUUUUUUUUGAAACUUUUCUGACUCUACUAUUUUGCUCGACACCUUUUCUUUUAAGCUUGUGAGAUUUUUUGACUCUAUAUUGAUUCCAUAAGAGGGGUGUGAAAUAAAAUAGGACUAAAUCUCAAAUGGGGUAAACAAAGGAUGACACGAUGUUUGGAUAGUAGAAUGAAAUGCGUUCGUCAUAUCAAUCCUUAAAAAUGCAAGUACAUAUCAUGCAAUAUGAAAAUGAAAGAUGAAGAUCAUUUGUGGCACUUUAACAACACUAACUUCAACUGAGCAUGUAUGUCACUUCUUUUUCUACAUUUGUCAAACAUACAACUCCAUUUUCAUUGUACAUUCCUCAUGCUGAAGGAUUCAUGACUUCGUGGAGCUGAUUUUCUUUCUGUUCCUCUUGAUAUAGGAUCACGCAGCCACUGUUUGACCUAAUCGAGACAUGUAUUUCAAUUGAUGACCAAGUUAGUCUUGUAAUCUUAAAAUAAUUGCCUUAAUUUUCAAAGAAGACUUCAACUUGGUCACCAAAUGUCUCAACACUCUACCUAUUUUCUCAGAUGCUUUUUCUAACUUUAACCCUAUGAUUCCAUGCUCAUGCUUAAACUAGAUUUUAAAAUCUGGCUGAAAAUUCCGCUAGCAUAUCAUAUUACCAGAAUCAACAUAAAAUAUACUAUGUAAAGAAAACAAAAAAACAACACUUUUAAAUCACAAAGGAAAUGGGGACACUCUAUUUAAUUAAAAUGAAAGAUAGAAGGGUUUGAACAUAAUGACAAAGGGACAAAACAAAAUAGAUCCCGAACUAAAACUCUGAAAUAAUUCAAAAAACAGAAAAGAAGACAAAACAAACUACUAGACCUCUUCCUAGUAAGGAGAUGGGUGACUUCUCAAUUGCUCAGCCUGACAUCUUAGCCACUGAUUUGCAUAUCAGCAUGAAUAGAGCUUUCCUCACUGUCAAUAUUCUGUACCAUAAUUAAUUUAUCUUGAAUCAUCUUUUCAAUUUCUCUUUUCAAAGCAUGACAAUUUUCAAUACUGUGACCCUGAACAGCAGAAUGAUAUGCACAUCGUAUAUUAGGAUCAAAACUUCUUGAAUAUGGGCUAGGAGUAUACCCAAGGAGAGAAGUGAUCAUGCCCUGCUGUACCAAUCUCUAGAAUAAACUAGCAUAGGAUUCCCAAUAGGAGUGAAAUUAUCUUUUUCCUUCCUCCUCUUUACGAACUCUGGCCUUGGAUGAAACUUAGAUUUAGAGGUUCCUUGGUAAAUUUGUAGGGGUCUAGGAUGAUGUUGAGGGACAGGUUCAUGCUAUUGUGGAUAAGAAGAUGGAUGAGCAUACAAUUGUGCAUUGUUUAAAGGAUAUUGAGGAAGUGGAAUGGGUUUUCUUGGAUUUUGGGUAAAGAAACCUUGUUGUAAGUGGUUACGUGGAUCUAAUAUGUAAGCUCGGGAUUGAGGUUGAAUGUAUUGGUGGGUUGGACCUCUCAAACUCUGCUUUGGCCCUGGCAUGACAAUAGGUGCAUUUUCCUUCUUCUUUUCUUCAGUUUCCCUUGGUUGAUUGCAAUGUCGUCCCAAAUGUUUCACAAAAUCCUUCUGUCUAUCAGGAUCCCCAAAUUUUGUUGUCUCAAAUCUAAGAGGAAGGUUAACACUUGAAGACAUGCCCCAAUUUUUAUAUGAAACAUCUUCAUAGCCCAUAAGUCCAAGGGAAUUUUCCAUAUUAUUUUCUACACUCUUAACUUUCCCAACCACUUUCUCUAGCUCUUCUAGCAUGCUAGGCUUCUUAGUAAGAAAUUUUGGCGGUCCACUUAAUUUAAUGGUAGGCUCAAGAGUAUGAUCAUCAAGAGUAUUGAACGUGGAUACACUAGUGGACUGGGGAAGCACAAUCAUUAGAUUGAUAGCCAAAGUGGAAGUCUUAGUAGAAGGUUGAGCAACAAAAGCACAAACGGUAUGUGGUGUUGUGAAUGUGGUAGACUUAUACUGAGGAGCUAAAGAAAGAGUGGUGAAAGUAUUGAGUUACAUUUUACGUGGAAUAGAUUCUGAGGCAUGCUGUGGUGCAUCAACAAUAGUAGGAAACUGACUUUGCAAUUUUGGUGGAAGACUCAAGGUAUUUGUAGGGUCAAAAGUGGGGAACGGAGGUGGAGGCAGCCCACUAGCCCAAGCUCGGUACAUUUCCAUCAUUUGUUGUCUCAGUCUCAAAUUCUCUUCCUUUAAACUCUCAAUUUCCUGACUCUUUGUUUCAUCCAUGAGGCCACUCUCUAUAUCCUUGUUGGACACAACUAACCCUUUCUUGAAUUUGGUAUGAUAUGAAGGAUCAGUCAGGAUGCCACAAACCAACCACCUUAAACUAACUGCAUAAGAGGUAACAAGGUGUUAAAGUUCAACACUUUCUCAAAAUCUUCUUUUUUUUUUUUAGUUUUUCUUUUUCUUUGAAAAAGAUCACCGAACCCAAAAAAGGGUGCCUACGUAUCUAACCCCCGAAAGGAGAGAAUCAGGUGUGCGUAAUUCGUGAUGUUUUGCCAAAAUGGCCAAUUAAAAUCUUUUUCUUUUCUUUUUUUCUUUUUCUUGAAACUUUAAGAAGAAAAAGAAAAUAACCAAUUAUCAAAAGAAUUGACGAAAAUAUUUUUUGCAUUUUUUUAGGUUUAAACUCCCUAUACAAAAAUGAAACCUACGAUUACCAAAGAAAAAUCUUUUUGGAUUUUCAAUUUUGAAUUUUAUAUGAAUAUUAAACUUGAAGCUCUUAAAGGAAAAUCUUUUUAUAGUUUUCUUUUAAAAAUGUAUAUGAAACACCUACUCUAAUAACGACUGAAGAAAAUCUUUUUGAAUUUUCAAAUAAGAUCAACCAAAAAUGAAACCUACGACUAUUAAGGAAAAUCUUUUUGUAGUGUUCUUUUCGAGGCAUAUGUGAAACACCUACUCUAAGUGAAAAGUGAAGAAUUUUUUUUUUAAUUUUUUAAAUAAGAUCCCGAACCAACAAUAGGUUGCCUACGUAUUUCACUCCCAAGAGAGGAGAAUCAGGGGUGCGUAGUUCAUCAAGUCUGGACAAUUGAGGAUAAAUAAUGAACUGAACCCUAACUUAAGAGACACGACCAAAGACAGACGAUGAACAAUGUAAAUAAAAUUUUUUCGAGUUUUCAUUUAGACAAUUCACAUAAGACUGACACUAACAACUAUGAAAGAAAAAUCUUUUUGGCAUUUUCAUUUUAUGAAAUGGACACAACUACUACCAUUUUUGAAACUUCUAAAGAAAAUCUUUUUCUGGAAUUUCUUAAUUAUGAAUGCAUGCUAAAGAAGAUAAAUGGAAAAUCUUUUUGAAAUUUUAUUUAUUUGAGAAAAUGAGUACGAAAGGUAAAAAAUCUUUUUGAAUUUUUGAAUUGUGAAAAAAUUAAAGCCAUAAAGAAUACUAAAAGCUAUGAAACCCUUUUUGACUCAUUUUUCUUUUUCUUUUUUUUUUUCAAACACUCCUUACUUCUAACACAUGCUUUUCCUGAAUCAGUCCAUCAAAUGACCCCUUACCCUCAAAAGUGCAACAGUUAGCAUGUAGAGAUGACUUAUGGGUGAGCCUCCUAUGAAGGACCAAGUGGGCGCCACUAGGUCUCAAUAUGAUACCCAUAAAUAUGACCUAAAGGCUGACCUACGCUGGGAUUUACUAACAAGGCUGUUUAGGGGAGCGUAUGGUCGAUAGUGGCUGCGACAGCUUUCCACCCACUUCAUACGUCCAAUGGCUCCCCCUCCUAAAAUAAAGGUGACUGAACUAGAGUUCAUAUACACGACUUGCACUCUGAGACUUGUUGCAGAAAGAAUUGACCCGGGUUAUGCAAAUGAUGCCAGAUAUAAAGCGUUAACACAUAAAUAAAAACCAUAAACAAAGAGCACGUAGGCACUCCACAAUGAUUAAAUAAAUACAAAUGAUAACACAGAUAAUGUCUAUACACCCAUAAUGUCAAACUAAGCUGAUACAACUCCAAAAAAUAAGCUCGAAUUCUGAAAGUUCCCCAGCAGAGUCGCCAGAGCUAUCACACCCCUUUUUAAAUCUGAAAAGAUUUAUUUUUUAAGUUCAAAAGGGUUUUUAUUAUUAAGUGACAAAACGAUGAAAAUUUGUUUCGAAAAGGACUUUUUAUAUUCCAAACUUAGAGUCGCCACUUGGCAUAAAUUGGGUGUGCCAAUUCACCCGUGGAUAUCCUUUUCAAAAUGGUUUUGACUCUGUAACACUGAUUCGCGAAUAGAGAUUCCAGCUAAGGAAUUCUGUUGACCGAAGGGAAGGUGUUAGGCACCCCUCGAUCUCGUGGUUUGACCACGGUCUAUUGAUGGAGAGUAUCGGCUAAUUAGACACCACGAAUGUAUAAACCACACAAAGCACAUAAACAAACAUCAAACAACAAUCCAAAAUCAAAAUAAUAAUGUUCAGUCCAAUUAAACAGUCCAAAACAGAAAAAUCGCAAAAAAUAUAAAUCCUAUUCUAUACUAAUGCUAGAAUAAACUCCAACCCGACGCCUCAGGCCUUCGUCGCGAACGUCCUCUGGGUACAAAUACUUCAGGGAGAGUUCGCAUGUCGAAGAACCCCAAAUCAGCCUCGACAACGAAUCAAAUUCCAACCCGGUAUCAGAAAUCAAAGCCCAUCAAACCAAACCGGCAACUCAAAGCAAAUAUUACAAAGUCCGAAAGCCCGUACCUGAUCAGCCUACUCCGUUACUAUUUUUGGUCAUUUUUCGGUAGAUCUCACCAGAAUCAAGACUGGUUGAGCCAAUUUUGAUUGCUUGCCAGCGGGUUUCGACACCUUUCGAUGGAUGGUCGCCGGAAAUGACCCUGGGGGUCGGGUCGGUGGUUUCCCAGCAUUCUCCUAUCAAUGUGGUCGCCAAAGCUCCGGCAAGCUUAACAGCGGCGUCGCUGUCUUCCUCCUCCCAAAUUCUCUCUCGUUCGACCUCUCUUCUCUCUCCAGAUCAAUAUCUCUCAUUUGUGUGUUAGUGUAUGAAUCUCGAGAAUAUUCAUGAGUGAGUGACCUAUGUGAGCUAUGUGAAUGUUGACCAUUUUUCGAUGAACAGUGCGUGUGUGCAUGAAUAGUGAAGAAGAAUAAGAAACCCCCUUGUGCCUAUAUUAUCCUGUAUCUAUAUUCCCCUCUCCAAUGUGCUGAUAUGAAUUGGAAAAUCCCCUCAAUCUUCUUCGUGGGCCCCUCUCUUUUUUGUUACUCUCUCCGUAUGUAUAUAUAUGGAGAUUUCUUUUAAAGGUGAUGAAUUGUGUGAUGUCAAAAACAAGUGGGCCCUCCUGGUGGGAGUUUUUUUUUUGAAUUGGAAAAGAUGGAAUCUUCCUGGUGGGCUCUUAUUAUCUGACGUGUUUGUUAUCAAAAGAAGCCAAAAAGAAAUACAAGGGGUACGUAGGGUAUGGGGUUAGGGUUGGGUAGUGGUGAGGUGGCCUAAUUUAAUAGGGAAGAUUGUUAAUUUGUUAUCAAUUGAGAUGAGGUGAGAACUUUGGGAUAAAAUUUAUUUUAUGGAGGGGUUAUCAUGUAGAUGAGGGUACACGGUAGGAUAAAGUAAAAAUGGGUAAAAGUGAUGUCGGGGAGGGACGAAAUUAGGUGUCUACAGUAGUAAUAGUAAUUUAUUAGUUUUAUCAUCAUUUUUAUGGUGCAAUAAAAUGGUUACACAUGCAUAUUAUUUUUUUCUUAUAUUUAUUAGUUUUAUCCUCAUGUAUUAUUUUAAUAAUAUUUUUAUUUAGACCUUUGUAAUUGAAUUAUACAUGGUAGUAUUUUUUUAUAAAUAUCUUUUUGUUCCUUAUUAAAUGAUUAUCAAGGGUAUUUCAGUAAUUUUAUGGUUCAAUAAAAUGAUUACACAUGCCUAUUAUUUUUCUUUAUAUUUAUCAGUUUUGUCCUUAUUUUUAUGGUGCAAUAAAAUAGUUAGACAUGCAUAUUAUUUUUUCUUAUAUUUAAUAGUUUUGUAGUAGUCAUAAAGUAAUAAUAAUAAUAAUAAAAACAACAACAACAACAAUAGUAGUAAUAGUAAAUAUAUAUAUAUAUAUAUAUAUAUACCACAAAAGAAAAAUUAGUAGUACACCAAACCUUUUUUCCUUAUAUGUAUUAAUUUUGUCGUCAUUUUUAUGGUACAAUAAAAUGGUUAAACAUGCAUAUUGCUUUUUUCUUAUAUUUAUUUAUUUUGUCCUCAUGUAUUAUUUUAAUAAUAUUUUUAUUUAGACCUUUCUAAUUGAAUUAUACAUGGUAAUAUUUUUUUAUAAAUGUCUUUUUUUCCUUAUUAAAUGACUACCAAGGGUUUAACCAAAAAAAGACUACCAAGGGUAUUUGGGUAAUUUUAUGGUGCAAUAAAUAUUUCGAAAUCGAUGUAUGUCCAUAUGCAUGUGUAACCAUUUUAUUUAUUUUUAUAAUUAUAUAUAAGUGAAGGUUGGGGUGACUAAAAUUACCAAAAUACCCUUUUUUUGUUGAAUAGAGCAUUGAAAGAUAAAAGUUACACUGUUAGUGAAUUACAUAGAGCCAGGCUAGUUAGCCUGGGUUAAUAGCAAAAGAUAAAGAUUCGGCAGACAAAGUUUGUGCUGCAGGUAAUCUAGUACAUCUUUCAAAAGACGUGCCUACCAUGUCUGCCCACAAAGACUGUCGGGCAUACACGGGAGGAGCUAGGAAUAUUUCAGCUUCUUCAAAAAAAGAGGAGGUUGCUCCAUUUUUAGCUAGUACAUCAGCAACUUGAUUUUGUUUCCUGUAGAUAUGAGUUACCACUGAUCCCUACAUCCUUGCUAAUCUAGUCCUGCACUCAUCAAUAAUUCCGUUAUAGAGGGGGUUACCCUUUCUUAACAUUUUAAUAACUUUCAUGGAAUUGGAAUUAAUUUCAAUAGGCAAUAGGCUUUGAGACUCGCAUAUUUUAAGACUUUUCAAGAGAGCUAAAAGUUCCAUGUGGUUGUUCAUAGCAUGAAGAAAACUCUUGGUGAAACCUAUAAGCCAAUCUUCGUUGUGAUUCCUAACAAUGCCACCAAUGCCCUCUUUCCCCGGGUUACCUAAACAAGAGCCGUCUAUGUUGAGCAUGAGAGAGUCCCUUUUAGGAGGAUUCCACUUAGUGGAGAUGUUCAUUAAUCUACUGAGGUGGGGUCUUUGGCUGCUAAUGUGACUAAAUUUAAUAGCUUCAGUAUAAGCCUCAUGGAAGAAGGGUUUACUGGAGGAGUUGUUAAAGAGAUUAAAAUUUUUAUUCUUCCAAAUCACCCAGAGACAUUGGGGGAGGGUUUCAAACCACAAUAGUAUAUUAUCAUAAGGUUUGUGUUUGAUCUUGGUCCAGUUGUUAGUCCAGCUUUAAGAGAGUAUGUUGGAGUGGGAGAAGGCACAAGGUUUCUUGGCUUUAUGAAACAAAUCAUUCCAGAGAUCCGUAGUUAGAGGGCAUCCAAAGAAAAUGUGGUGCCUAUCUUCAGGGGUCUGGUUACACCCAUGAAAGUCAGGGCUUAUAGCUAGACCUUUUUGGCUAGAUUAAGGCUUGUGGGAAGCCUAUUAUGAACAAGCAGCCAAAUAAAGUAUUUGAUCUUAUUUUGAGCAGGGAGGGACCAGAUGAUGUUGAAAUUUGUGGAGCAAUUGUUGAAGCUCUAGUUUCCUUUAUUAAUAAGGUAAUUGUAGGAAGAGCUACAGGAGAAAGAACCAGUCCUUUUAGGUCCCAAACAGGGAAGUCUUCAAGGAUCCUAUGGUUGGGAUAAAAAGCACUUUUAAUGUGGCAUUGGAUAUUUUGAGGAAUUUCCAUGUUAAGAUUGCUGAAAUCCCAACUAUUGUCCUUCCAGGUAUUAGAAAGCUUGGUAUUUUGAUCAUGAGGAGUUAGAGGGCCCUAAAUAAGGUUCCUAAGGGCAAGUUAAUUGGGGAUCCACUUGUCCAUCCAGAAAAGAAUAUUCGGGCCAUUUUUUGCACUCCAGGUACAGGAUUCAUUGCAUUGACUCCAACCCCUGUGAAGAGAUCUCCAGGUCCUAGAGUUGGAGGGGUUAGAGUUAAUACUUUUUUGCAAUACUUAUUUUUUAGGAUAGAAGCCUAGAGAGUCUGAGGGUUUUUAAUGAACCUCCGACAAGGCUCAUAAAAAGAGAAGUAUUCUUAGGCUUGGAUCUUUGAAUCCAUAAUCCACCCUCCUUUUUUGGGAGGGUGAUAGUGUUUCAAGAGAGCUAGUGGAUUUUCCUAACCCUUCCAUAGUGCCCCAUAGAAAAUUUCUUUGGAUUAUGUCAAUAGAGUUCAAGAUCUUAUUGGGAAUGGCAAUGAAUUACAUUAUGUGAUUGGGAAUGCUAUUGAGAGAAGCUUUUUCCAGGAUAGUUCUCCCAGACAUGUUAAGGAAUUUCGUCUUCCAACCCCUAAAUUUGGAGUUCAGGGAGUCCAGAAUGAAUUUGAAGUCCUAAUUUGUAGGGUUUUUUUUAUGAAAGAUGGGAAAUUAGGUAUUUCUCAUACUCAUGACCUUCUUUGAUUUUAAGGUCAGUGGCUAACUUCUCUCUAAGUUCAGUCUUACAGUUAUGGGAGAAGAUGAGCUUAGACUUAGACGAAUUGAACCUUUAUCUAGAGAAAUGUCUGAAUAUAUUAAGAGUGUGAAAAAUGGUGUGAUAGUUUUUGUGGUUAACCCUGGCAAAAAAGAUGAGGUCAUCAACAAAGAAGAGGUGGGAUAAGGAAGGGCCACCUCUACUGAUGGAGAUAGGAGUCUAGUUGAGAGUGUCCACCUCAUGAUUUAUUCUUCUAGAGAGAAGUUCCAUAUAGAUGAUAAAAAGAUAGGGAGAGUUGGGGUCCCUCUAUCUAAUUUCUCUGGUGGGAAUAAAGAAAUCAGUUUUGUCCCCAUUAACCAGGAUAGAGAUGGAAGAAGUAGAAAUGCAAGACAUGAUGAGGGCACUGAGUUUAGGGGGAAAAUUGAGAAAAUGAAGGGUUUGCCUGAUGAAGGACCAUUCAAUUCUAUCAAAAGCCCUUUUUAAGUCAAUUUUAAGGAUCAUAUUUGAUUGUUUGCCUUUCAUCUUAGAGAAGUGGGUUAUAUAUUUCUGCAUAAUAAUGCCAUUAUCAGCAACCUUUCUGUUUGAGAGAAAAAUAGCUUGGGUGGGGCUGAUAAGAUCUGCCAGGAAGGGCUUUAUUCUGUUGGCAAUGAUCUUGGUUAUAAUUUUGUAUUGGGUAUUGCAUAGGCCAAUAGGCUUAAAAUUCUUCAGGUGGGUAGCAUUUUUUGUUUUGGGAAUAAGGCACAGGUAAGUGGUAUUGACCUCCUCCUCCAUGGUAGCCAUACUAAAAGUUUUCUGGCCGAACUUGAUGACAGAGGGACUUAGAAUAUCCCAGUAUUUAUGUUGAAGAAGGGGGUGGAUACCCUCAGGCCCAGGAGAUUCUUUGGGCUUGAAAGAGAAAGCAACCCUCUUAAUCUCUUCAGGAUCAGGAAUAGAGAAAGCAACCCUCUUAAUCUCUUCAGGAUCAGAUGGAGCCUCUGGAGGAAGGGCUGACUUGGCAUUUGAAGGGUGAAGUAGCAUGGUCAGAUAUGAAUAUAGUAUGGUAGUAGUUAAGAAUGCUACUCUUGAACGUCUUCUAGAGAGUGGGACCAGAGCCCUGAAUCAUCUUUUAGGGAGUUGAUUCUAUUGUUUCUUCUUCUAUUAAGGGUGAAAUUAUGGAAGAAGCUAGUGUUCCUGUCCCAUCCAGUUAGCCAGUUUAUUCUGGACUUUAAUUGCCAAAAUUCUUACUCCUGUUUGAGGAUGGCACUGAACUCCCUGGAGAGAUUGGAUUCUAGAUCAUGGAGGAAGGAAUUGUAAGGAUAAUCAGGGGAUCUCUGAAUUCCAGAUAAUCUGGCGAGGAGUUUUUUAUUUUUUAGGAAUAUGUUACCAAAGGUUUCCUUAUUCCACUUGGAGCUGUUGGUUUCAAAGUGAGAAAUAGCUUUGGUGAGAUUAGGAGCAUUUUCAAAAGAAUUCCUGACCAUUUGGGGAAAAGAGGGACUAGAACACCACAUAGAUUCCAUUCUGAAAGGUUUAUGAUGGUGAGUGUGAUGGUUGUCAAGGUUGAUGAGCAGGGGGAGUGAUCAGAAUGAGUUCUAGAAAGAUUGGUGACAGAGGCAUCAGGGAAGAGCUUGAUACAUGUGUCAUUAGCCAGGCACCUCUCUAGCCUUUCAAGAAUAAGGGCAUGCCUUUUUUUAUAUCUUUUGUUGGUCCAGGUGUAUCUACUUCCUUUGAACCCAAGAUCAAUAAGUUGGCAGCAUUUAAUGCAAUCCCAAAAGUGAUUGGCCCUAAAGUUAUUUAUAGGAUUCCCCCCAAAAUUUUUCAUUGGCUUUAAGAAUUUCAUUAAAAUCACCACCCACCAACCAAGCAUUGUUAGGCUGGUUUCUUAUGAAAACAACAAAGUUGUUUAGUUAAUUCCAGAGAUCCAGUCUUUUCUCAUGCCUAUUACUUGCAUAAAAGGUGCUAAAGAACCACAUAGAAGGAGAAUUGCUAACCUAAACAGAAAUAUGGAUGCCUUGGAGGGAGAUGUUGAUGUCAUUAAUGGAAAGAUUGUCAUCCUUCCACAUGAUUACUAGGCCUCCAGAACUCCUAACAGAUGGGUAUUGGAUUUUCUUGGGAAAGCCCAGGUCCUCAGCAAUUUUAUUAUGGUCACUCAUUCUAGUUUCCAAGAGGGCACGGAUCGAAGAAUUAUGGAUGUCUACCAUGGCUUUGCAGUGUCUCUUGAAUUCUGCACUGUUAGCCCCUCUAGUGUUCCAUAUUAUGUAGUUCUUCAUCAAGAGAGAUAGGUUGAGGAUUUCCUGCAUAAUCGCUUUGCCCUUCCCCAGUGGGUGAGGCAGGUUGAGAUCCCCUGAUCUCUUUUUCUUCCUGAUUAAAGGGGAUAUCUUCGUCUUGUAGAAGUUCUUUAUUAUUGGACUUGGUGGGGUGAUUUCCAGAUCGAAAAGGCAUACAUCCUUUGGGAUAAGAACUAUAGUCAGUUCGCUUAUGAUAUCCUUGAAAGUGAGAUGAAUUGGCUUUUCUAGGGUGACUACUUGUGUGCUUGGAACUCGCAUUGUGGCUAGAAUGGACUCCAUUUCCCUAUUGCUUUCUCUUAGUAUCUCUAGAGUUUUCCCCUUUCUACAGUCUCGAGUGGAGGACAGGGGUUUGAGGGAGUGGGUGGACAUUGUGUCAGUGUUGGGGUAUCCCCAGAGAUUAGCGCAAAAGGAGGUCCCUCUUCCAAGAGAGUUAUCAUUCGAGGGGGGAACAAAGGUAGAGACUGACUGACUAGGCUCAUUUAUGUGUUGAUCAUUUUCAUGGUUAGGGUCCCCAUUGAUGAUAUAUUGGUCAGGCGAAUAAGAGCCGUCAUCCAAAUGUUGGGGCCGAAAUUCUGAAGCCCUUGUCUUAGUCCCUUCAUGAAUACUUGGGCAAGAUAGAGGGAGUUCUGGAUGAAGAUUUUGAACCUUCUCCCUCCCCAUUCUAGUUGAUGAGGGACUAUCUGUUCCGUCAAUCCCAUUUCUAACCAGGAGGAUGGUUGGUAAUUUAUGGGUAGAGGGAGUGUAGAGAAGAUCAGAGUUUGGAGGUCCAGAUUUGAAUUCAGAGAUGGUAGGUCCUCCAUUUUUUUUGGAUUGGUUUAGGGGUUCCUGUUGAUUGUUAAAUCUCUGAGAGAUGUUAGCUAGGGUAACCUCUACAGAAGAAGUAUUUUGGAGAAGAAAAGAUUUUUGUCCCAUUGUCAAGGAAGCAUCAGUCAUGUCUUGGUCAGUGAUUUGACUAGUUGAAGCUUUUAGCUUCCUAGGAGAAGGAGCCUUAGAGGCAUCAUUAGUGGUGGACGAAGGGGCUAAAUUUUGAGGAUAGUUGGUCAUUUUUCCCCCCAACAAGACAUCUUGUUGAGGGAGUUAAGAGGUAUUGACUUGAUGAUUGGGCCCCUUCCCGAGAGAAUGUGAUUUGGGCUCAUUCCCAAAAUGUUUGGUUAGGAAACCCAAGUUGGGUCUGUUGUUAGAGUUUCUAACAUUAGAGGGCCCAGGAGAGUUGGAACUAGGGCCAUGGGUAAUGGGAUUUUGGGUAGAGGGCCCAUUCCCCUUCAGAUCAGGAUCCGGUUGGCCAGAACCCUUGUUCCUUUGUUCUCAUUCUCUUUCGUAAUUGUGUCAUUCCCUUUGGAGAGGGCAGAAGGAAUCUUUAAUUGAGAGUUCGGUAGAAGAGAGAGCUUACCUUUUCCUUUCGUAUUUAGGUUUUGUUGAGACAUGGAGGGUUUACUUUUAUUGGUGCUCUUACCUCUCCCUCUUUUGAAGGAGACUGUUUUCCAUUUCGAUUAUUCAUCACUGUGGAGUUGAGAGUUUUGGGGUUGCUACACCUGUUCCUUCUCCCUGGAGAUCUGUGCUUUCCUACAAUAGGUACUGGUGUGGCCAAGACAACCACAACCAUGGCAUAGGAAACCUUCGCCUUCGUAGAGAAUUUUUUGUGAGUGCUGGCCAAUCAAUACUGAAGUCCGUAUUCGAGUUUCCAUGGGAGCUUGGAUGCAGAUACGCGCGUAUCGUCCCCUCAAAGUAGAGGAGGUACAAACGUCUACCUUGAGUAGCUUCCCGAUUUUCCCUCCAAUUUUUUCCAAAAUAUCCUUAUCAUAGAAUUUUGUUGGUAAUUGGGGGAACCUAACCCAUAUAGCAGUAGUCAAGAUCUUGUUUUCUGUGGGCAUGAAGUUGGGAUCCCAGCAGCGAAUCGAUAUAUAGGCUCUUGCAAUGAACCAUGGUCCCUGUUGGAGCGUUUUUCUUUGGUAUUCUUCGCAGUCAAAUUUGACGGUGUAGAAUUUCUUGCCAAGAUCUAUUAACACAAGGUUCCCCUGAAUUUUCCAUAGCUCAAUUAGCUUUAUUCUUAAGUAUUGGUGAGCGAAUUUCUUCCCCACAGGCUUGAUAAUUACUGAGAAUCUCCAUGGCUUAUAGAUCCGCAAUUUGUCAUCUGGGGUGAGGGGAAUGACGUCAUCUGAAGUCAGUGGAGUCUCUGAGUAGGAUAGGUUUUCCAAAGACAAUAGCGGUUCAUUUGGUGUGUAGAGGGUUUCCCUCACAAUGUCGCUGUACGAUGCCAUUUUUGGAUUGAAUUGCCAUUUGGUAUUCUCCUUUGUCAGGAGGCUCCAGAGGGGUGAGGGGUAUAGGGUGGGAUAAUGUAGCUUCGAUCAUUGGAUUGGGACAAUUACAGUAGGGAAGAAGAUAAGAGAGAAGGUGGACCUUCUCUCCGUAACUAUUUCUUGUGGGAAAUGAUAUUUAGCUGCAAAAUAUUUCUUACCGAAAUAACCUUUGUAGUAGUAGUAGUAAUAAUAAUAAUAAUAACAACAACAACAACAACAACAACAACAACAACAACAACAACAAUAGUAGUAAUAGUAAUAGUAAAAAAAAAUGAAUAUAUAAGUAAAGGUUUUGUAGUACCACAAAAGACAAAUUAGUAGUACACCAAAUCUUUACUUAUAUAUAAUAGAUAGAAAUAAUAGUAAUUUAUUAGUUUUAUCAUUAUUUAGAGAAAAGUUAUAUUUUCCACCUCAAACUAUACAUGAAAAGUCUAGGACACACUCAAACUAUCAUACUGACCUAUUACACGCCUAUACUAUAUAAAAGUGAAACCAUUAGUCCUCAAGUAUUAUUUUAAAAAUAUUUUUAUUUAGACCUUUGUAAUUGAAUUAUACAUGGUAGUAUUUUUUUAUAAAUAUCUUUUUGUUCCUUAUUAAAUGUUACCAAGGGUAUUUCAGUAAUUUUAUGGUGUAAUAAAAUGGUUGCACUUGCAUAUUAUUUUUUUCCUUAUAUUUAUUAAUUUUGUCCUCAUUUUUAUGUGCAAUAAAAUGGUUAGACAUGCAUAUUAUUUUUUUCUUAUAUUUAUUAGUUUUAUCCUCAUGUAUUAUUUUAAUAAUAUUUUUAUUUAGACCUUUGUAAUUGAAUUAUACAUGGUAGUAAUUUUUUAUAAAUAUCUUUUUUGUUGCUUAUUAAAUUACCUAUUUUUAUACCCCAAGGGUAUUUCAAUAAUUUUAUGAUGAAAUAAAAUGGUUACACAUGCAUAUUAAUUUUUUCUUAUAUUUAUUAGUUUUGUCGUCAUUUUGAUGGUGCAAUAAAAUGGUUACACAUGCAUAUAAUUUUUUUUCUUAUAUUUAUUAAUUUUGUCCUCAUGUAUUAUUUUAAUAAUAUUUUUAUUUAGACCUUAAGGUUGGAUGACUAAAAUUACCGAACUCCUUUUGAUAGUCACCUCAACCUUUACUUCUAUAGAGUAGUAAAGUAACCUUUACUUAUAUAUAGUAGUAAAGUAAAGUAAGUAGUAGUAGUAGUAGUAGUAGUAAUAAUAAUAAUAAUAAUAAUAAUGGUAAUAGUAAAAAAUAUAUAGUAGUAAAGUAAAGUAAUAAUAAUAAUAUAACAACAACAAUAAUAAUAAUAACAGUACUGGUAAUAGUACAAAAAAAAUAUAAAAGUAAUAAUAAUAAUAUAAUAAUAAUAAUAAUAAUAAUAAUAAUAAUAUAUAAUUACUUAUAAAUGAAAGAUUGGUGUACUGCACAAAAAGACAAAAUAGUAGUACACCUAUUCUUCAUUUAUAUAUAAGAGUAAUAUCACACUUAUUUAUUUAUUCAAGGAAAUAAGUUUCUUGGUGUUCCAAAUACUGAUACAAGUAAGUGGAGUAGUGAUGUUGCAAUUGUUAAAAUUAUUUAUUUUAUGUGGACUUAACAUUAACUUUUUGUUACGUUAAAAUAAAGUGUAAACAAUAUAAAUUUACUACCUAUUGAAACUAAUUGCAUAAAAUUCCUUCAUGCUUUCUCUCUCCCGAUUUUGUAAAUAUACUCAUACAUUCGGCCGUCCCUCAUACAUUGAUCGAAUGCAUGAUAAAACAGUUAAUCCUAUAUUUAAGACAAGGUAAAUCAUAAAUUAUUUUACUGUUUCUUAAUUAACGUCAAUAAUUAUGUAACAUUAAUUAAGGUAUGAUUAAAAAAUGUAACUGAAAUUUAAAUGUCAAAUAUUUGUUAAACAUCAAAGUAAAGUCGUCUUGUUUUUUGGUUUUACGAUCUGAAAUUUAUUUUUUCUUAUACUCCAUUCUUCAAUUCGCUUAAAAUCAAUAUGAACAUCCCUAUAUCAAUAUCGGAGAUGGCAAAACAUACUGCAGCAUGCUCGCUGGGAUACAAUUAAGGCUGGCUUUAAGGAUUGCGAAACGAAGAAGGCGGCAAAAUUCAGUGACCAUUCAGGGAAUGCAUGUGGCAGAUGAUUGAUUUACUAGUUGAAGAAAUACAAGGCUUGAUUUCGUGCAAGGAACUCCAUCAUAAGAGUUACAAUAAGGCAUAUGUGUAUGUAGUGUCCCUUGGAUUCUCAAUAGUGUUAAAUUAGCUCAUAAACUAUUACAUUUUAGUUGAUUCUCUUUCUAAAAAUAUUUAUUUGACGAUUGUGUGUUACACAGUUAACAUUAACAUGUAUGAUGUUAAACUGACACCACUGACGUUUAAUUGACCACAUUUAUUUUUUUUGUUUAAACAACAUAAGAAAUGGUACACUCAUGUAACAUAAAUCGUGAAUAAUUAAGUUGCUUUUUCCAUUUUGUUUUAUGUGUAUGAUUCUAGAUUCUACGUUAGUGUAAAUGUAUGAUACAUUCACAAAGUAUUAAAUGUAAAAUUCCUUAACCGUAUGUUAAUAAUGUAUGAUAUUGUAUUAUACUUUGUACAUAUGUAUGAUAUUAAUUAUUUUCGUUAUUUUCUAUCAAGUCUUGAGCGUUUAACAACAUGUAUGAUUUUAUGUAAUACAUAAAUUUAAACGUAUGAGACACCUGUUCAAUGGAUCAUUAUCAUAUAUCAUAAUUUACCUGCUGGUAAAAAUACAAUGUAUUUUUUUUUGGUUAAAUAAAAAUACAAUGUGUUGAUAUACAAUAACACAUUAAAAAGUAAUUUAUUUUUAUACGUUAUAUAUAAUAAAAUGUAAGGUAAACUCAUUAACUAUCAAACUAUAUAGUAACAGUACAAUAUAGUGUAAUUUAUUGCAAAACAAUUCUUCAAGAAGAUAUAUGUAUAGGAACAAUAAGGAUAUCCAUACAAUUUGAAGAUAGCAGCAAACCGAUAUUAUACAAACUGAAGACAUUUACAAAUGUAAAUUAACAUCGAACAAGAAUCAUUGUAACUGUUUAACAUCAACUACAAAAAUAAAAAUUAGAUGUUUCAAUCCAGGCUAUUAUAAAAAAGUGCUACUCUAAAGUAACAAUUGUACUUUCAUCGAUUGUUUGGAGAAAACUAUUCCUUGGCCGAGGAGGAUCAUCAUUAUCACCCGUGGACCCUUCGUUGUCCUUUGUCACUACGUAAUGCCAUAAUAAUGAAGCAUAGCGUACACGUCGACUUCCAGCAUCAAAACCACAUGAAUGCACUUGAUGCCCUUCACUUAAUAUUUCUGCAUAGGCAGCAACAAAGGCACCGCAGUCUUUGAUUUGAAAAAAAAUAAUGAAGUAAAAAUUCGUUCAAUAAUUAUAACAUCGUUAUACAUGUAAAAAACAAUUACUUACAAACUAUCAAACGCUUGCUGUGGUAUGUUUUGAAUGUAUUCAACAUCAAAUGAAUUUUAAUUUGAGCCGAUACUUUGUCAAUACGGUAUUUCAUGACCUUAAAAUAAACAAACUCAAAUUCAUAGAGAAAAAAGAUUGCAGCAAACUGAUACGUAUAAAGAUGACAUUAUACACCAUUUGCACAUGUAUGUGGACAUAUUAUACAUUUAAAUAAUAGUAUAAAGAAAUGUAUAAUGUCAUACAAUACAUAUUAAGAAUUAACUUUCAACAUGUCUGACUUAUAAACUUGUCAUAAUGUAUAAUUUUACCUUAUACAAAUAGCAGACAUUCAAAAAGUAUAAGGUAUUCAAUAUGCAGACAUUAUACAAUCAUCAUACAUUCACAAAAUAAAAGAUAUGCACAAUAUCAUAAUAUAAAAAUAAUCAGAAUGUAUAAUGUGACAUUAUACAAUGAUCAUACAUUCACCAAGUCAAAGGUCAGCACAAUAUCAUAAUGUAUAAAUAAUCAGAAUGUGUAAUGUGACAUUAUACAAUCUGCAGACAUACGCAAAGUAAAAGAUAUGCACAAUAUCAUAAUGUAUAAAUAAUCAGAAUGUUAACGUGACAUUAUACAAUCAUCAUACAUUUACAAAGUAAAUGUCAUUCAAUAUGCAGACAUUCACAAAGUAAAAGGUAUGCCCAAUAUCAUAAUGUAUAUAAGAUUAGAAUGUAUAAUGUGACAUUAUACAAUCUGCAUACAUUCACAAAUUAAAUGAUAUUCAAUAUUCAUGUUCCUUUUCAUGUACAAUAUCCCUCAAAAAUACCUCUCCAAUCUUUAUUUUCGCAAUCGCUCCAACAUCCAAUCUAAGAAGCACUUCGUACAAGGUGCUCACCUCCUCUCUUAAGCCAAAUCCACCGCCUCAACAAAACACCUAGCAUCAACAUCAACUUCUUCUUCGUCUUAUUCACUCACUAAAUUAGCGAAAGAGCAAGCUGAUUCAGCGAUAUCGGCUUAUUUUGAUGUCUUUGUUGUAUGCAAUUGGAUUACAGAAAAAAUUAAAAUAAUUUUUAAUUUGGAAAAGCAGAAAAAAGGAGCAAAAGAUGGCUUGAUUUGAAACUCCCCAGUCAGAUUAGCUUGAUUCUAGGCGUAAAUAAAGGAACACAAAUAUAAAGCAAAAAAUGGUGCACAAAAUAUGGAGCAAAAAAUGUUAUUUUUGUAUGUAUGAGGGGGAUGAGAGAGAAAGUAAAAAAAAUAGGGGAUUUCAGUAAUUAGUUUGGGAUUUAUGUAAUUACUUUUCCAAUAUGAGAUUUUAUGUAAUAAGGUAAAGUUACCUUGUGUAUAUAUGUAAAUUUUGCUAAAAUAAAACGGGCUGAUGUUAUUAGUUCGUGGACAAGACACAGAUCGUGUAUUCAUGUGGAUUCCAUAUGAACCUGUAUCCAUUUCAUGUUGUUGGUGUGGGCUGACAAUAGUGUGGGCCUGUAGUAGAUCUGUGAGCCCAUAAUUGGGGAGGGGGAGAGGUGCACGGGUGAAUCUAAAAAAUAGACCCAAAUUGGGGUGACUUUCAAAUUUUAGCCCCAAAUAAAAAAUCUACCUUAAAAUAGCCUUUACCUAUUAACUAAUAUUUUUUUGGGUUAAAAUUGUCCCGGAUCAAUGGAGUAAAUUACAUAAAUGAUCAUCAUAAUGGAUAAAAACUCCAUAUUUAUAUCUUUCAACUUUUAUUUUUUUUUCUCUUUUUAGUUUUACUUUGAUUUUUAUUUUUUCUUUUCUCUUUUUAUUUUUAAUUUUCUCAAUCCUUACUUUUUUCCUUUUUUCCUCUCAACUUUUUUUUUCUUUUUUCCUUUUUCUUUUAUAUUAUUUUUAGUUUUUCUUCCCUCUUUUUUUUUUUUUUUAAUUCUUUUUAGUUUUUCAACCCUUAGUUUUUUUUCUUUACAUUUCUUUACACCUUUCAACGUCCACUUUUAUAAAAAAAGAAAACUUUUUUUUUAUUUUUCUUUGAUUUUUUUCUUUUUAAAUUUUUAUCGACCUUUAUUUUUAUUUAGUAUUUCUUUUUUUAUAUCAACCUUUAUUUUUUUUCAUUCUCUCAACUUCUAUAUUUUCUUUGAUUUUUUUUUUUAAUAUUUUUCUUCAUUUUCUUCUUUUUCUGCAAUUUUUAUUAUUUUUGUUCUUUUCUUUGAUUUCUUCCAUUCAAGUUACAUCUCAUGAGAAAGAGUUGACACUAUCACAUUGUAAAGGCAAGACUUACGACUUUCCAACAAUAAGCUACGUUUCAUGGGCAAGAGUUGACACUACUAUAUUGUAGAGGCAAGACUUAUGACUUUCAAACAACAAGUUAUGUUUCAUGGGCAAGAGUCGACAUUACCACCUUGUAUUUUGAAUUAUAAGAUGUUUUAUAACUCUUACCUUAGAGGAAAGACUUAGCUCAAGGACUUUCAAACAACAAACUAGACCCACGGGCAAGAGUUGACUCUACCACAUUAUGUUUUUAUUUAUGAGUUGUUCUACAACUAUUGCCUUAAAGGAAAGACUUAACUCAAGGACUUUCAAACAACAAGUUAUGUUUCAUGGGCAAGAGUCGACACUACCAUAUUGUAUUUUGAUUUAUGAGAUGUUCUACAACUAUUUUCUAAGAGGUAAGACUUAGCUCAGAGACUUUCAAACAACAAAUUACCCCUUACGAGCAAGAGUUGACUCUACCACGUUAUGUUUUCAUUUAUGAGAUGUUCUACAGCUAUUUCCUUAGAGGCAAGACUCAGCUCAAGGACUUUCAAACAACAAAUUAUGUCCCACAGGAAAGAGUUGACUUUACCAUGUUAUGUUUUCAUUUAUGAGAUGUUCUACAGCUAUUUCCUUAGAGGCAAGACUCAGCUCAAGGACUUUCAAACAACAAAUUAUGCCCCACGGGCAAGAGUUGACUUUACCACAUUAUGUUUUCAUUUAUAAGAUGUUCUACAACUCUUGCCUUAGAUGCAAGACUUGACAUAAGGACUUUCAAACUACAUAUUAUGCCCCACAGGCAAGAGUUAACUCUACCACGUUAUAUUUUUAUUUAUGAGAUGUUCUACAACUAUUGCCUUAGAGGCAAGACUUGGCUCAAGAACUUUCAAACUACAAAUUAUGCCCCAUGGGCUAGAGUUGACUUUACCACAUUAUGUUUUCAUUUAUGAGAUGUUCUAUAACUAUUGCCUUAGAGGCAAGAUUUAAUUAGCUCAAGAACUUUCAAACUACAAAUUGUGCCCCACGGGCUUGAGUUGACUCCAUCACCUAAUGUUUUCAUUUAUGAGAUGUUCUACAACUAUUGCCUUAGAGGAAAGACUUAGCUCAAGGACUUUCAAACUACAAAUUAUGCCCCAUGGGCAAGAGUUGACACUACCAUGUUAUGUUUCAUUUAUGAGAUAUUCUACAACUUUUGCCAUGGAGGCAAGACUUAAUUAGCUCAAGGACUUUAAAACUACAAAUUAUGCCCCAUGGGCAAGAGUUGACUCUACCACGUUGUGUUUUCAUUUAUGAGAUGUCGGCAAGACUUAGCUCAAGUUCUUUCAAACUACAAAUUAUGCCCCACGGGUAAGAGUUGACACUAUCACGUUAUGUCUUCAUUUAUGAGAUGUUCUACAACUCUUGCCUUAGAGGCAAGACUUAGCUAAAAGACUUUCAAACUACAAAUUAUAUUCCACGGGCAAGAGUUGACACUACCACGUUAUGUCUUCAUUUAUGAGAUGUUCUAAAACUCUUGCCGUAGAGGCAAGACUUAGCUCAAGGACUUUCAACUAAUAAAUUAUGCCUCACCGGCAAGAGUUGACACUACCACAUUAUGCCUUUAUUUAUGAGAUAUUCCACAACUCUCGCCUUAGAGACACGACUUAUCUCAAGAAUUUUCAAAGAACUUCGUAAUAACAAUUCAAGCCCUUAAAUUUGCUUUGAUGUCAAAAAAAGAAGAUAUCUUUGUGGAUUAUCUAAUUUUUUAUUUAUUAGCAAAAUAUAAUAGAAGUUGAGAAAAAAGAAAAAAACGAUCAAACACAAUAGAGAAAUAAAAAAACAUUGAGUAAAAAAGGAAAGAAAAAAAUAAAGAUCUAGAAAAAAGCGAAGAAUUAAAAAAAUUAAGAAAAAUAAAAAUGAGAGAAAAAAUAAAAAUAAAGUUUGAGAAAAAUGAAGGGAAAAAAAAGAGAACCUAAAAAAAGAAAAAAACGAUCAAAAAAAAUAGAAAAAUAAAAAAAAAAGAGUGGGGAAAAAAGGCGAGAAAAAAAUAAAGAUUAAGAAAAAAGCGAAGACUCAAAAAAAUUAAGAAAAUAAAAAAUGAGAGGAAAAAAUAAAAAUAAAGUUUGAGAAAAAUGAGGGGAAAAAAGAGAACUGAUAAAAACCAAAAAUAAAAGAAAAAUAAAGGUUAAAGAUAAUGGAAUUUAAAAAAUGGAAAAAAAAGAAAUAGAUAAUGCUUGAAAAAAAAGGAAAAAGAGAAAAAAAAGGCUGAGACAAAUGAAUUAAAACAUGAAAAUAAAAUUAAUGAAAAAAAUUAAAAAGUGAAAAUAAUAAAAAAUAGAAUAAUAAAAUUAAAGGAAAAAAAUAAAAAAGUGAAAAUAAUAAAAAAUAAAAUUUGAGAGACAAAUAAGUAUGGAAAGUUUAAAAUAUAUAUUUAAAGUGUAGAUGAGCAAAAUAGUACUUGUACUAUACUUUAAAAGUAAGGAAUGUUAUUCUUUAAAGACAUUUCUUAUUUGGGGCACAUAUCUAAAGUCACCCAUAUUUGGGUCUAUGGGAUGCAAUUUAGGCGGGGUGCACUAGAUUAAGGCAUUUAAGCCUAUAAAUAUAAGACUAGGUCCCCUCUCCUGGCUUUAACAUAAGACGUAUUCCUAUAAGCCGCCAGCUGUCAUAAGCAAAGGAGAGGAAGACUCAGCCUAGUUCGUCUUCAGUUACGUGUUGCAAUGGCGGACAAAGGUACUCAUCUUUCCUCUCUCAUAUUUGUUACUUUAUAGGUGUUCUUGGUUUAUGUGAACCUGUGGUGUGUUUCUCUUUAAAUCUAACACUUGGUAUCGAAGCUUUUCACAUAGAUCUUGAACCCUAUUAUUCAGUUCAUGAGAAAAAUAAUUGGAAAUAAUUAGAAAUAAUUAUCGUGAUGCACUCCAUCUUAAACUUAAAUCUGAAAUGAUUUUCCUUUUCCUUUUGGCGGCUGACUUCGUUCCGAUUGCCUCACACUACUUUAUUCCAUUAAAAAAAAAGGUGUACAUAUGAUUAAGAGUCAGCCGAUGGCCAAAUCUAUUAGAUUUGGAAAAGUGGAUGAAACCAAAUCAAUUGGAUUUAUUUUUUAAAAAAAUUGUGGUGUGUUUUUCGGGUUGUAGGUGUUAUUAUUGUGGGUAAUGGAACAGUUGUUUUUAUUCGUUGUAGAAAUUAAUCUACGGAGUGUUGUUAGUUUAAAAGAAAAUUGUUUGGAGCUGUAAUUACAAAAAAAAAUAAAAAAUUAAUUGUAUUCUUUGACAAAGUUCUUCGCUACUUUAUACCUUGUCAAAAGUGUCUAAAUAUGUUUUAAAGUGUAUUGAUAAUAUUUACAAAUUAAAAUUAUUUCAGAAGUUUUUCACUAUCUUGAAAGGCGAAAUCGUACUUUAAAAGACAUGAUGAGAAGUAUGAUAAGUAGAUCUAACUUACGUGAGUUCGUUGGGGUUAAGCUAUUAAAACAUCCAUGUACAUUUUUAAUCGUGUCCCUGCCAAGUCAGUCCCUAAAAUUCUUUUUGAGUUGCGAGCCAAUAGAAAGUUCAGCUUAAAUCAUUUUUGAGUUUGAAUAUCCCGCGGAGUAAAGAUAUAUAAAACUAAACCUAGAACCCCUCAGCUUCUACUGUCCUAUAAGGAGGACCAGAAAUGUUGAAUUUUAAAAUGCAAAAUUUCUUGUAUGUGGGACUAUCCUAAACUCCAUGGGCAUAAAUUUAUCGAUUAAACAAGCAUUUAAGGUAUUUAAUUUCAUACAUAAGAUGAGUUUUGAAAUCAUUGAAGAGCAUGUAUUGUAAUCCCCGUUUUAUGAUGAAAUCUUAUAUAAACUAUGAGGUUGUUUUCCUUAAACUCGAAUUGUUUUCAUGUGUACAUGUGUUAUUAGUUUGAAAAGUUAUAUGAGAGCAUGAUUACCUCUCUUGUUAUGAAAUUCAUUGUCCAAAGAAUGUCAUGAAUUGUUAUUUUUUUAUAUACGAAUGAGAGGGAUUUGUCCUUGAUUUAUAAAUGCUCAUGUUUCCGAAUAAAGAAUUUGCAUGUGAUUGAUGAAGAGAUGAUCAUCGUGUGAUAAAGUAUAAAGUAUUGAAAAGGGAGUAGUUUGCAUAAGUUUUCAUGUGUUUUGAAAUAAGAACUCCCUUAUGUGAUGUUUAAAUAUUUUGGGUGGUCAUUAACAUGCUUUUGAAUAAAAAGAAUAAAAAGGCCUAUGUGAUGUAUAAAUAUUUUAGAUGGUCAUUAACAUACUUUUGAAUAAAAAGGGCUAUAGAUAUGAUGUUGUAUGAAAUGAAUAACUUAUAAGUCUGGGUAUGAAAUGAAUGACUUGAAUUUGGGACUAUUGCAUGAAACUAAGCAUUCAUUGAACAAAGUGUUUGAUAUGAAAGAUCUAGGAGAGGCAUCAUUUAUUCUGGGCAUUAAGAUUCGACAAGAUAGAUCUCGUAAGUUAUUGGGUUUCAUAAAAGACCUAUAUUGAUCGUAUUUUGAAAAGAUUUCAGAUGAAAAAUUGUAAGUCUGGAGAUAUCACUAUGAUGAAAGGUGAUAAGUUAAUCUUACACUUGUGUCCCAAAAAUGAUCUUGAGAAACAUUCUAUGAAAGAUAUGCCUUAUCUAUGUAUUUUUUUCACUGCGUUUCUUGCUUACAGAGUGUUAAUUUUAUUUAUUUUUUAAUAUUAACUGAAGUAAAGUCGGCUAAACUAAAGUCUUCUUAUGAAUGUGUUCUAGCGGCUAUGUUAUUAAAGAUUCAUUCAUUUAUUUAGUUCCAUAUGCUUAAAUUAACUAAUAUAAAAGGUUACUUAUUUUAUUAAAUUUUUAAAAAGUCUAAGUUAUUGUUUAUAAAAGAUGUCGAAUUGUUAUUUAUUUAUUCUUUUUGAUUUUGCUUUCAUCUGAAUUGUAACUAAAUCAGAUUUAUAAUAUUUUUAAUUGAGUGGAUAGUUAUGAGCUAUAACGCCCCGAAAUCUGAUCCCGAGAUGUCACACAGUGCUCAAGACUACGAUUAGCCUUAAGUUAACCCUGUCUGCCUGUUACUAAAUCUGAAUCUCAUGAUAAAGGAAAUAUAGACAUAAGAGCCACACUAAAUGCGGAAAACUAUCUGAAAUAACUAAAAAUGAAUCUGAAGUAAUGUAUGAAAAUUCAUUCUGUAAGUCUGAAUAAUAUCUAGUAGUCUGACAAGCCUCUACUACUAAUAACUAAAGAGUCACUGGGACAAACCCCCAACUAACUCGAACUGUCGGAAGAGAAGCAAAAUCUGAAUGAACAAGUCCCCAAACUAUGAGGACUCAUCAACUGUAGGAUGUAGAUGGAGAUGCUCGACCUACUCACGCUGCUGAUACUGAGCACCUGAACCUACGUUAUGAGACAAUGUAGCACACAGAAAUAUAUGUGGAUCAGUACUUUGAGGAUGUACUGAGUCUAUGGGGGUGAAAUGCCUAAGUAAAACAUCAUCUCAUCAUCAUAAUUUAUAAAAUAAUGCAUGCUAAAUGUAAAUGACUCACAUAAGAUAGAAUAUCUGAAAUACUGAAAUUUGAAAUCAUAAACAACAAAUCAUACUUUGUAAAUCUAGUGAGUCAUAAUAUUUAGUUCUAAAAGUUGUACUAAUGUUCUGUUUGUAAGUCAUACUGUCUAAGUGUAGAAAGAGCUCACUUCUGAAUCUAAAAUCUGGAAUUUGAAAUUUUUAACUUUUAUCUUUCUGUAAAGUAUAAUUUGAAUAAAAUUUGUGAGCCUUUGCACUUAGUUUUCUAAAAGCAUUUCUUUAAGUCUUUCAAUUUAACUAGAAGGAGGUUCUCUUAACCGAAAUAAACCAUGAGAGCUAACAUGGAGUCCAACAUCUCAUCCUCCUAAGGAGGAAACCUCACGUUGGGGAGAGGUAUCAUACUCUUGUCAGAGAGUAUAACCUACUAUCCAUGGGAUCGGUCAUAAGCUAAAUUUUUCAUCCAUAUUGGAAUGAGAGUAAUCUGAUAAUAUAUACCUACGUUGGCUACGUAGUUCUGUGAAAGAAAGGGCACGCUAAUCCCACACUUUCCGCUUGGUGCUAAAUACCACUCCCUUUAAUUUGUAUGCUUAUUCUGUUAGAAAUCCAUUUUAAAAACUAGCAUAAGGGUUUAUUCUGAAACCAGUUAUAUCUUUACCUGAUUAAAUCUUUAAAUAAAGAUGAUUUGAACUCUUUAAUCUGUAAUAAAUCUGUAAAGUGGAUUUCAUGACUAAACUGAGGAUCAAAGAUCAAAGCUUUGUUGUAAAUCUGAAAUAAAUCUUAUCAUAAGGUUCUUAAGACAUCAUCUUUCUUGAAAUAUCAACAUAUAAACUUGGGCUUGAUAACUCAUGUAUCAAAUACAUGUUAAAACAUCAUAAUAAUCAUACUUGAUAAUGAAAAAAAUGAUAAUUCAUCUCAAAAUCUGAAAAUUACUGCAUUAGGCAUGAAAAUAUGAAAAUAUACAUGUAAUUCAUCUUCUAAAACACUUGAAAUCUCAUAAUCUUGUAAAUAACAAUAAUGGGUAUGAACCCUAAUUCAAAUCUCAUGAAUAUUCAUUCAAAAUCAUAUGAAUUUGUAAUUAAAACUUGGUUUUGGGGACAAGGAUGGAAGGAGAUCCUUGUUCAUAAAUUCCACAUACCUUGAUUGAUGAUUAGAUGAAGAAACCUUGAAUUUUGGACUCCUAUUUGAGUUCUUGGAGAUGGAUUCUUGAUUAUCUUGUCCUGGGAAUCCUUAAUUUAAAGCUUGCUUGGGGAAACAAUGGUGGAUUGUAAUUUCUUGGAGAAGAAGCUCUUGGAUUCUAGGGGUUCCUUGAAUAUAUUUAAUCUCAUGUUCUGGAUGGAUUUGGGGUCUUGAAAAUUGACUAAAAUACCCCUUUUAAUAUUUAAACGGAACUGGAAAAACAAUAUUUUUCUGAGCUGGCAGGCCACCGUGAUGCACCACUAUUGUGGUGGCUCACUGGAAAUAGGACAAUUGGGAACUGGGUGUUCUCCACGACGCACUACCAUCGUGGUGCCCCUUUUGAAUGCCAUUUUGGCCAUUGGCGUGAUGCCCCACUAUCGCAUUGGGCUACUGGAUUUUGACAAAUGGAAAAUUGGACCUCUCCGCUAUGUGGAGCUAUCGCGGAGGGCCACUAAAAUUUGACGAUUGCCAUUUUGGCAUCCACCGCGACGCGGUGAGUGCCCAAGUAGGACACUGCUAUACUGAAUUCGCCAUAACUUCUCAACCGGGUAUCGGAAUUAGGCGAAUUUGAUAUCGAUGGAAAGCUUAUUCAAUUUUUCACACAAUUGAAGGUCUAAAUCUGAAAAAUUUUAUAUGAAAUAAAUAUUAUUUAUUUUGAAAGCUCACCCUUAACAUUCUAGGAAUGAACUUAAGUUAGGAAAAAUACGGGGUAUUACAUAAACAAAUCAAGCAAUGACAUGUUGAAUUCCUGAGAUUGAAUUUGUUUUGUAAAUUAGGGUAAAUAGCGUACACCAAAGUGACAUAUUUUCUUUAUUUCAUGAGACUUGUUUAAUCCAUUUCGAGGGAUAUCACUAAGUUAGAACAUACAAUGAUCUGCCCAAAGGAGAUUAUUGUGUGUUUUAAAUUAGUAUUGUGAUGAGCCCCAUUAUGUGAAAAUAUUUUAAUUUUAGUAAAUUUAUCUUCCCAAAGGAGAUAGGUUUCUAAUAUUGAAAAUAUUUUCUUGCAAUGCCCAAAGGGGGGCUACUUGUUGAUGUUAUGGGACUCAUCGUUGUGAUAAGAUUAUUAUUCUUAUGCCUUGCUAUUUUGAUAAAUUCAUUUAUGUUAUGUCAUGAAAAUUUAUCAUUUAUUUGAACAAUAACAAUGCUGAAGUUGUGGUUCUGUCGGGCUAUAACUUUAAGCAAUGAAAAGAAGAUCUUGAAUUUGCUUUAGGCAUGGCUGACAUAGAGCAAGAAUUGCAUGAGGAUGAGCCUCCAACUCUCACCGAUUCUAGUACAACUGCUAAAAAUAACUUUAUGCUAAGUGGGAGAGAUCUAAUAGGCUAUGCAUCUUUGCCUUUAGGAGAUCGAUUGCCUAGCACCUUAAAAAUGGCUUGCCUGAAACUAUCAGUGCCAAAACAUUUCUUGCCCAAGUGGAAGAAAGGUAUCUUAUAUCUAAUAAGGCUGAGACUGGAGAUCUAAUGAAUAAACUUGCAGGGAUAAAGUAUGACUUUAUUGGGGGUAUUAGAGAUUACAUACUUAAGUUGGUCCACAUUCAACCCAAAUUGAAAACUCGUGAAAUAACUCUUCCUAAAAAUAAUAUUGUUCAUUCUGCUCUUAACUCUUUGCCUGCUGAGUUUAGCCCAAUGAAAACUGCCUAUAAUACUCAGGAUGAAUCUUGUUCUAUCAAUGACAUCAUCUCCAAAUGUGUUAUUGAAGAGGGAAAAAUUAAAAAGGAGAAGGGUAAGGUUGCUAUGUUAUCUGCUCAUAAUUCUAAAGCAAGCUCUUACAAUGGACCUAGGAAGUUAGAAAGAUCUAAUAAUAAUACUUUUAAGAAGGAUUCAAAAAAAAGGUAAUCAUCUAGCUCUUGUUUGUUUUGAGUCAUACUUUGUAGAUGUCCCUAUUAAUUCUUGGUUUGAUAAAGGAGCUACUGCUCACGUUGCCAUUUCCUUGCAGGGAUUCAAAAACAAGAGGAACCCAAAUAAAACGGAAUCAAGAAUUAGAGUCACCACAAAUGUUUAAGUUGAAGUAGAGUUCAUAGAAACUGUAGUUUUAGACUUAGAAACUGGUUAUAAGCUUGUUCUUGAAAACACUCUAUGUAUUGUCUUUUAGACAAAGUUUGAUUUCUAGUCCAAUUUUAGACAAAUUUGGUUAUGAUUUUAAUUCUCUUAAUGGAAAAGUUAAUUUACUUUUUAACUCCGGAGUUGUUGGUCAUGCAAUGCCAUUUGAUGGUUUAUUUAAAAUUUUCUUGACUUCUAAUUUUGAAUACAACUCUUUUAAUUUUGAAAUUAUUGUAUCUAAAUGGUUAAUUUUAAAUUAAAAAAAAUGGGCAUGUUGUGGGAUAGGCAUUUAGGUCACAUCUCUAAAGAUAGAGUUGAUAGGUUGGUUAAGUCUAAUAUUUUACCUCCUCUUGAUUUUGAAAACAUAAGAAUAUGUAUUGAUUGCAUUAGAGGAAAGUUGACAAAAAAAAUGCUUUUCGUAGUUCUAAUUUGUUGGAAAUCAUUUAUACAGACAUAAGUGGUCCGUAUUCUACUAAGUUAUUUUAUCAUCUUCAUUGAUGACUUUACUCAAUAUGAUUAUAUUUUUCUUAUUAAAGAAAAAUCAGAUUCUCUUGAAAUGUUUAAAGUAUUUAAAAUUGAAGUAGAGAAACAACUGGAAAAAGGUCAUUAAGAUAGUGAGGUCUGACCAUGGGGGUGAGUAAUAUGGUAGAUGCACUAAGACUGGGCAACAGAUAAGAGACCCUUUUCCAAAUAUGUACAAGAUUGUGGCAUCUAAGGAUUAUUUUUUAGGAUUAUUGUGCAUUGAUAGCCCAUUUUGAUCUUGAGCUACAUUAGAUGGAUGUAAAGACAACUUUUUUUGAAUGAUGAUGUUAAUGAAGAGGUUUAUAUGCAGCAACCCCAAGGUUUUGUUGGUAAAGGACGUGAGCAUCUUGUGUGUAAGUUGAAGAAAUCUAUCAAUGGCUUAAAGCAAGCUUCUCGCUUCUCGACAGUGGUAUUUGAAGUUUGAGGAAAUUAUCACUUCUAUUAGGUUUGUGGAGAACAAGAUUGAUCAUAGCAUCUAUCUCAAGAUUAGUGGGAGUAAAUUCAUCAUUCACACUUUAAUAUUAUUUUAUUAUAUUAAGGCUUUUUACCUUACGUGUUGGCUAUGUCUCAUAUUGAUAAGGUCAUAUUGUUGUUUUAUUGGAUCUUUCUUUUGAAACAUAUAUGGUAUAUCAUUCUACCUUGUGAUUUUUUUUGGUUGUUGCACAAUGUAAUAUGUUGCACAUGUUGAACCUUAAAAAUCAAGAUUUUCUGAUGGAGAACAUGUUGUUUUAGUGCUCACAAAUGUUGUAACAGAAAAUCACGGUGACGAUUUUUUCUGUGGUACGCAUGUUGAUUUUAAGUGUACAUAUAGAUAUGAAAAAUCUUUUGAAGGACUAAAAUGAAAUAGCCUCGUUUUGGUCCAUGUUGACUAUUUCUUGCUACACUACCACAUCAUUUGGUUUAUGUCUAAAAAAACUUCAGUGUUAGUAAUUGUGGACUGGUCUUGUGUCAUUGGUUGAUGCAAGUACUGCUGCAGUUCAACAGUGAUGUUUUGCUUGACUGAACUAUGUUGGAGAUGACAUUCCACCACUAAAUGUUCAUGGCCACUGUCUAUUUAGUCUGAGAGUCAUUUUCAUAAAAAUAAAUUUUCUGAAACUUUUCUUUAAAAGUUAACGUUGUCCAAGUGGGAGAAUGUUAGAAUUAUUUAUUUUAUGUGGACUUAACAUUAACUUUUUGUUACGUUAAAAUAAAACAGGUUGAUGUUAUUAGUUGGUGGACAAGACACAGGUCGUGUAUUCAUGCGGAUUCUAUUUAGGCCUGUAUCCAUUUCAUGUUGUUGGUGUGGGCUAACAAUAGUGUAAGUCUGUAGUAGAUCUGUGAGCCCAUAAUAGGGGGUGCACUAGAUUAAGACUUUUAAACCUAUAAAUAUAAGAUUAGGUCCCCUCUCCUGACUUUAACAUAAGACGUAUUCCCAUAAGCUUCCAGCCGUCAUAAGCAAAGGAAAGGAAGAAUUAGCCUAAUUCAUCUUCGGUUACGUGUUGCAAUGGCGGACAAAGAUACGUACCUUUCCUCUCCCAGAUUUGUUACUUUAUAGGUGUUCUUGGUUUAUGUGAACCUAUGGUGUGUUUCUCUUUAAAUCUAACAGCAAUCACACAAUUAGCAAGUUGGAAAAAAAAAGUUUUUCCUCGUGAAGUACUUCUGAAGUCUUCAUUAAGCACAAAGUGCUUCUAAUAUUGGCAAAGUUAAUUCUCAAAUUAAUUAGUCAAAUACAAAUAUUUAUUAUGCAAAAGUAUCUUUUUGUAAUUAGCAAAUAUUUGAAGCUUGAAUAUCAAGGAAUUUCUAAAUUGUCUAAUUGGUGAAUGGUAAUCAUAUAAGAAGUACCAUCUCUGUUUUCCAAUUUAUGUUAACUUUUUUAUUUUUGAAAUUCAAACCAUGUAAUCUUUUAUAAUUAUAUAUAAUGUAUUUUUAUUAUGUUGAUAUGAAAAAAAUUGUGAAGUAUAAUACUUUUGAUAUAUAUUUUUAAAUAUUUUAAUUUUAAUUAUAAAAAUAUUGAAUUAAUUUAACAUAAAAAGAAUUAUCAAAUUGACUCCGCCACAAAAUUGAGACAUAGGAAGGAAUUGACUCUUCAAAAGCGAAAGGCGCAAGGACUAGAAAACACAAGGUUUUGAAGUGGAUAUAUCUAAUUUGGAGCUUAGAAUCAUUUUAUGUUGAUUAUUUUUAUUGGCUACCCAAAAUGUACCUUCAAUUAAUUAAGCAAUAUUUUCCAAAAGUCUCUAUUCAGUGAAUUUGCCCAAGUUUUCAUAGGAAUCCAAAUUUUAAGCCGUCUACUAAUUGUACUUUUUUUUUACUACUACAUUUAUUUUGCUUAUGCGAUUUACUAUUAGUUGAUUUUGUUGAAAAUUAAGGGUUAAUAAAGCUAGCUAAGAAAAAUAGAAUUUAACUUACAUACGAUACUGAUAAUAUAAAAAUCCUAUUAUAUUAUUAUUGUAAUUUAAUUGUCUAUAACAAAUUUUAUUUUAUAGUUUUAACUUACAUAUGAUACUGAUAAUAUAAAUUUUUUGUUAUAUUUUUAUUGUAAUUUAAAUGUCUAUAACAAUUUUUUUUUUAAUAGUUAAUCAUAUUACACUUGAGGUCACAUGAUUUUUUCUAUUAUUAUUGAAGGUUAAUUUUUUUCUGAUUAAGUAAAAUAUUGACAAGUUGGCAAUGCACAACUUUAUAUAAAUCCAAAAGAAUUUAAGUCACUAUCCCUGUCUGAGUUUGGUGUAGAGGGAAAUAUAUGUGGAAAUUUUUUCUUCAAGAACUCUAGGUCAAGUGAAUUAAAUCAAAAGGAUUUAUAACACAUUUUAGACUCUUAAGUUACUGAAAUUUCUAUUUUAAUCUUUAUUAUAUAUGACUCAAUGUAUUUAAAAUUUAAUUAAUCAAAAUAUGUGUGUUUGAUUUUUUCGAAGUAUAAAAUAUGUUCUACUCAUUGUAAAGUUGUUGAACAUAAAGUAGCACACUGUAGAAAUACGACGCAUAAAUAAUUAAGUGAUGGAAUAGUAAAUAAUUAUAGUUGAUUUGUGAAUAUAUCUAUAAGCAAAUAAAUCAAUAGCUCACAAUUCAGUUAAUUAAAGAUUUAAUGUGAUCAGUCAUAUACUCCAUAAGAAUUAAAAUCAAAAUAACAAUAAUGAAGGGAUCAAAAGUGUUAAUCCAAUCCAAAAUGUUGGUUCUUAGAGUUAAUGACAAAAUGGCUGAGUGAGACCAAAAAGAAUAGGAGUGUAGUAGUAAGUAUUUAUUCAUUUUUAAUCAGAAGUUUCAGGUUUGAGCUCUUCUAAUUACACAGUUGUCUUUGUUAAGGAGCGUUUUACCCUCCAAUUUAGGAUUUUUCAACGCAAAGACCAAAUGGGAAACCAAACAAUAAAAAGAUUGGCUGAGUAAGAGUCAAGCUGGAAGAUUCAUGCAUUUGUAGAAAGAAAAAAACAUGAAAAAACACCUCUUUCGAAAGUCAAUUAUGUUACGCAAUUUACAAAGAAACAAGGACAACGUUGCUUUUUACGUUACUAAACAUCUUGACACACAAAAAUAAAAAAAUGACGUUGGUGUUUUAUGGUUGUUUCUAAUAAUCCAGCCAGCUGGUUUUCAUCUCUCUCUAUAUAUAUACCCAAAAAGAAAAAACAGUGGGCUAUCGGCUAGCUUAUGUAGUACGCCAGGGUGGAUCUACGUAGGAGUUUGGAGGUAUCACGCCAUUCGAAUGUUGUUUGAAAGUGUUACACCACUCAAACGUUGAUGAGACAAUUAUAUUUGUGGUCAUUUUACAUUGUAAAAUACAUAAAACUCAAGAUUGAUAGGUGUGGGCUAUCGGCUAACUUAUGUAGUAUGCAAAGGCGGAUCUACGCAAGAGUUUGGACUCGAAUGUAGUUUGGAGGUGUCACGUCACUCAAACGUUGAGAUAAAAUUAUAUUUGUAGGCAUUUUAUAUUAUAAAACAUAUAUAAUUCAAGAUUGACAGUUAUGGGCUAUUCGACUAACUUAUGUAGUAUAUGCAAGGGCGAAUUUAUGUAAAAGUUUGGAGGUAUCACGCCACUCGAAUAUAGUCUAGAGGUGUCACACCACUUAAACAUUGAGACAAAAUUAUAUUUUGUUGGCAUUUUACAUUAUAAAACAUAUAUAAAUCAAGAUUGACACCUGUCGACUAUCGGCCAACUUAUGUAGUAUGCAAGAACGGAUCUACGUAGAAGUUUGGAGGUGUCAUGCCAGUCGAAUGUAGUUUGAAGAUAUCGCGCCACUCAAACGUUGAGACAAAAUUAUAUUUUGUUGGCAUUUUACAUUAUAAAACAUAUAUAACUCAAGAUUGACAAUUGUGGGCUAUCACCUAACUUAUGUAGUAUGCUAGGGCGGACCUAUGUAGAAGUUUGGAGGUGUCAAACCAUCCGAAUGUAGUUUGGAGGUGUCACACCACUAAAUGUUGAGACAAAACUAUAUUUGUAGGCAUUUUACAUUUUAAAACAUAUAUAACUCAGAUUGACACCUGUGAGCUAUCGGUUAGCUUAUGUAGUAUGCAAGGGCAGAUCUAUGUAGAAGUUUGAAAGUGUCACACCAUUUGAAUGUAGUUUGGAUGUGUCACGCCAUUCCAUUCAAACGUUCAAACAAAAUUAUAUUUUGUUGGCAUCUUACAUAAUAAUACAUAUAUAACUCAAGACUGACACCUAGAGGUGUCAAAUGUUAGCUCAACCCGCUCAACUCGUCACGAACUUUCUUAGGUUGGGUAAUAAGUUUAUUUUUUGAUGGGGUCAAUUUGAGUUAUAGCAGCUUUAGCUGACCUAUUUUUUAAGUAAUCUAUAUUUCCUUUAGAGAUGAAAAAUAAUAUAAUUAUCAAUUUUAUAGCUCACAUACAUUUAUUAGGCAUGACAUAACAUAUCUUUAGCUUAUCAAGGACAAGAUCUUUGAUAGAAGGCUACAUAGAUUGAGGAUUAGAAUAGAAGGUUGAUAGGUAGUUGAACGUUUUUCUUUUCUAUUUUCAGGACUAUUAGUAUUGUUCUUGCAUUUCUUAAUCUUUACCACAUGUUUCUUUAUUCUUUCAUCUUGUUAUCGUUUUUGUUGUUGUUACCGCUACUUUUUCACUGAGAAGAUUUAGGUAAAAUGCCACACUGAAAAUUUAUUUUGAGAAAUAGACACCUUUUUUUGUUUGACCUAAUUUUUUAAGGUUUUGUAGGGUAUGGGUUAAAGUGUAAAAUAAAAAAACCUUUUGGCGCCCUUAUGUAUUUAUUAAAUCUUUUAGAACCCCUUUGUGUAUUUAUUAAAUACAUUUUUAACCCCUCUUUCAUUAAAUACAAAAAAAAAAUUCUCUAUCAUCUUCUCUCAUUACCCGCUUCAUCUCCCCUUUCCACCAUUUUUUAAUUUCAAGCUUGUGUAAACAUCUCCAACUUCGAUCUUCAACUUUAGGUAAGUUAUAUUCAUCUUCCGGUUAAUUUAUGUUCCAUAUUGAUGGUUUUAUUUUUUAUAUUUUUUCGAAUUCAUUUGUGGCGAUUGAACUCGUUGGAGUUACAAAAAUUUAAUUUUUUUUUUUUGAAAAUGGGACUUGAUUUUACUAAAAUUGGUUGUUUUUAGUUUGUAUUUCCUUGAUUGGUGAUGGAUAAUUGGUGUAUAUCGAUUAUCUUUGGCGAUUCUAUGUUGAAAUUUUCUUCACUAAUUUCGUCGGAAUGUGGCAAGAUAUGUGAUUUUUGUUCAAACUUUUCUCCAAUGUAAUGGUGUUGUAGAAGCAUGUUAAUGUUGGGGAUUCCUUGAUUUGAAUCAUUGACUCGAAAAAUAAUUUUUUUUUUUGAAAAAAUGGGACAUGAUUUUACUUAAAAUUUGUGUUUUUAAGUUAGUAUUUGGUUUGAUUUUGCAUUAUUUUUUUUGGAUUUUAAUUUCCCUCGACGAUUGCAUUGAGAAUUUUUUUAUCAAAUUUUCUCGAUUUUCGUGCUAAAAAAUUUGGGUUUCUUCCUUUUUUUGUUCAAUAUAAUGGUGAUUUAGAUGUAUGUUCUUGUGGGUGAUGGAGUUGUUUUGGAAGAAGAUUGUUCUGCAAAUAGGCCUUUUGGGUGCUGUAACUAUUGUCAUGUUAAUAGACUGCUAGGUCGAUUUGGUAUCGUAUUUGCUGUUAUAGUUGAGAAACGUUAUUUUUUAUCCGUAGAUCAUAACAAAUGGCUAGAGGUAAUAAACCCAAGGCUGUAGAAUUUGAUAGGUCUGAGAAAAGAAAAAAACGAGUAGUCGAUGAAUCAGAGAAUAGAAAUUGCAGCGAGAAAGCUUUUGAUGCUUCGGUUUGAGAUGAGACGGAGGAAAUAGAAAUUGAGGCUAGGAUAGAUGAGGAAACAUUGAUCUUGCCCCAUUGUUCAAGGUUUAUUUCGGCUAAAAAGUACGACCUCGCCACAGUCCUGGAUGAUGUUGGAUUAUUUCCGGCUAAGAUAUCUGUUAGGUCCUGUUUGAAAAUGUUUUAUGAAUUCAAACAAGUCGUGGUUGAUCAACGUAUGAAGUCUAGAUUUAAGAAUUCCUAUUUUGAUAGUUUAUGGGACUUGCCAGAAUAUAUGAAGUUCAUGGACAGCUUGUCUACUAUACACUUUUUUACCGAGUUGAACAGGACAACAAGCUGUGUGAAAUAUGGUUCUGCAUCAAUGACAGGCCUGCAUGUUUGGCCUGAAAGAGUUUACGCUAAUCACGGGUUAAACUGUGGGUGUUAUUCUCAUGAUUCAAAAUAUGUCAAAGUGAUGGAGGAGGGUAAAGCUUUUUUCAAAAAAAUUGCGAAAAAGAGGAAUGUAAAUGCGAAGAGAUUGAUGAAGAUUAUUAUAGGUGGGAGGCUGGACAAGGAGGAAAAGUUCAAAUGCUGCUUGGUUUAGUUCCUGCACUGAAUAUUUCUUGCACACAACUUGUCAAAAAUCGUGGACAUAGACACCAUCAAGAUAGUGGAUAACUUGAGCUUCUUUGAGAGAUACCCUUGGGGUAAGGAGUUAUUUGCCUUGACUCUAGACUAUCUAAAGAAGAGGAUAGACUUCAACAGAAAGAAGAAGAUAUUUGUGACAAAGAGAGUUUCAUCGUACGUGCUCUGCAUAUUUUUCUGGGCAUUUAUCGUAUUUGAUUAUAAAUCAUUGAAAUAGUUUAUUAUAUAUUGUACUUCAUCUAUGGUGUCUAUACUAUACUGACUCUCAUUUAUAUGUUUUUGUUUUUUCUUUUGAUCACAAAUUUGAAUAUACGAAGCCUUUUCCGCGCUCGACAGGGGAAAUAAUAAAUCAACUGAAGACCCGCUGUCCAUUACCCGAUUGCUCAGAUGGCACAUCUCAAAAGGCAAUAAAUUAAUCGAAGGUGAUCCAUAUUUGAACGGAUGGAGCACAAAGGUAUGAAACUAUUUUUUGAAGAAUACUUUUACCAAUAUUGUGUUGAUAAUCAAUCACAUUUGCCUAUUUAUCUGUAUAGAGUGCACCCGUACCUUAUCCCCACAGUUCGUGAAAUGAAGCAGCACUACACGAAAAAGUUCAAAGCAUUCACGGACGAACCGAUGGACAUAUUUAUCGAUGGCUUGAAGGACCAUCUGAAGGGUGUGGCUUUCAUCACCUCAUCGGGGGAUGGUGAGGAUAGGGAUGAUGACCGAUAUUUUGGUGGAAAUGUUAUUUCAAGGCAUGUCACUUACGGUACGGGGACGAGUAAGCUGAGAGCAUCAGAAAAAACUCCGAUGAUUGAAAUCUAGAAGUGCACGUGUUUAGGAUGGAGGAGUCGAUCAAGGACAUCGUUGAUUUUGUGAAAGAGGGGAGGCUGAGGAGAGCAAAAAAGAAGAAGCAAAAGAAGAGAGAUGAAGAUGAAGGUAAUAUCUGCUCUAUAUAUUAUAGAAGUUGCAUAUUUUAUAUAAUUCCUUUUACUUAUAACAGAAUCUAUACCAUUCUUCAUCAACCUAUUUCUUAGUUUAUUAUAAACGGUAAAUACUUGAAAAUGCAGGUGUGCAGGUGCAAAGUCGGCAUUCAGCGACGAGGGUUGUCUGCGAUGACAGCGACAUUGAGGAAGCGCUCCUUGAUGCAACAGCUUUGGAACAGGCCUCGAUCAAUGCUAAUGAGGUGAUGAUCCCUGAGGUUGCAGCUGUUGUAGAGAAGAAAAAUCUCAAUGAAGACAAUGAAGAUAAAGAACAAGAAAAAAAUAAAGAAGCUAUUGGUGAAGAAGAAAAUAAAGCUGAUGGAUCAGCUGGUGUGGAGAUGGUGGAUCAUGACGAAGGCAGGAAGGAUGAAGAAGAUAAAAAUAAGAAAAGUGUUUGUGAAUAAGAAAACAAUGAAGGAGAUGGAGAGGAAGUAGAAGAGAAGAAUGCAGGAGAAGUGGAGAAAGAAGAAGAAAAAAAAUGAUGCACUAGAAAAAGAAGGUAUCGGCGUAGAAAGAAAAUGAGAAUAAAUUUCCGAACUUAGAUGAAUUUCUUAAUGAAGUUACUCAGGACAUCGACAAGAUGCAAGUGGAAGACGAAAAUAUUGAAUGUUUAGACAAUAUUUAAUUUUUAUUUGUGUCUGAUGAUUAUUUUUAUUAGACUAGACAAUCUUAAUUUUUAACUUUCAGCUUAGGAUGUGUACAGCUGAACAAUUUUAUUUUAUAAACUGCUUUUAUAGUUUAUGAUAAACAUUAUAAAUUUUAUAUAAUCAACGUAUCAUUGCUUUUACAUGAAUGUCAUUGUUGAUUAUAGACGCUGAGUAAAAGGUAAAGUAUAUACAGUAGAGUGUUGUGUAGUCGAUGAAUGAAAAAGGUAAAUCAUAUAUAAUAUAAGUAAAAAAUAGUCAAUUAAUAAAAGAGUCAGAAUACAUUCAAUCCCACUACACCUCUAUUACACCUUUUCAAAAAGCUAAAACUAAUAGCAAAUCAUACACCAUAAUUUUCAUGCCCUUUUCUUUUUCUUUAGCCAUAGCCAAUCUAUGCUUAAGUUGAUCCCUCUCAAUUUCGACGUCUUUCAAUAAUAUCUUUAAGUGAUCAAUCUUGUGUUCUGAUUCUCUAUAUAAUGUCAUAAGAAGAUCCCUGUUUUCUUCAGAAUUUCUAAGCCUUUCCAACAUUUCAAAUUUUGCAACGCCUUGAAAUUUUGAUACCCCAAAAUUGGAGGGAAGCCACUUGAAGAGCAACCGCCAUUAUCCUAAAAAAAUGAGGAUAAAUUAGUAAAUUGAAUUUUGUGAUGAACAAAAAUAAAUUUUUAUUUAAACAAAAACAAACCUCUCCAACCGCACAACUGUAGAAUUUUCAACCCAAAUUUUUAUCGGUUCGUGAUGUUCUCAACACCUUAGUAUUACCACAAUGACAAAGAUAAGAACAUUCGGACGUUUGAGAUGACUGCGACAUUGUUAUUGUUGAAGCAAAACUAGAAAGUGAUGAAUAAAUGAACAUGAAGGAGUUCAAAAGGGUCCCUUUAAUUAAUAUUGUAGGGCUACCUAAAUCUAACUGUUGAAAAAUUCUACCCCUCUGAAAUUGUACUGUUGGAGAAAAUUUAAAUGGAUUAUCAUUUACUUCAAAGGAUCUCAAAAGAAUGUUUAUGUCUUCUAUACUCGACUGACUUAUCUCUUGUAUUAAAAUAUUAUCGAUUUAGACUUAGGUUGAUUAUAGACCCUUCAUACAGUCUAUGAUUAACUUACUAAAUUUAUGGACAACUUAAAAUAAUGACAAAAAAGAAGAACCUAAAUAAAAUAAAAUUAGAUUAUGUCAAUUAACACCAUUAAAAUAUUGUAAAGCAAUAAAGAUACAUCAAUUGUGAGUCACAAUCACUUUUGAAUGUGAUCAAGUGUUAUCUAAGACACGGACUAGUCGUAGAUCAUUGAGAUGACACAAAAAAUGAGAGAAAAUAAAAUAAAUUAAAAUAAAUACUAAUCAUCCAAGCAGUAAAGAAUGACUACAUAUCAUGACAAGAGAUUAGAUGUGUGUGAUGACCAUAAGGAAGAGUGGUGGUCGUCACUUGUGAGUAUUCAAUGGACAAGUAGUGUCUAAGAACAAAAAGUCCUUCUCAACAGAGACGCUUGUUUUGAGUAAUUGGUUGUUACUACUAUUGCCCUCCCCUAUAUUCAUUUGAUCGAGUGUCCAAUUAUUUUGUAAUCUCAUAUUAUGAUAUUUAGUCACUUUACACUGCGUGAAUGAUGUUUAUUUAUUUUAUUUUAUUUUAUUUUAUUUCUCCCUUUUUUUAAUCUCACCUCCUUUGAAAAUAGACUCAAUUGGUCGAUACAUCACUAAUAAUAUAGUCUGAUAUAGAUAAAGCUAAUUAUCUAUAAUAUACUCAAGAUGUCAUCAUAGGUCUAUUUUCAAAGGAGGAGAGAUUAAAAAAGAGAGAAAUAAAAUAAAAUAAAAUAAAUAAAUAUUAUUCACGUAAUGUAAAGUGACUAAAUAUCAUAAUAUGAAAUUACAAAAUAUUUGAACACUCGAUCAAAUGAGAAUAGGGGAGGGCAAUGAUAGUAACAACCAAUUUCUCAGAACAUGCGUAUCUGUUGAGAAGGACUCCUUAUUCUUAGACACUACUUGUCCAUUGAACAUUCACAAGUGAUAACCACCAAUCUUCCUUAUGGUCACCACGCACGUCUAAUCUCUUGUCAUGAUAUGUAGUUGUUCUUAAGUGCUUGGAUGAUUAAUAUUUAUUUUAAUUUAUUUUAUUUUCUCUCCUUUUUUGUAUCAUCUCAAUGAUCUACGACUACUCCGUGUCUUAGAUAACACUUGAUCACGUCCAAAAGUGAUUGGGACUCAUAAUUGAUAUAUCUAAAUUGUUUUACAAUGUUCUAAUGAUGUUAAUUGGCAUACUCUAAUUUUAUUUUAUUUUAUUUCUCUUUUUUUUUAUUAUUUUAAGUUGUCCAUAUAUUUGGUAAGUUGAUCAUAGACUGUAUGAUAUGUCUAUAAUCGACCUCAGUCUAGAUAAUAUAUCAAUAUAUAGGAUCAUCAAUAUUGAUAUCUGUAUAUAAUUCAUACGUGACCCAGUCGAUUAUAGAAUUCAUAUUUAGCGUAGUCGAUUAUUUAUUCGUACUGUACUCCGAAUUUAAACAAUGUUUGCAAAUCUUUAAACAUGCAUUACUGAAGAAACACCAACAAAGACUGAAAGAUAGAAAAUUAUUAUAGAUAAAUUAGAAUAUCAUGAAAAUAGAAACUUGUUUAUAGAUAGAUAGAUGUUCAUUGCAUCUAUAUUUGCAAUUUUUGGAAAAAAAUCUCAAACAAAAAGACAAAAACGAAGCUUUCAUUUACAUAAUCCUACCAUAAAAGCUUCAUUCAACAAUGAACUACAAAACAAACAAAACUAAACUACACUAGGGGGGUGAAGGGGGGUGAUGAGUUCACGGGGGUCCAGGUUGAGCCUCUCAGCUAUAACAAGAAGAAAAUGAGCCAUCCACCGAAGCUCUCUAUCUAGCCACCGUUGAUUGGCGGCAAGAUCCUGAAAAAGAAAAUCUAGGUCUCUACAAAUUCUAAGCAACUCUAUGUUGUUGAUAGUUGUCAUUCUGUGCAUUUGUCGUGGUGUGUACCUCCUCCUAGCCAUUUUCUUCUCUCCUUAGUCUUUUUUUCACAAAUUGAAUUUACAAUCAACAAGGGCCUCUUUAAAUAGACCAAAGCACGAGACAAUCGACCAAUAGAAGUUGUACACGUGUUGAUGAAAGGGGAGAAGGCGUGUGAGAAUAGAAAAUAAAAAGUCUCCGCGGUUCUGGCAGUCGAGUCAUUUCAAAUCGUGGCAUUUUCUGAAGUGUAAUAAUUACAUUGAAAGGUUCAGUGUAUGAGGAAAAGGGUUUCUUUAAUAUACUACACGAUUGGUCGAUGAUAUACUAUGUAGUUUAUGCUAUACCACGUAGACCAUGCAUUGAUCUAUUAUAUAUUUUGAAUCCAGUCGAUGUGUAAUGUGUAUAGUCAAUUUUAGAACUUGAUGUGACAGUUUUCAAAUUGACACCCUUUCCAAUGCGUCAUAAUAAUUUUGAAUUCAACAUUGUAUGAAGAAAAAAGUUUGUUCAAUAGACAACUAAGUAGGUUUAUAAUACACUACAUAUUGACUAUUUACUUUGUAGAUCAAACACUGAUAUAUUAUAUAUUAUAAGGCUGGUCAAUUAUUUAAGUCUAUAAUCUAUUUAUUACGUAGUAUAUCAUAUAUGAACUGGAAUCGAUAAUGCACAACAACAAAAAAAUUGUUUUUGACUGCAGUCCAGUGAUUUUCAAAACAGAAUACACAUUAUAUACUGCCCAAUGCAUUUGAACAAACAAAAAAUAUAAAAUGCAAUGCCAAUCAUAUUAUCUUACGUUAAGGUUGCAUGUUGUUCUCUUAUGUCCCGGCCUUUUGCACUUGGAGAACUUGUUUCUUUUCUUGUACCUUGAAGGCUCCAACACACCCUUAACACAUUUCACCUUCCUCCUUCUGAGUUUGAAAUCAAAAUUCGGUGGAGAACUUGCAUUUCUAGAUGCUUUUGCGCCACACUCCACUCCAAACUAGUGGUGCUGCAUAAAUACGUUCCAAGUAUGCAAGGAGGUAUGAUUCUUUCGAAUAUAUUUGCGAAGAGUAGUUGUAAAUGCUAAUGUCAUAUUCGUCCCCGUGCUUCAAACGCACCGCUGCCAUUGCAUGAGUGCAUGUCAAUUUCAUCAAGUCGUACUUUCUGCAAGAACAUGAUUGUCUCGAAAGAUUAACUUUGACGGAAUAACCAUAACCAAGCAUGAUGAAUUCGUCAGUGCUUCCAUUUAUGUUCACAUAUAAUUUAUCGCCCUCGAUCAUGUUUUUCCUCAAGACCGUCUCAGAUACGGGAACAAAUAUUGUCUUUAAAUUGUCUACCUCCGCAUACCUCUUCCUAAAUAUUUCUCCAAACCUAUGAGCAAUUGAAUUGAAUAUGGCCGCCACUGGAUACUCUCUUUCGUCGUGCAACAUUGAGCUGAGCAACUCGGCGAUGUUUGUGGUCAUGACGUUGAAUCUAUUACCUGAAAAGUGAGCCCGGCUCCACUUUUCAAAUCCAACUUCAUGCUCGAGGCAAGCUGUUGCGCUGGGUCAUCUUUCUUUAAGGACAUUGAAGUAGUCAUUAAAUUCUUUCAACGUGUACGCCUUGGCCGCAUGGUAGUACAAAUAGAGAGAAGUGGAACAAGGGUGAUUUGUUCGGAGAUUUUCACUGAGAUGCCUCAUACAAACACUGUGAUGCGCAAGCGGAUAAUAUCUUGCGAGGCCAUUAGCUAUGCUUACGUGUCUAUCGUAGAUAAUGCACAACUCUUAUUCAUCGACAACAAAGGCUUUAAGCUUCUCGAAGAAGAAGCCCACGACGUAUCGUUCUCUUUAUCCACCACACAAUACGCUAAGUGAUAGAUAUGAUUUUGCGUAUCUUGAGCGACAGCGAACAACAGCAUGCCCUCAUACUUGCCGGACAAAUGCGUUCCAUCAACAACAACGAUCUUUCUCAUGUGUGCAUAUCCACAGAUAGAAGCCCCAAACGCCAUAAAGUAGUAAAUAAAUCUGUUUGACUCCUCAUGGACCAUGAGGAAAUUAAUAGACUUGGGAUUGAGGCCGUUGAAAACAUAUGAAAAUGAGGGAAGCACUGCAUAUCCGUGCUCGGGCGUACCUCGAAUUAUGUUCUUCGCAAUGACGCCUGGCAUCCAAUACUUCCAAUAGACUGACCUGCAAUGUAUCUCCCUAAAUACGAUCCUCUCGAUCUCUUUCAAUCUUGGAUCUUUGCUGUCGACGAAAAAGUUCAAAAUAAGUGAGGCAAUGACCUCCACGGUGACGUUCUUGUGCUUUCUCGUGACAUGAUCAACGCUACAAGUAUGCUCUUUCAUGUAGUUGUGGAUAUGAAACCAACCCGAUUCUCUGAUAGCAUAUAUGUGCACCAUCCACGGGCAAGUAGGAUCUACUUACCUCACCCUCAAGUAUUUCUUACAACUCUUCACCUUUGUGUAAUUGAACGACAUUUUCACUGGCGCCUGCUUUAACAAAAGAUUCAACUUUUUCUUAUCUUUGAAUGUUUGUCCUACAAAAAGAUUGGUGUCGUCCGAGAAAGAGUGGCUUCUUUGUGGUUCGAGCUGCCCGUCCUCACCUCCUCCACACUCUUCUUCUUCUUCUUCUUCUUCUUCUUCUUCUUCUUCUUCUUCUUCUUCUUCUUCUUCUUCUUCUUCUUCAUAAUCUUCACUAUUAUCCUAUUCAUCACCACCCAUGCAAUCGUAUUUCAUUGACGUAUCAUCCACUGUCAGGGGUGGGGGUGGGACUGGAGCUGAUAUGGAAGCUUCUUCCCGUGACCUUUCAACAACUUUAACCUGCAAUAUAGGUCUAGAGUUAUCAGAAUCAACGUAAAGCAUGUAUAAUUCCACAUGUCUAUCAUUCCUUAUGAACGUUGGAUGGAUCCCUCCCCCUCCCGUUCAUCAAGUAACUAAUUACCACCUCGCUUUGAGUGUUGGAAUGUUGCUAUUGAGCCAAUAAUCAAUUUCGAAAUGUGGGAUUGAUUUUUAAGCUUUUUGUAUGAAAAUCAAAGAAAAAUUGGAGCUAAAAAUAAGCGAAAAUGGCUUAAAACAAUGGAGAUAAUGUCACUUUCUGAUGGAUGCCAAAAAAUUCGACGAAAAAUGGCCGAAAAAUUGAGGAAAUGGUGUCAAAAUUGAGCGGUUGGUAGUGGAUUGGUUGAGAAACUUUGGGAUACUUUUUUAAAAAAUUAAUUAUCCAAUAUUUAUAUUUUUGGACAUGGGCUAAAGUGUAUAUGCUUUAAAAAAAUUAGGGCUAAAAUGGAAAAAGGGCUAAAGUGUAUAUUUUGUAAAUUGAGUGCUAGGGUUGCAUUUUCUUUUUGUGAUCCCAUUAAAGUGUCUAUUUUUUCAAUUAAAAAAACUUGGUGUCUAAAUAUCAAAAAAGGUUUGGAUCGUUGUGAAGUGACAUUUUAGCCAACUACCCCUUUUCACUUGUCCUUGUGUUGGAGAUCUUCAAAAACAGAAUAUUUCAUAAGUGAGAUAAGAUCUGCAUAUACUCUUCUUUUCAUACAUUAUUUAUGAAAUUUUACUGAAUUGUUAUUGUUAUUGUUAUUAUAUUCUUUUUUUAAUGAUACUAUGGAUACAAUAUUUUUAUUUUUGAAAUGCUUUUUCCAAAGAAUUAAAUUGUUAGUACUAGAUAUAUAUUUGACAAAAAGGAUGGAAAAAAGAGGUAGACCUAAAAUUGUUGUUUCAUAGAGUAGACACACUAAAUGAUUAGAGCUGAGAAAGUCAAUUUUCACUUUAUUUCCCUUUUUGUGUCUUUUAUUUUUCAAUCUCUUCACUGUCUAAUAUUUUCUCCGUCACAAAAUAAUUGAUAAUUAUAAAUUAUACAUAAUUAUUAAGAAAAAAAUUAAUUGGAAAUAUGAUUUAACUAAUAUAACUCUUAUUAGUUCUUUAAUUUUCAUCUAUUUAUGUGCAUCUUAAUUCUAAAAUAAUUAUUACUAAGGAUAGAAUUAGAAAAAAAUGGCUAAUUAUCUAUCUCUUGAUCUUUUAAACAUGCAAAAAAAAUUCUUUUCUAACAAACAUGCAAGAAAAUUCUUUUUGAACAAACAUAUCAAUUAUUUUGAGACGAAUAGAGUGUAUGUGAUAUAGCACUAAAAAAAUUUGUAAGUGAUUUGGAGUGAAAAUUAUGAAAAUAGUUUUUGAAGUUCAAGUUGAAUUUUGAAAAAUUGAUGAAUGUCCAAAACCAAAUAAUUUUCCAAGAUAAUAUUCUAGAAAAUAAUUAAAAAUAAUUCAUAGUCAAACAGACGCUACAUAUAGUUUGAAUAUUUUUUGUUUUUUAACUUUCUUUUGAUGAGAACUAGUUUCUGUAUCUUGAUAUUUUUUUAAUAAAAACGAAAAAGAGAGUUAGAAUUCUAUAUAUUUUUUUUUUGUUUUUAAUUCCUUGAGGGGGUGGGUUGAGAAAUAAGAAACAUAGUAUUUGUGAGUCUUAAAUAGAUUUUGUUCUGGUGAAUGAUUUUAAAGAAUCAGUGUCAUUUUUUGUCAAUAUAUAUAGGAAGAAUUAUAUAUAGUGGGGCAUGAAAAAGGAAUAAAUGGACCAUAUGUUAUACAUGGGCCACAGAUAGAAACAUGAAGAUUAAAAUAAGAAAGAAGGAGUGCAUGUACGUAACAUUAAAGUUCAUGCACGGUUUCUAAUUUUUUAUGUUAAUAGAAAGGGAACAACAUGAAUGCAAUUUUGACCUAUUUAUUCUCCACAUAGCCACCCAUUAUUCAUGUCUUUCCCAUUUUAGAUAUAAGCCGGAUUCUGUGGAUUCAACUGAAUUCGUUACUUUUAGCUUGAGCCAAUAACGGAGCUAAAAAAGAAUAUUAGCUACUAAUGAGAAAAUUCAGAUAAACCCCUUGUGGCACACAGCUCCACCCUCGACUCAAGCAGAACAAAAAAUAAUAUAUAAAUCCAGAAUAAGAAUGUUAUUCAAAAUAAACCACACAGUAUAUACCCAUCACAGUCAGAUGCUCGCGUUAGCAAGAUUCAAGGAGGAGCUCAUCUCAUCUCAAGGGGUGUGAUAUAAACAACCUACUCUAAUACCAGCAUUAGUGGUUACUCCCAUGAUUCGAACUCAUUCUAACUCGUAACCUAUAGGUUGCAUAAAGACACCUAUAGGUCGCAUAGAGACAAAUGGAGGCUCCCCUAUCAAGUUGAAUAUUAUAUGGAGUCAAAGAGCAGUCCGCACUAAAACUCCUGCCAGGCUCCCCUAUCAAGUAAGAGCAGUCCGCACUAAAACUCCUGCCAUGUAACGGGUUUGGAGAAGGGUCGGACCACAAAGAUCCCCUAUCAAGUUGAAUAUUAUAUGGAGUCAAAGAGCGGUCUAGUGCAUUAAAGCUUCGGCUAUGUAAGAGGUUCGGAGAAGUCCGGACCACAAGGAUCUAUUGUGCGUAACUUCACUUUACAUUUCUGCAUUGUUUCCACGGCUUAAACCUGUGAUCUCCUACUCACAUGAAAACAAUUUUGCCGGUUACUUCAAAGUUCUCCUUCUAAUAAUAUAUGGAGAAUCUAGAAGAAAAACUCAUUAUCAAUAAUGUUGGCUAAACAGUAAACACCUUUUGGGGACAUGUUAGCCAGGUAACAAGUUUGACAAGUUUCUAUACCAUGAUACAGUUUUCUAUUUUUACAUCUAGCAUUGUACCUUCAAAGAUUCCUGCUUCACUAUGGUUUUACAUCUAUCAUUGUUCCUCAAAAGACUUCCUACCUUACUAUGGUUUUACAUCUACAUUAUACCUUAAUACAUUUCCUGCCUUAGUACUAUGGUCUAUCGAAUGUAAAACUUCACUAUCAUGGCAUUACUCUGCGCGCCUGAAGCAGAACCUUCUGAAGCUCAUCGGCAAGUCCUGGUAAGAGCACUGGUUUAGGGAUGAUGCCAUUCAUUCCGAUCUGCAGGCAUUUUUGACCGACAUCUUCAUCAGUAGUUUCAACUAAACCGAUGAUCAAAGGCCAGUCUUGCAUUCCACGCUUGCGAAGUCUCCUGGUAACUUCAAAGCCGUCAACAAGAGGCGGGUGAAGAUCCAAAACUACAAUUUGAAACAAGGAUGCAGUAGAGCAAACAGCACCGAGGCAUUCAUAUCCAGAUGAAACUACAGAGACGAUGCAUCCCAGUUUCUCGAGCAUCUUCCUUGUUACGGCUCUAUUCAUGUCAUCAUAGUCAACUAACAGAACUUUCACACCAUGUAGUAGAGGAUGUGGAUAUGUGGGAUCUGAAGAUUCCCCAUAUCCGGACAUGCCUGCUGGAAUUGAUGGUUGCCUUUGAAACCCGACAAUGACAACCAUGCUUUGGUCAAAACCUUCUGGAUUUGGUUCUACAAUAAUGUCUCCUUGCAUCAACUGUUUGUUGUUUUUCACAUACCAGAAGGAAGUUAGUUUAAAAUUCAAAUUGCAAACAUUAUGGACUUAUAUUUAAAAAAAUUUUAAAAAAAAAGCUAAGACAAGAAAAUGAAAGUGUAAUCGGUAACUAAAUGCUGGAAUAUGAAUAGACUUACAUGAACCAACUUCCUGCAAACGGAAAAUCUCAAACCCUCCUCAACGUCCCCACUGCAGCUCGUUGGAGUACACAGUUUGAUCUCUGACUGAGACUGACUAACGCUUGUGCAAAUUUCGAACCUGGUAUACACUCUGUCACUAGAUGAGUUUGAUCUCCUCGUUUUCCAGGUUACAUAAUCUUCACUUGCUGGGAGGACUCGGAAGGUAAGAUGCCCUCCGUUUGUGCCAUUCAAAAGAUUUCCGACUAUAUGAAGAAAAACUUGAAAGAAUCUUCUUUCAUCACCCAUAACAUGAUUAGGCAAAGAUUUGUCGACUUCAAUGGUAAUAUUGUAACCCUUCGCUGCACACAAACACUUGACAAGACAAGCAGCUUCUCUUAUCAAGGAAUGUAGCUUGAAAUGCCUCAUUUCCAAUGGGAAUCUUACAUUGGCCUUCGUUGAAUUAACUAUCACAUCAUCCAUCAGGGUGGAGACAGCGUGGCUGGUUUUGAUCAUAGAACCCACAAGAAGCUUCUGCUCAUCUGUUAACUUCUCUUCCUGCAAGACCGAGAUCAGACACAUAAUUGAGUGUAUCGGUCUUCUCAGCCUAUUACUCAUAACUGUCUGAAAUGCACUCUUUGCAUCACUUGCCCUUAGAGCAUCCUGUUUCGCUUUCUGCAGUGCUCGGUUCUGUUCCAAUAAUCUUUCACUUAUAUUCUGAGAUUCUUCAAUCAUUGCAGCAUGGGACAGAGCCACAACAACUUGAUCGGCUGCAGCCUUGACAAUCUCAAUUUCCUGGUUACUCCAAAACCUACCACUUCCACAAGGUAGAACCAGAACGAGGAUAGCAUAACAUCGAGGUACAAUCUCAGGAGUUCCAGUUCGGAAAUUCGAGACCUUCAGCAUUGGUAUCCUGAUUGCAGCCACGGUUUCUGGGUCGCAACUCUUUCUACUACUUGCAGCAGCAAGUUUGGAUCCCACGUCAAGUAUCUUUACAGCAUUACUCGCCUUGAUCUCUUUUACAUCGGGAUCACUGAUUGGGAUGGGCAUAUUAUUAUACACACUGGAAACAUCCGCCCCAGUAGGAUCAUGAGUCAGUCUCAUCUCCGUUCUGUUCUCAUCAGGCAUCCAUAUAACACAAUUCUGCAAAUUCAAUAUCUUCGACAGCUCAACAAGAGUUGUGUAGAGUAUUGUAUGACGAUCAAGUGACUUCCUGAUCUCUUGUGUAAGCAUCCGAACAUGCUUUCCAACUUCCUCUUUUUGCUUUAUUUUUCCAACUUGUUGAUCAAGAUCCCAAUUCUUUUGUAUCAGCAUUAAUUCCCUUAGCUUCACUUUAAGUAGCAUCGGGAUAAGGUUGACGAGAGAUACAGCAGUGAGCACGGAGAUCAGUGCAGUGAGUAGUUUGGAAACAAGAAUGGCAACCAAAAUAUGAAAUGUGCGUUGGCCCAAAUAAGUCAUGAAACUUAGAAAAUGUGUUAAACCACAGAAUAUAAUGAAUGCUCCGAAUUCAAUGAGCACCCAUUUGAAUGGAAAGUUGGAACGACUGACGAAGUAAAUGAUCUCCAGUGGGAUAGAAAAAUACGCCAAUGCAAUAAAUAAAUCACUGGUUCGUUGGGCAAAUAACAUACUAUCGAUGCUCCAAAAUGCCUCAUCAUCAUCGCAAUUACAUUCAGUAGCGCCAUCAACACCCGAUAAGGAAGCAAUGAACGAUAAAAGCAACAAACAUGAUGCUACCUUCAUCAGCAUUGCAUCCAUUAGACC
RNAcentral lists this long non-coding RNA (113796 nucleotides) under Capsicum annuum. Its description in RNAcentral is "long non-coding RNA (CANN_LNC005933)". The record is from RNAcentral. Lineage: Eukaryota; Viridiplantae; Streptophyta; Magnoliopsida; Solanales; Solanaceae.